UUAGAAGAGAUAGUUUUAUCCCAACAGUGGGAUAAAUCAUUGAGAUGCAUGGCAGUGUGAAUAUAGUAGACAAAAUCAUUGAGACACAUGGUGGUGUGAACAUAGUAAACUUUGUCAAACACAGCUAAGAUAAACAAAUUGUUUCAUUAGCCUUUAUCUUAUCUGCUGUGAUGAUUCAAAUUAAUGCUGUUUGGUAAGUUGCAAAAAACGAAAUGAGCUGACUGUUCGUAUUAUUUAGUCAGAUCUAUAGCAAUAAGUUGAAGUUCAUUGUCACAUGGGUUGGGAGUAGCGUGGGCUGUGAGUAGUAGAAUGGAUUUAUGGAGUUGAUACAAGUGCCCACAAUCUAUCAUGUCAUUCUAGGAUUAAAUGGAUUGCACAUUACUAUAAAGAUGGAGGUUAAAUUUAUAUAAUUCGGAUUGAUUGUAAAAUGGGAGGCAGAGAUGAGUUAGAAAAAGAAUGACCUGUGUCCUUUUUGAGCUGUUUCUAAAUGUCCCUGGUGUGCUUCAUGCUUAACACGUGCCUUUCCAAAUAAUUUUGCUUAACCUGUGCUUGUCUACUUCUUGUGCUAUUCUGUGCCUGGUCCUGAGCUGUGUUGGUAGAUUGACAUCCAGCUUGAACUUUUAGGUAUAUCUUUUGUACAUAAAUUCUGAAUACCCAUGGACUUAGCGUGAUAAAGUCAAGGAUCCAUUUAGCUGAGUCGUUCAAGGUUUGUUAGUAUGUCUUCGGAUUAUAAAUAUGUGACAAAAAUGAGGUGUAGAAUACAUUUAAAAAGAAAAGGAUAAAAAAAAAAGAAGAAAUGAAAAGAGGUGUUUAGAAGGAAUAGUUAAACUAGAUACACUCCCACUAAUUAGCGAUUCUGAUGAACAGUGCCCAUAGCUUCUUUUAUACCUUGAAGUUGCAGAAAUUGAUUCUUGGUGAAUUAAGUCACUUACAGACAUAACUUUUUCUUCCAUCUAAUUUUUAUUAGGUUAGAUAGGAGAAGACUUGUUUCAGGGUGUCCUGACCCUAGUAUUAGUUUUCUCGUCAGACUUUUCAAGAAAAUUUACAAUGCACACGACAUACAACUUCUAGUAAUCCUAGGACUUUGUUGACAGGGUGCUUCUAUUCCUCGUUGUGGAAAUGGGACAAACCUUUUGAUACCUUUACCAGGAUCAGUUAGUGCUGAGGAUAUGGCUAUUACUGGAGCUGGUGCACGACUUCAUGAUCAAGAUGCACCAACCCUUCCACUGUUGUAUGAUUUUGAAGAAUUAGAGGGAGAAUUGGAUUUUCUUACUCGUUUUGUGGCAGUUACCUUUUAUCCUGCUAUUUCUGGAACAAGCUCCAUGACUCUUGGUGAGGUAGAAAAUAUUUUCAUAAAAUGUUAAUUGAUGUGUCUACGCACUUUAUUCUUAAAUUAGUAUUUUAGACCAUGAGCUUUGUGGAGUGGGUUUGCUGUAACUGCUGCUGGUGACAACAUAAUUGUUAAUAUUAUUACAGAUAGAGAUUCUUGGAGUUUCUCUUCCAUGGACGGGGUAUUCAAUAAUGAAGGCCCUGGUGCUAGAUUAAUUGAGCUUGGCAAAAAGUUUCAGAAGGAAACCGAUCCAUUUUUGUCAAAUUCAGUUACAAAUACAGUUCCGUUUUCCAAUGAAAAUAUGUCAACAUCAAUGCAAACAGAAGCUGCUUCCAAUCCUUGGGUUGACCUGUUGUCUGGAGGGGACACAUUUUCUGAUCCUCUUUCAGAGCCGUUUUCUAGCCCUCUUUCCGAGCCGUUCUCUGAUCCUCUUUCUGAGCCGUUCUCUGAUCCUCUUUCUGAGCCAGUGACAAGAAAUGUUGCAUUUGGAGGGGCUGAUUUGCUUGAUUUCUUGGACCAGCCUAUAGUUGAAGAUCAUGGUGUGGAAACUUAUAAAAGAUCUUCAACACAGGAUGGCUGUUCUCUAGCUAGUGGUGCCCAGCAGUACAUAAGCUGUCUAAAAUCCCUUGCAGGGCCAUGCGAGGUAUAGUACUGCUCUCUUGUGUUUUUUGCAGCUCUACAUCUUAGCAACUUCAUCUUUUUAAAGGAGUAAAUUCUAGAAGUUCAACAAAUUUUGCUCUGCUAAAUGUAUAACUUAUUAAUCAGUGUCCUGUUAUUAUGGUUUGACACUACUGACAUAUUGUGUUGGUAUUUAUUUGUACUUCCCUUGGUUGAAUUAUUUGCUGUCUCCAUGCCAUUCGAUAUGGUGCUACUUGGUUUUUGAUCAUCCAUGACGCUAUAUAUAUGUAAAGGAUGAAUUGAUUGUUUUGGCUUGUAUUCUCACAUUUUAUGAUUGAUUGAUGGAAAGGUCUUCAUGUAUUAAAUUCAACCUCACAAGCGUAAGAUUGACAGAUUCUGGGCAAAUUUUCAGGAAAAGAAACUAGACUUCAUGGAAGCAAUGAAGCUUGAAAUUGAAUGUCCGCAGCUGAAUCUUUCUGCAGCUGAAAGGGAUAGAGCUUUAUUGUCAAUUGGAACUGAUCCUGCCUCUAUAAAUCCAAAUGUAUUGCUUGAUGAAUCUUACAUGGGAAGACUGUGUCGAGUAGCAACCACUCUUGCAUUACUUGGCCAAACUUCCCUAGAAGACAAAAUUGUUGGUGCAAUUGGCCUUGAGAAUAGUGAUGAUAGUGUUUUAGACUUCUGGAAUAUUACUAGAAUCGGAGAGAGUUGUUCUGGUGGCUGGUGGCGGGUGCAAGGUUCGUGCAGAAACUAAGGUGCCUGCUCUUGCUUCCUCAACUGCAACAUCUGUUGGAGCUUCACAAUCCCCUUUGUUGUGUUCUCAAUGUGAAAGAAAAGUUUGCAUAGUUUGUUGUGCAGGAAGAGGAGCUCUACUGUUUUCAAAUUAUAAAUCAAGGGAUGUGACCAACUACAAUGGCUUCUCAAGUCAGAGUGGAUCAAGCCAUGGAAGCCAAGUUGAUGUAUCUACCAGUCGUUCACUAACACUGGAUGGCGUUAUCUGUAAACACUGCUGCCAUGAGAUUGUGCUUGAUGCAUUGAUGUUGGACUAUGUUAGGGUCUUGAUUAGCUUGCGAAGAAGUUCCCGUGCAGACAACGCAGCAUACAAUGCUUUGAAUGAGGUUGUUGGAUCCUGCUUAAAGGAUAGUCUUUCUGAAAGGAUUCAGUCUUCCGAUAACGUGCAAGCUGCUGAAGUCCUUCACCAAUUAUGUGGUGGACAGGAAUCUCUUGCUGAAUUUCCAUUUGCUAGCGUUUUGCACUCGGUAUGUUCUUGGUUUGUAUUCAGUUCUCAUCAUGUUAUGUUUUCCUUUUAAAUUUCUUUUCUUGAUUAAAAUUUUUAGAAAUAUGUUUUAGUAUUUGUUCUUAUGAUAUAUGCCCAGAACAUUCAUCCCACUUAUCCAUGAGAAUCCUUGUCUGGUUUGAUUUUCAAUUGAGACAUUUUUGGGAACCCUGAGCAGGUUCCAUAUGCUAAUAAUCUUUGAGGUAAGGUGUUGUAGGAUGCCUUGAGAAGCUAAAAACCAAUUACAAGGAAAAGCUCUUGCAUUGUUUUGUGCAAUCUGUGUGCUAGCAAGUCAUGUCUCUAAUAAUUUCAUAGUUCGCUUGAUUGGAAUUUUUUAUUUUGAUAUGGAUUGUUUAUUCUAGAUUCCUUGCUGCCACUGUAGGUUGAAACAGCAAAAGAUUCAGCACCGAUUUUGUCACUGCUUGCUCCAUUAAAUUCUGGAUCAAGGCACUCAUAUUGGAGAGCUCCACCUAGUACUACUUCUGUUGAAUUUGUUAUUGUUCUCGGUUCUGUUUCUGAUGUCAGUGGGGUUAUCUUGCUUGUUAGUCCUUGCGGCUAUUCUGUGGCUGACACUCCGAUGGUAAGUGCCAUAUUUAUUCCCUUAUUUCCUUGUUGUUCAAUAAAUUUGGUGAUAAGCCAAGUGGCCUUAAUAAUGAAGCCCAGUACCAGGGGUGGUGGGUAAUCGAUAUUCAACUUGUGAAUAUUCCUAAGCAAACACUGAAUCAACAUAUACCUCGGCAAAAGUUCUCCAUGCUAUUAUAACAAAAGUCAUAUUUUGAAAUGAUUAAAACAGUCCCUGUGUAGUGCCAUUUCCAAAGAAAUUGCAGCUGGGGGUUUAGUUUCAUGUAGGUUAGUUUCCGAUAAUAAACUUUCCAUUUCAUUAAUUGCCGAUGGAAAAACCAAGUAAGAACAGUUUCGUUGCUCGUCAUUUAUGUAUAUUUUGGUAAACUGUAAUUUUAAAUUCUCAACGAUCUUCCCUUUGUAGGUAAGAAGAUGGUCCACUCACUUGAUAUUUAUGAUUGUAGAUCAGGUUUCUAUUGGUUUGCCUUUAUCAUUCGGAACCCAAGUUUGAUAUUAACAGAGAUCACGUCAAUAAUAUCCUAUUUGGGUAGAUGUGGGUGAGGAUUUAAAAUCAAAUUUGAAAUUGAGGGGAAAGAAGAGAAAAGGAACUACAAUAAUUAUUCUGAUGAGUUUUAAUCUCGAGAGGAGCAAUUUUCAAAUGCAAAUUUAACGGCUAGAGAAAUUGUAGCUUUUUGUCAUUAGUUAAGAGGAAAGAGAAUAAGAACUAUCCGGCCCUUUCCUUCAUGAAUGUGUGUUGAGGUUGCUGUAUUAUUUAGUCAGUAUUUGUAAUUUUCUUCCCUGCAGUGCUCUCUGCCUCCUGAAUUUGCUACUGAGUCCAUAUUUUUCUUUGAGCUGUUCCUUCCUAUUGCUGUUACAGUUACAAAUCUGGGCAAGCAAUAAGAUACACCGGGAGGAAAGGUCAUCAAGGGGAAAAUGGGAUGUCCAAUCCCUCAUCACAUCUUCUUCAGAUUUGUAUGGUCCAGAAAAGUCCGCUAGUGUUGAAAAAUUACCUAGGCAUGUACAAUUUACUUUUAAGAAUCCUGUUAGGUGCGCAUUGUUUGGAUCACAUUACGUCUUCAGAGACCUGGUUCGGCUUCAGUUAAUUUCGGGAAGGACUUCAGUCUUUUGUCUCUUGAUGAAGAUGAAAACCCCUUUGCACAAGUAGACAGACGUGCUUCAUUUGGAGGAGCAGUUGAAAAUGAACCAUGUAUUCAUGCCAAAAGAAUUCUUGUAGUCGGAAGCCAGUAAAAAGGGAGGGGCUUACCUCAUCACAGAGCUCUGAGCAGCUAAGUAUUAGAAACUGGUUGGAUAGAGCUCCACAAAUGAGUAGAUUCAAGGUAUUAGUUGCUUUCACUCUUUGUUCAUUCAUAAUUCCAGCUUUCUGCUUCACUGAUAAAACUCUUUUUUCUCUUCAGGUCCCAAUUGAGGCCGAGAGAUUGAUGGACUACGAUCUCGUCUUGGAACAGUAUCUACCUCCAGCAUCACCUUCGCUUGCCGGAUUCCGUCUAGACUCUUUCAGUGCAAUAAAACCUAGGGUUACCCAUUCACCUUCCUCAGAUUCAUUUACAUGAGAGAAAGAGUUUUGGGUUUGACUUUGAUUUUGAUUUGUAUUUGUUGUCAUUUCAUUGAAAUUUCUUUUUGUUGUAUAAAAAUCAGAAGGUAAAAGUAUUAAAUUCACUGAUGCGGUAAUAUCUGUGCUGGUUACAGGAUUUUAUGUUUAACUUGAAGUUAGUAAGCAAUGACUUAACAAUAGCACUUUGAAUUUAACGUGGAUCAUAUUGUAUUUGAAAUUAAAAAAUAAAGAGAGAGAAAUUAAUUGUUAAUUGAGUUGGACAAUUUUCCGUGGUUAAUUGCUCCCAGAAAAGAGAAGAAUGGGAUUGUGCUUCCUCACACGAAGAAAGACUCGAACGUCUUCGUGCUAAUUAAUCAAUGAAAGAUUUUGUCAAAUAUCUGGCCCUUUCUUUCUUGAAUGUCUGUGUACAAGUUGCUGUGUCAUUUAGUCAAUAUUUGCAAUUUUCUUCCCUGUAGUGCUCUCUGCUUCCUGAAUUUAUAUUAGUGAUCUGGUUUCUGAGUGCAUAUUUUUUCUUUCUCGUUGCUGCAGGUUUGUCGUUGUCAAACAGAAUCAAGUUAUAUUAUUAUUGUGAUCCUUAUGAGCUUGGAAAAUGGGCAAGCCUUUCUGGAGUUUGAUCGUUAUUUAUAUGUUAGAGAAAGAGUUCUGGGUUUGUUAAAACUCAUUAUUAUAAUUUGAAAUAUGUGUUAUUUCAGCUAAUGAUUAACACUAAAAAAAUUAUCACCCAUAUAAUUUUUUAAUUUGUGUAGGGUAAUAAUAAAAUUGAAAAUAAUUAAAAAAAUAGCACAAUAAUGAGUUUUAACAAUAAAACAAAUUAAAUGAAAAUUGAAAAUUUAGAAAAGUGUAUCUAAGAAAAUGGAUAUUUUCAGAAAUAAAAUGAAUAUAACUAAAAAUGGGGUUUUAUGAGGAGAUCAAAGGGGUGCCAAUAGUCCAACUCGUAAUUAAGAAUCUCCCAUUACAUUGUCAACCAAAAAGACACUUGCAUAAGAAAAAAAAUUUCUGUUUGAUUUUAUUUGUAGAUCCAACAUUUCUCAUAUCCUGGUCGCCUUUCCGUAUCAAAUUAAAAUAGUAUUAGCAAAAUCGUAGUGCAAAUUCAAUUAACCAACUAAUAGUCUAAGAAGCAAAGAGAGGAUUACAAGUUCACAACACCAUUACAAAGGAUUCAAAAUUCCCACACGAAAACAUCAAUGUACAGAUUAUAAACAAUCCGAAUUGGACACAAGAAAAACCCUUCAAUGGAUUGCUUGCCUUCCCAAUGCUAAAUACUGUGCAAACUGCGCAUUGGCCAAGAAAAUGUUUUCAAUUUAGUGUAUUUUCAAAAUGCUUAUUUUCUCAGAAUAUAAAAAAUGAAAAAAUAAAAAAAGAAUUCUUACAUGUUUCAUCAGCAUGAUUAAAAUCAAAGAAGAAAGCGAGACAUAAUGUCUCUGACAUAAUAAAAUUACAAAAAUUUCAAGAAAAAAAAAGGGUUAAAACAUGUAAUCUUCAGAAGCAUAUAAUAAAAGAAGACUUCCACAAGUUACUACAAUUACAUGCAGUAGAGAUUAACUGAUGCUUUGACUUAUUAGCAGGUUGCAAUGAAUUAUUAACUGAUGCUUUGACUUAUUAGUUCUGCAGCUAAGUUAAAUAAAAUAAGGUAUUUUCAAAAGCAAAAUGGAAUACAUAGACAAAACAUCAUCUUAAACAAAUCACAAUCUAGAAUUAGAGUGUUGAUUUGAGAUUCUAGAUUGUGAUUUGAUCGGCUCAUUUGUUAAGAAGUGUUGAUUUGAUCGGCUCUGCAAAUUCUCUUGGGACUCGGUUCCAAUUCCUCUUCAUCAAAACUGUAAUAUAAUUCCCCUUCAUCAGAACUCGAAUCAAAUUCACUUGCAGCAGUUCCACUCGCGCUUGGCAAAUCAUCUAAUUUCCAAACUUCGGUAGCAAAAUUGAGAGUAAAAGUGUUGGCUUUGAUCUCGCUGGGAUUUGCAUAUACUGGACAUACUCCGCAACGUUUUAUCUUCUGACCCUUUUGGACCUUUAGGUUUCGGCAACACUCAUUGAAGAACUUAAGUGAGACAGUUGUAUGAUGGUAACCAUCAGGAAAGCCAACAUUCAAGCAAGGUUUAAAACCAAGUAUGACAUGAUCUGAAUCAAUGAGGUCUUCAAUUGAGUGCGAAUCGAAACUCAGAUGAACAUGUUUGGUUUCAGAGAGAGUCUUUAUUUCUAAGUCGGAUCGACAGCCGACGUAAACAUUACGAAAACGAUCAGAAUAAAGUUGCUUAAAAUCAAGAACAGCACAAAAAGCAAACCCGAUUAAGUUUCUGCAAAAAGAGUGCGGUGGCAGUUGAAUACGUAUUGAAGAUCCUGAACUUUGAUUGCUGAACCAGUCAGGAAUUUUGCUCCCAGGUAAAACAAUUUGGGAUCGCCUGAGUUCAGAAAGUUUCUGUGAAACGACAUUUAAAAAAAGAAAAUUGUCAAAUGAAAACCAUGAUUUCAGAUAUAACAAAGAGGGACAGAGUAAACAAGAGAGGGAAUUUGAUACCUCGUCGAUUGUCUUUCCCCGUCUCAGUGAUGCUGCAAUUGCCAUACGUAGUGAAUCUGCCAAAAUCUUGUUGUUUGCUUUUCCAUCAAGUUUCAAGCAGUUAGUAAACCGAAAAUAAAUUGGUUGUGACAGUCGAUAUUCCGGAUGCCAUUCACAAAGGUCAGGAGAGGGUUUGGAUAGCUUUUCGAGUACGGAUGCAUCUAGUUCUUGUAGACAUGACGGAAUCUCUGGCAAAGAUUGAAGCCGGUUGCAGUUCGUUGCAUUUAGUGAAUGUAGACACAAUGGAAGUUCUGGUAAUGACCGAAGCAUGUUACAACCCGUCAAGUCAAGAGAUUCUAGACACAAUGGAAGUUCUGGUAAUGACUGAAGCAUCUUACAACCCUCCAAGUGAAGAGACCUCAGCUGCGACAGUUGCUUGAUACUUGCAGGUAAGCUCUCAAAGCUAUUUCCACUUAGAUUUAAUGUUGUCAGUGAGGAUAGACAGGCAAUCUCUUGUGGAAUUUCCAUUACAGCACAGUUCCUCAUAUCUAGAUGUCCCAAAUAAGCUAAACCUAAUAAAAACGAUCGAGGCAAUGAUACCAAACCUUUGCAGCGAGAGAAGUAAAGAACUCCAAGUCUGUUUGAAUAUGCAACAGAGGAUGAUGGUAGUUGACUAAUAGCUGAUCCAACUGCUGAGAUGAUAAACAAACAUUUUAAAUUGCCAAUGUUAUCCGGCAACUUAUCAAGCUUAGAGCAAUCUUCUACGAACAAUUCUUCAAGCCCCGGUAGAUUUUCAAAUGACGAUGGCAGCUCUGUAAUUGCCGUCUUGUUUAAAUUGAUGCGUUCUAAAUGUUCCAUUUUCUCCAAGAUUUCUGGGAAGCGCUCAAGGUUCACGCAGCCAUUAAGAAAAAGAUCAACCAAAGAUCUCAAUUUACAAAACCUAGUUGAAAUCCUCUUCAGCCGUUUGCAAUACUUCAAAUUCAACUUUUUAAGAUCAGUUAGGCACUCUAUUGAUGACGGAACUUCUUCUAUUGCAGACUUGCUCAAGUUUAGCGAUGUUACUUUCCCAGAAAUCAGUGGAAACUCUAUGAGAUUAACACAAUAGGAGAAAUUAAUAGUUACUGGACAAACAAAAUGAAGAUUGCUUGGAAAAGACCUAAGACUUUUGCAGCCCUCAAAAGACAACGCACUGAGAUACUUGAAAUUCUGGAUAGAUGAGGGAACACAAGCCAAGUUUGUAUAAUCCAAAAGAUAUGUUUCAACAUUUGGGGUUUCAAAUGGGCCUGGCAUCUUAAUGAAAUGUUGAGAAUGGCUGAGGUUAAUAGAUUUUAACUUGAAAGCUUCCUGCAAUAACAGAUAUAUAAAGACUAUAUUAAUUAAAAAGCAACAUUGAAUUCAACAAUUAAUUGCACGUAUAUUUAAAGAAAGAAAAAAUUAAUGUUUUAGUUUUAGUACAAAACUUACCUUUUCUCCUUCCCAAAGUUGCUCAACUUUACUACAACUCAAAUUCAGUGCAACAAGGUUCUUUGGCUUGAAAUUUGAUGGCAGUGUCCUUAAUGGAUAUGUGUCCCAAUGAAGAUAUCUCAAUUUUUUAGGAAGAUAAUCUAGGCCAUUUGGAAGCUGCACUUUAGAGUAUGAAAGAUGCUCUUCAAUGCUCAUACUUGGAAGCUUUUCAAUCCCAUAAAAUUUGAGCAAUCUCAUAUUAGACAUAUUUGUGAAGGCUCCGGGGUCUAAAUUGAUGCGUUUUAUUUUGGACAAAUCCAGAAAUAUGCCUUCAAUUGCAUCGGUCCCCUUAUUAAAAAAAAAAAAAAGAAUGAGUAAGCCUAAAACUCAAAAGAAACAUUCGUAAACUUUAUUAAUUAAGAGCUCCUUAAACAAAAAUAAAUUACGCAAUCUUUGAUUUUAUUUUUUUAAUAUAUUAAAUAUCUAUAUGCGAGAAAAGAAAAUUUUGGGGACCAUUGCAAAAUUAAACUAACUGAAAAAAAAUUCAAAAUUUCUCUAAUUUACAAACCUGUUAUCUUAAUAUCUAGAAGUUGAGAAGACAAGGCCUAUUUGAUUGGUAUAAGAUUUCGAUUUUUUUUUUUUUUAGUCCAUAGAAUCCAAAAUGUUAGUUCAAAAUUAGGGAAAAAGUCAUUUUUUUUCCACUAGCUGUAAUUGUAUCCAAGUCAAAUUGAGAUACGACCCUUUUCAAAAGGAUUUAACCAUCUUACAGCCUCCUUAAGGCACAUUUAAGCUAAAAGGAGUGAUUGGAGGCAGAACUAGGUGGGCCAAUCAGUCCAUUUUAUUAGUGACCGUUGCUUAAAAAAAAUUAUACUCUAAACCACACUUACUUUUUUGAAAAAAAAAUGUAAUUAUAUUGAAAUAAAAUCAGGUGGGCCAAUCCUCAUGGCACUCACUUUGUUCUAACACUCUUCACUAAAUUUGAAGAAAAAUAAAAUUAUACUCUUCACACUCGUAUUCAACAUUCCAAAAUUGAUAAAAUCGGGAGUUUUCUUUAAAAAUUUAAAAUUUGAAGACUUGUUCUCUUGACACCCUCAGUCAUUAAUUUUACCUAAUUAUGGUUUUUAUGAUUUUGGUUGUUUUGUUCAUAAAAAUGCUUUUACUAAAGGAUGUUCUGGUAAUAAUAAAAUUUAUAAAAAAAACAUGGGUGUGCUGAUAUAGUUGGAAAAAUAUGAGUGCAUAACUCCAAACAAAUAAAAGAUAUAUAUAUAUAUAUAUAAAUGGAGGAUUCUUACCUUAUUAUGCUUUAGUACGCGGCGGAUUUCCUUAGGAUCCCACAACCUGCUGCGUUUGCCUGGCUCUUUCUCAGAUUCUUGGCGAACAAUCUGUCGCCCCAUUUCUUGCAAUAUAUCAUGCAUCUGCAAGGAAUCACCUGAUAUUGAUAUGAGUGACUUAUCAAUAAGGACAUCCAGUCCAUCAGACUCAGAAUCAUCAAGAAUCCUUGCCAGAAAAUCUUUAUCCCCUCCCUCGAAGAAACACGCAAUAUCUAGAAAUAUGCUCUGCACCCUGGGCGUUAAUUCAUAAAAACUAAUCUUUAAUAUUUCAUAAAUAUUAUGAAUAUCAGAUUCACAAAUCCGAUUUAAGUCGUCCAAUACAUUUUCCCAAUGGCUUUUCCUCUUGAGAUACAGGGAGGAACCCAACACCUUAAGAACUAAUGGAUUGCCUUUGGCAUACUUUACAAACCUCCGUGAGUGCCGAUUGAGAUCUUCAGGACAAUGAUUUUCUUUAAAAGCGAAGUUACAAAAAUGCUCGAAAGCCUCAUCCAAUCUCAAUCCAUUGACCCUAUAUAUUUUCUCCACUCCAAAUUUUUCGAGGACUCGUUUAUCCCUGGUGGUUACAACAAUUCUACUUCCUGGACCAUAUUGAUCAAGCCCUCCAAUCAAACCCUCUAAUUGUUCAUCUUUAUUCACAUCAUCGAGUACAAUCAACACCUUCAUGCGUCGGACCCUCCCUUUAGUAAAUUGUGGAAUAUUGGGACCAGCUACUUCAAGUUUUUCACUUAAUAUUGUCGAAAGCAUUUCCUUUUGUAGGUCUUCUAGGCCACCCUCUGUUUCUGAUUUUCUCCUAACAUUUUUUGCAAAGUAUUUACCAUCAAACUCACCAGAGAAUUGAUCGAAAAUAGCUUCAGCAAGGGUAGUUUUGCCUAUACCACCCGUGCCCCAAAUUCCAACAAUUUGGACAGUAUCCCACAAAUCCAUACACAAAAAUGGUUUAAUCUGCUCAAUUCGUGAAUUUAAUCCAACUAGGCCGUUGGAUGAGUCCGUUGAGACUGUUAUUUUUUCCAACUUCUUCAAAACAUCUUCGACAAUUUUGUUUACAAGUUGCGCAUCAAGCCUAAUAUGAAGGUGCAAAGAUGCAAAAACAUUGAGUCAAAUCGGGCCAAGACAGAAACAGAGAAAAGAUGAAUUAGGAAAGAGAGUUACCUGAAUUUCGUGGAUUCAUGGCCGGCUAGAUGGGAUGUUUCUGUCAGUGCAUCCCUCCACUUCUGAACCAUUUCUGGUUUAUCUUUGAACUGUUUUUUGAGCUCAUCAAAACGGUCUCCAAAUGUUCCGUUUUGAUGCCGCACAUCAGAUGGACUUACUCCAUAGAAGACUGGAAUAAUAAUUUGGCCGUUUGUGUUCUUGCAUUCAAGAAUCUUGACAAGUUCAUUCAGGCACCAUUUUGAAGAAGCGUAGUCCUUUGAGAAAAUGACCACCGAAAUUUUUGAACCUUGGAUUGCGUACAAAAGGGCGGGUGAAAUCUCAUCUCCUCGCCUAAGCCCUUCAUCAUCAAUAAAUGUUUUGAUUUUCUUUCCUUCAUACAAUUUAUCAUAGAGAUAGCAAGUAAAGCUCUUACGAGUGUCCUCCCCUCUAAAGUUGAGGAAGACUUCAUAAUUGCCACAAGAAGAAGAGGAAGCCAUGAAGGAAAUUUUAGAAAAUUGGUGACAGAAACAGAGAAUUAAUCUUGAGAGUUGAGAGAGGAGAUGUAAGAAUGAACAUGUGUGAAGAUUCUUGCGAGUACAUAGUAAAUAAUUGAAUGGCUGGAGCUUUCUUAGUUUCCUGGAAAUUUCCUGGAGCUUUCGUAUACAUGAUUUGUCAAGUCAUGAAACAUAAUCAUGAUAAUGGGGCAGACCAAAAAGAAAAGCAACAAUUCAAAUAUUUGAUUCAACCAGUAUAAAAAGGAAGGAAAAGCAAAGAAAGGAAAUGUUGAAAGUAGAGUUAGGGAAUUAUAAAAAGCUGAAGGAAAUUGGAAUUUUGUACAAUUUCUCCAGCGAGGAACUUUCACAGUCGUUACCUCAUUGUUACAGUUUAGAUUAAGAUUUGAGGGUGCAAGCAUUUACCUAGAUUUUACCUCCGCACUAAAUUCUUAAGUUUGAAAAAUUAUGAGACCUUUAUAUUGGAAGAUAUUAUAAUCGAAUCAAAACUUAAAAUUUUAAUAUUGUUAAUCUUUAAUCUUUAAAAAAAAUUACCUUGCCGUUACAAUUUGGAUUAAGAUUUGAAUAAGCAUUUACCUAAAUUUUAUCUCCGCCUGUAAAUUCUUAUGUUUUAAAAAUUAUGAGACCUUUAUAUUGGGAGAUAUUAUAAUCGAAUCAAAAUUUUGAAUUUCAAUAUUAUUAUUCUUUUAAAAAAAUUUGAGAUAACAGAGUGAUUGAUAAUAGAGAACUUGUCUAGGCAAACACAUGCAUACACAAAAAUGUGAUGGAUUCAAAAAGAAAUUAAAGUGAUAAUGUACGUGGAUCCUUAAAACAAAAAGCGAAAUCGCUUGGUGGCCCAGUAAAAUUAAGACUGAAUAUUUUUUACACGAGAAGUCAAGCUCAUAAAUGGCAAAAGCCAUUUCAUUUCACUUUUACGCGUCAUUGACUUUUGUAACACGGUGUAUGCAUCGUCAAGUGGGGCAAAAGGGUUUCGAUUACAGUGGGAAAACAUGAACAAGAAUGCAUAAUGAAUAAUUCUUUCGAUAAAGCGAAAAUUAAACACAGAAUAAUCCUAAAAUUUAAACUCUAAUAUCUUAUAAUGUAUUGAUUAAAAAUAAUCCUAAGAGUUCCCAAUUGAAACUUUCAUAAGUAUUUUUAUUGUUUUGGAUAAACAAAUUGCACUAGGAAAACAAUUUGGCAAAUUCAGAGGAUAAUGAAAAAUAGCUAUGCUUCAAUAGGCCAAAGAUUAGAGAACAAAGAAGAAUUAGUUAUUGAUAUACGAAAGAGAAACACUCCAAAAUUUCAAGCAAAAUAUUUUCAUAUACCAUUUCGAUUUUGGAAGGGGUGUGGUUUUGAACUUCAAUAGUUUCCUCUAAAAUCAAAAGGCAGCAAUUAAGCUAGAAAGAGCAAAGAAGACUUUUUGGUACCUUAUUGAAGGUAAACAUUAUGGAACUUCCAAUGUCAUUACCUCACUGUUUAAUUUUUAUUGAGAUUUGUGCAAGCAUUUACCUAAAUCUUACCUCUGCCUGUAAAUUCAUAAGUUUUGAAAAUUAUGAGACCUUAUAUCGGGAGAUAUUAUAAUCGAACUAAAACUUAAAAUUUCUUUUCUUUUCUUUUUUUAUCAUAAAAGGGCUCUUAAGAGAGCUACGACAACACUAAGUGGGAGUGUGCAACCCCAUGAACAUCAUUAAUCAAUAUGUUUAGCGUAUUUGGAGGAAUAGAUUGAAAGCAAUGUAAACCCAAAGGAAACAAAAAGCUGUACGAAGUAAGGAAAUCUGCUGCUACAUUGGUUUCUCGGUAGAUAUGAUCCACUUUGAUCAGCCAAUCACGCCAAAGGAGUUCUUCGAUGGCCUGAAUGAGAAUAAAAUGCUCAUUGACGGGAGGGUUUUAGUUAGAGAUUAACUUCAUAACACACAUGCUGUCUACUUCCACGUAAAACUUAAAAUUUCAAUAUUAUUAUUCUUUAAAAAAAAAAUUGAGAUAUCAGAGUAAUAUCACAUAGAAAAACUUGCCCACGGACGGUAAGCCAAAUGUCUAGUCAACCACAUGCAUAAAGCUAAGUAGAACAAGAGAACAGAGAAACGCGUGGGUCCCUAAAGAAAAGGCAAGCACAUAAAUGAAAAAGCCAUUACAUUUCUAUUAACACGGUGUGGCAGCAUAUGCACAAUCAAGUGAGGCAAAAGGGAUUCGCUUAUCGUGGCAGAACAUGGACGAGGACGCGUGACGAAUAAUUCCUUCGAUAAAACGAAAAACAAACGCAGAGAAAAGAAUUUCUUAUAUGACAAGAAAUCAAAGAAAUGUGAAGGAACAUGAUGAAGAAAUUGCAGACUGAUCAAUUAUCCCCAUGGACUCCUAUAAAUUCAACCAAAAUAACAAUUCGAAUCUUACCAAAUUCUUGAGUUAAAUUUAUUCAAUGCUUUUAUUUUUUUAGAGAAAUUUUUUCCAUUGCUACUUUCCCUUUUUUGGGGAAAUUAGAACCGCGGCAUGUAUAGAAAACAUUGAGGUGUAAAGCAACAUUAAUUUCAUGGGAUAUGCGUUAUACGCAUAAUAUAUUUUCAGUCCAAAUUCAACUAUACAAAGAGGCUUGAGAACUUAAAAUUAAGCACAAACUAAACAGACGAAGUAAAUACAUGAUUAUGCAACAUAACAUUAAUUCUCUUAAUUUAUAACUGUUUUUGCCACAUGAAUCUUGCACAGUUAAUCCUAAUUGAAGACUAAAAAAGAGCAAUUGGAAGAAGGUUUUGGAAUAGAAUGGUAUACAAUCGAUAUGAUCCUUUUCCAGUAGUCAACGCUAAUUAACUGCAGUUUCUAGACUCCUAAUUAUACUAGCCAUAGAAAACUGGUGAUCAAAUUAGAUUUUGAAAGGAAAUAAUGUUCAUUUUCCCUUCGCUGCCUUUUUUUUUCUUUUCUUUUUAUAGCAAAGAAUUAUAUCAUGAAAAGAAUCAAUUUAAUCACCUUUUCCAGCAGCACAAUUUUUCUUUUAUAAAAUUUGACCACAGAGACAAAGAAGAAUUAUUCAUACCUUCAUCAGUGAGGAAAUACUUUUCGGUAUGGCUAGGGUGAGAAAAGGCUUUCCACAAACACUUGUACUUUGUAUUCCUGUAAAUUUUCUUUAAAGUCAAUAAAAACCAUAAGUUCUUUACAAUAACCACCUCUUUGAUAAAAAAGUGCCGUAUUCCUUUAGAAUUUAAAACCGGCAAAAUCGGAAUCAGUGUCUUUGAAGAGACAUAAUGGUCGUAAUUCUUUAAAUGAGUUGGCUAUGGAAAUCCUUAUCCAAGAUUCUUUUACGCCAUAUUCUUUCGUAAACCAAAAUUCAUUUUGGAAUACUCUGUUGAGAAUGUCAAAUAAAACGGCAUUGAAGGAAGUUUUCAAAGGUAGAAUCCGCACUUGUCAAAGGGAUGAUCUGCACUUGUCAAAGACACGAUCCGCGUCAAACGAAUCGACACAUUUCCUUUCGUAUUCGCAUAUGUAAUCUUUGAAAAAAUGUAGCUUCUGCAUCUAUAAAUAACGCUCAGUGUAUAAUGUUUUAUUCAAGAAAAAAAACAAGUUUCUUCAUACUCGUCGUCCGAACAUACAGAGACCGUCUCUCAUAACUUCAGCCGAAUACUUGUGAUGAUGAUCAUUUGUGAUUUCAUCAGGCAAAGGGUUGAUGGUGAAAAUUUUUGUAUGUGUGAAGAAUUGAGCUGUGGAUAUAGGGGACUUAAGUGUAAUCGAAAGAGAGUUAUUAGGUCAUAGUGCAGAUUGCAUUCAGUUUAUGGGUCGCUAUGCAGAUAAUUUGUUGACGUGGCGAAAUCUGUUAUGGUCGUUAGUAUUGUUUCUGGAAAUUUUCUAGAAACCUCAGCAUAAAAGGGGCUUUUGCAUAGCCUCUGGUGUGCGUGUGAUUUCUCUUUCGUUUCCUCAUCAAAUUCUGUAAUUCUUGCUUUGAUAAAAAGCUUGUAAUCUCUUCUGUAAUGUGUGAUCAGUGCGUAAUCAUUUUGAGCAAUAAACGCUUGUGGGUUUUUCCUUCAAACAGUGUCGUUUUGGUCAGUUUGUUAGUUUGAUCUGUUGGUGGAAUUUUCUUUGGUUAUUUGUUCUCAAAAUUCAACCGUAUAUAAAGUUUGAACUCUAAUGGCUUAUAAUGUAUUGAUUAAGAAUAAUCCUAAGAGUUCCCGAUUGAAAUUUUUAAUGACUAUUUUUAUUGUUUUGGAUAUACAAAUUGCAUUAAGAAAAAAUAUUGUCAAAUUCAGAGGAUAACGGGAAAUAAUUAUGCUUCAAAAGGCCAGAGAUUUGAGAACAAAGAAGCAUUCAUUACUGAUAUACAAAAGAGAAACACUCCAAAAUUGCAAGCAAACUAGUUUCAUAUACUGUUUGGAUUCUGGAAGGGGUGAAGUUUUGAACUUCAGUUGUUCCUCUAAAAUCAAAAGCAGCAAUUAAGCGUUCUCAAUUAGAAAUAGCAAAGAAGACUUAUUCGUACCUUACUGAAGCUAACAUUAUGGCACGGUUGUUCAUAUGUAAUGGCUGCUCUGUUAUGCUAUAUGCUCUGUUAUGCUAGCUUCUCUGUUUUUGCUUACAGUUUUGAACAUAAAUUCUUGCUCAAAUAACCCAUAAUUAAAUAACACUAAUAUGGCUCCUGAAAUCCCAUAAUAGCUAAUUACGCAACUUUCUCCUCCUCCUCAAUUAUGUCUUCCCCUGCUCGGACACUAACUUCAAAAUUCAAUGCCCCGAAAAACAACACAAGAAAUCUUUGAGUUAAAUCGUGACCAGUUUAUAUAUCGUAGCAAUUGAAAAAGAAAAAGAAGAAAAGAGUUAAUUAUUAUUCAGACCUUCACUUAUUAGGAAGUUUGUUCUGCUAUUGGGUGAGAUCAAGCUCUCAGCAUAUACUUCCACAUGAUACUUUCUAACAUUUUCUUGAAAGCCAUCAAUCAUAAAAUCUUCAUACUUUUUUCCAUCCUUUGGAUCAAUAAGUACAAAUUUCUCAUCUAAAACAGACAAAAUAAAAUCACUGUCCUUCAUGGAACAUAAUGGCUGCAAUGCCUGAACUGAAUUGGCUAAUGAAACAUAGUCUUCUUUUCUUUCUCGACAUGGAACAUAGUCUUCUUUUCUUUCUGGACAUAUGUCUCUGUACUUUUCUCUCUCUACUGAUCCACACUUUUUCAUACUUCUAACUAUCAUUUUGUUUUUUUUUUUGGUUAAGUUGUGAUUUAUUCAAUUAUUUUGUAUUUUUAAUGACAAUUAUUUAAUAUUUAGUUAGUUUUGAUAUUGAUUAGUGAUUGAAAGUGUAUUUUAGAAGACUUCCGGUCUCUUGGAAAAAGGAAAAAUGGAGACGAAGAAGAAGUGUUCUUGAUUUUUUUGUAGGCAUUAAAGUUAAACGGUUUGAAAUGAUAUUUUGUUUUAAUUUCACUCAUUAAUCUCAUUCAGGAUAAAAUUAUAAAUGCAAAUAAAUGGGGUUUCAUGAGUUUUUUUUAAUAGUGUUAAAAGGUCUACUCACUAAAUAAACAUGUUUUACCCAAACCAAUCCGAUUAAUAAAGUUAUUGGGUUGGGUUGAUCAGGUUAAAAAUCAAAAUUAAAAAUUAAAUAAAUAAAAAAGGCGUUAAAACUAUCUGUUACUUGAAAAUAAAAAGAAUUUCAAAUAGUUAGUUCUAAUGUCCCAUAUCCAAAACAUGCAUAUUAAAUAAAUAUUAUAAGUUAGAGAUAAAAUAUCCAAGAAAUAAUGAAUGAAUGAAAUACCAUAUUUUUGUUGAGAAUUAAGAGUGUGAUUUUAAUUUUGAUAUUGGAGUCUAAAGCAAUAGAUAGUACAAUGAAAUCAUGAAUGCCACAUUUAAAUAAUGUCUUUUAUAAAAUAAUAAAAAGAAGUUAAAAAUUAGGUUAGCCAUUUAGGCGUUUAGGGUUUAGCAGUUAAGGAUGAACAUAUUAUUAUUAUUGUUGUUGUUGUUGUUAUUAUAACAAUUAUUAUUUACAUAUUAAUUAAUCCAACCCAACCCAAUUAUUAACAAACUAGGAAAUAAAACCGCACUUCGUGCGGCUUUAAAAGAAAAUUAAUAUUAUUUUUUUAUUACUUUACAAUUGAUGAAACUAAUAAAAAAUAUGAAUUAUUUUUAAAAUGACGUAAUCUUAUAAAACUAAUGUUAUUUAUGAAAGUUAAUUAUUUUUUUGUUAACAUUAAAAAUAUAUAUUAAUGUGUAUAGUUAAGUGUACACAACUUUUUCAUCAAUAAAAAUUAUGUUCACAUUAAUCAACUCUCCAUUUUUCUUAGUAUUAACAGACUCUCACAUCUUACAAAGUCUGACCCUUAUUAUUCAACUAUCUUUAUCAUAGUUUAACUCAUGAAGAAAAUAGUACUCCAUGAAGCAUACAAUACUAAAAAUUUAAAUAAGUCAAAAAAUAAAAACACAAAAACAUUUCUAAAGAGAAUGUUGGUUAAAUAAUAAAAAAAACUCAAACAUAACAAAUCUUAAAUGCUUAAUAUUUAUAGAGCUUGAAGAAGCCAAAAGAUACUAAAUAAAAGGUUGCAUAAUUAAAUAUAGGAUUAUAACAUUAAAAUUAGGUCAUAAGGCAUUGGUGAGGGAAGAGGAAGGAACAUUCCUUCUUAUAUUAAUUAGUUGAUGUAUUUUAAACCACUAAAGUUUAUUUGUUGGCUUAAUAAAAUAAAUGAAUGUUUCAAAACUUAUAAUUAAUUUAUUAUUAAUGGUUAUAUAUUGUUGAAUUUAAAUAGAAAGAGAAAGAGACAUGUAAUCUUUUGUAAUCUAUUAAUUAUUUUAUAUUUUUAAUAUUUUGUAAUGUAAUUAUUUUUUAAUCUCAACCAAUAUGUUAGAUAAUAGAGAAUAUAAAAAGAUGAGAAAUAAUAAUGCCACAAAUCUUAACUACUUAAUAUUUAUAGAGUUUGAAGAAGUCAAAAGGUACUAAACAAAAGGUUGCAUAAUUAAAUAUGAGAUUAUAGCAUUAAAAUUAGACCCCACUGGCAUUAUUGAGAGAAGAUGAAGGAACAUUCCUUCCUAUAUUAAUUAAUUGAUAUAUUUAAGCUACUAAAAUUUAAUUGUUGGCAUAAUAAAAUAAAUAAAUGUUUCAAGAUUUAUAAUUAAUUAUUAUUAAUGGUUACAUAUUAUUGAAUUUAAAUAGAAAGAGGAAGAGACAUGUAAUCUUUUAUAAUCUAAUAAUUAUUUUUAUUUUUAAUAUUUUAUAAUGUAAUUAUUUUUUUAAUAUCAACUAAUUUAUUAGAUAAUAGAGAAUACAAGAAGAUGAGAAAUAGUGAUGUCACAUCACCUCCUCUAGUCCCAACUUUAUAUAUAUAUAUAUAUAUAUAUAUAAUAUUUUGUAAUGUAAUUAUUUUUUAAUCUCAGCCAAUAUAUUAGAUAAUAGAGAAUAAAAAAAGAUGAGAAAUAAUGAUACCACAAAUCUUAAAUAUUUAAUAUUUAUGGAGUUUGAAGAAGCCAAAAGGCACUAAACAAAAGAUUGAAUAAUUAAAUAUGAGAUUAUGACAUUAAAAUUAGACUCUAAUGGCAUUGUUGAGGGAAGAUGAAGGAACUUUCCUUCCUAUAUUAAUUAAUUAAUGUAUUUUAAGCCACUAAAAUUUAAUUGUUGGCAUAAUAAAAUAAAUGAAUGUUUCAAGACUUAUAAUUAAUUAUUAUUAAUGGUUACAUAUUGUUGAAUUUAAAUAGAAAGAGGAAAAGACAUGUAAUCAUUUAUAAUAUAAUAAUUAUUUUCUAUUUUCUAUUUUAAUAUUUUGUAAUGUAAUUAUUUUUUAAUUUCAACCAAUUUAUUAGAUAAUAGAGAAUAUGAAAUGAUGAGAAAUGGUGAUGCCACAUCACCUCUUGUAGUCUCAACUUUAUAUAUAUAUAUAUAUAUAUAUAUUAAUUCAUGUCUUUUAUACCACUAAAGUUUAAUUGCUAGCAUAAUAAAAUAAAUAAAUGUUUCAGAAGACUUAUAAUUAAUAUUAUUAAUGAUUACAUAUUGUUGAAUUUAAAUAGAAAGAGAAAAAAAUUACAAAGAAUAUCCACCAAUAUUUUAGAUAUUUUAGAUAAUAGAAAAUAUAAAAAGAUGAGGAAUGAUAUAUAUUAAUAAAGUUACUAUUUAUUAAAUGAGUUAAAUACAAUCAAAUUAAUUAUGAGAAGAUGAAAAGCCAAAUCUAAAAAAAAAAUCUCUAUUUAUUAGAUAAUAGAGAAUAUAUAAAGAAGUAAAAUGGUGAUGCCACAUCACCUACUCAAGUCCUAGCUUUAUAUAUACACUAGAAAAUAGAACCGCGUUUCACGCGGCUUUGAAAAAAAAUUUUAAUGUUAUCUUUUUUUUUUAUUUUGCACAUGAUGAAACUGAUAAAAAAUAUGAAUUGACUUUUUUUUAAGAUGAAGCAGCCUUAUUAAAAAAAAACUAUUAGCCAGCAAUACAAAUAAAGAAGUAAUGUAAGAUAAAAAAUAAAAUGAGAGAAUAUAUUAUAGAAUGAUUUUAUUCAUUCUAAUUGUGUGGUACAAAACAAAAAGAUGAGCUCUCAUUUUAUAGUUACAUAAUCACUCCAUGAAAUUAAUGAAAAAUUAUGGAUCAUAAUUCCUUGUGAGAUAGUGGGAGUUAUAGGGAAGCUAAAGGUUGCUAAUGGAAGAUAGUGGGGAGACUAAGAGAUAUAUGUUAUGAACAUCUACAUUUAUUUUAAUAAAUUCAUAACACUCCCCCUUUGAUGUUCAUUAUAAAAAAUAUGCCUCAUUAAAAUCUAUUAGCCAACAAUACAAAUAAAAAAGCCACACAAUAUAAAGAAUAAAAUGAGAGAAUAUAUUAUAGAGUGAUUUCAUUCAUUCCAAUUAUGUGUGUACAAAACAAAAAGAUGAGCUCUCCUUUUAUAGUUACAUAAUCACUCCAUGAAAUUAAUGAAAAAUUAUGGAUCAUAAUUCCUUGUGAGAUAGUAGAAGUUAUAGGAAAGCUAAAGGUUACUAAUGGGAGAUAGUGGAGAGAGUAAAAGAUAUAUGUUAUGAACAUCUACAUUUAUUUUAAUAAAUUCAUAACACUCCCCUUUGGAUGUUCAUUACAAAAAAUAUGUCUCAUUAAAACCUUUAUAUAAUUGUUAUUGUGUAAUAACAAUCAAAUUAAUUAUGAGAAGAUGAAAAGUCAAAUCUAAAAGAAAAUUUCUCUAUUUAUUAGAUAGAUAAUAGAGAAUAUACAAAGAUGAGAAAUAGUGAUGCCACAUCACUCUCUCAAGUCUCAACUUUAUAUAGAUAUAUAGAUUUGAAAUGAUUGACUCAAUUAAUCCACAAUAAUUCAUUCAACUCGUCUAAAUUAGAUUAUGUUGAAUUUGAUUUGCUACACCUACAUUGAGCAACAAACCUCAACGACAUUCUACGAGCUCUUUGAUUGUUUAUAAAAUUGAUUUAGAGUACAUAAAGUGUAUCGACAAUGAAAGUGCAAAACAAAUUAUUGUACAUAUUAAAAUGUGCAAAACAAUGAAUUAUAUGUACAAACGAGUGCAAACACAUUUUUCAAUAAGAAGUUAAAAGAUAUUUAUGCAUGAAAAAGCCUACGUUUGUAGUUAUUCUAAAUUUUAAAAACAAAAUUUACAUUUAGAUCCCUAAAAUUUACGUAUAAGUAUAAAAGUUUCAAAUAUUGUCUAUUAUUUUUUUAACAUGCCUAUUCCUUAUGGAUAAUUCUGUCUCAUCACUAAUGUUGUUUCUUGCUUAGAAAAAAUAAAUGUCAUCUCCUUUUACAAUUUUUAUAGCGUCUCGAAAUAGACAAUAGGGGAUUUUGAAUUUUUUAAGUCUCAAGAUAGUCUCUAAUCGUGUGAGAAAGAUUUUCUUUCAAUAAUUUGGAGCUAAACAUAACAUAUUUUUUAGACUAAAAUCUAACUCUGCUGGUUAGUAGUUGGUGGUAUCCUUUUCAAGACUUGAGUCUUUAGAUUCGAGUUUUAUAUAGUGUACAUGUGUAUUUAAUUAAUAAUUUUUUUCAAAAAAAAAAAUUACAUCAAAUACUAAUAUUCAUGACAUAAUUUAGUUCAUAAUUUUUUUAAAUACAUCGAAAAAUAUAAUUUUUUAACAACUUAUAGGCACGACAAAUUUCAAGAUAUAAAUAUCAGUCAAAAUAAAUGAAAGAAAUAAUGGUGUCAAUUCUAAUUUCUUAACUAAAUUAAUUAUUGCAUGAGCCCCGAAUACGACAUGAGAGUUUGAUGGGCUAACUUGGCACAAGAACGCGAAUAGUUAACUCAUUUAAGAAAUAAUUCAACAAAAAAUAUAAUUGAUAAGAAUUCAGUAUUGAAAUGAAUUUUUUACGAAACAUUGAAUUAAUGAUUAUUAAGCAAGAACAAUAAAAAAAUAAAAUAAAAAUAAAUAUUAACCAUUGAUAAGCUUCAACAAGAACUUAACACAACCCUCAAUCCUAAUUCAAAUCAUAAAUGUCAUUCAUAUAUUCAUUAUAAAUCAAUAACAAAGGUUAUAAAUGUUUAGAAAUUCUAGAGGGAAGGAAGCUAUCUCCGGGGAAUCAACAACUAAAUUUGAUGUAAUUGUGGCACACGAUGGAAUAUGGAAACUACACCAUAAUUUCAAAUGCCGCCAUAGACAUUGACUUAUCUACAAUAACAAUGAUCUAAUUAAAAUUAAAAUAAAGUUUAUGGGCAUUUAUUAUUUUGCCAUUUCUCAUUUGCAAACAGGGAUAUAAUUAUAAUUUUACUUAGUCAAAGCAAUCAGUAAUUUUCUUCAUUAUCGGAGUGAAGUAAAAACAUUUAGAUUUUAAUGAGUGUACGGAAAAUUUAUCUUUAAAAAUACUUUCUUAAUGUGUGUGUAUAUAUAUAUUGAAAUAUUAUGCUAUCAAAAGUUAAUUUUAGAAAUUCCAAAUCCAAUAGCUAACACAAUUCUUUAAAGAAAAAAAAAAAAAGGUUGAUAAUCAGCAAUUAGUAUUACUUUCUAAACUUACUUCAACUGGUCGUUAAUGAGGGGCCUUGGGCAAGAGUGAUGAAUGUUUAGUCGGUGCAUUUGAUUGAUAGAUAUAUAAAGGGCCGAAACUUGAGAUUAUAUUACUUUUACAAAUUUUAAUCCAAUCACAUAUUUACUGAAACACAAAAUGAGUUAGGAUACUUUAUUUAGAACCCACAUUUUAAUAAGGCUUCAUUUGAUGUAGUUUUUCAAACAGUGAUUAUUUGAGUAAAGUUUCCUCAAUAGAGUUUUUAUCAAAUAAAUUUUAUUUAUUUGGUUGUCGAUAAGAACUUUUAUUAAAAAUUAUAAAAUUAUUUAAAUAAACAUAUUUUUUUAAAAUUACAUUAUAAAAAGAAUUAAAUAAAGUUAUAAAAGUAAAAUAUAUUUUAGAUAUUUUAAUAUUUAAGAAAAAAAUUUUGAAUCUCUACUUUCAGAAGCUCAAAUUUUUAGUUUUUAGUUGUAGAGACAAAAUAUCUUAUUUAAUCUUUAAAAGUUCUGCUAAAAACAAUCAAAUAACUAUAAAAUUUUUAAUAAGAGUAUAUAAAAUUAAAUAAGCAUUUAUUAAUAAUCACUUUAGUGUACUUAUCUAAUGACCAUAAGUGUUUAUUUAAUCUCAUAAGUUCUUAUUUAAUCUCAUGAGCUCUUUUCAAUUUUUUUUGUUGUUUGCUUUUUUUAGUAGAGUUUUUGAAAAUUAAAUAAACUAUUUUGUCUCUAUUAGGAAAAACUCAAAUUUUAGGUUUUUGUGAGUAAAUGUUUAAAUUUUUUUAAAAAUAUUAAAAUAUUAAAGUAAAAGUUGUAGAGACAAAAUAUCUUAUUUAAUGUUUAAAAGUUCUGCUAAAAAUAAUCAAAUAACUACAAAAAUUUUAAUAAGAGCAUAUAAAAUUAAAUAAGCAUUUAUUAAUAGUCACUUUAGUAUACUUAUCUAAUGACCAUAAGUGUUUAUUUAAUCUAAUGAGCUCUUUUUAAUUUUGUUUGUUUGUUUUUUUAGUAGAGUUUUUGAAAAUUAAAUAAACUAUUUUGUCUCUAUUAGGAAAAACUUAAAAUUUAGGUUUUUGUGAGUAAAUGUUUAAAUUUUUUUUAAAAUAUUAAAAUAUCUUUUCUUUAUUUCAUAAUCUUAUUUCAUUCUUCACAACAUAACUUUAAAUAACUCACCUAUUAAAAUAAUUUCACAAUUUAUAAUAAAAAUUUUAAUUGACAAUCAAAUAACAAAUUUUUUUUUAUAAAAACUCUAAUAAUAAAAAUUCUACUUAAAUAAAUUAUAUUUGAAAAGGUAUACCAAACGAACCUAACAUAAAAACAAAAAUUUUUACAUCCACACAAUUAAGCUUAAAACAAUUUCAAAUGAAUUUUAGACUACUCAAAGUACAAUACGUACCAAGUUUGGUAACUUAUUGGGGUCCGCUUGUAAUACAGCUCAUGAGCUCUUUUUAAAAAAAUUUUGAAUCUCUACUUUCAGAAGCUCAAAUUUUUAGUUUUUAGUUAUAGAGACAAAAUAUCGUAUUUAAUGUUUAAAAGUUCUGCUAAAAACAAUCAAAUAAUUACAAAAAUUUUAACAAGAGCAUAUAAAAUUAAAUAAGCAUUUAUUAAUAAUCACUUUAGUGUACUUUAUCUAAUGACCAUAAGUGUUUAUUUAAUCUCAUGAGCUCUUUUUAAUUUUUUUGUUGUUUUUUUAGUAGAGUUUUUAAAAAUUAAAUAAAUUAUUUUGUCUCUACUAGGAAAAACUUAAAAUUUAGGUUUUUGUGAGUAAAUGUUUAAAUUUUUUUACAAAUAUUAAAAUAUUUUUUUCUUUAUUUCAUAAUCUUAUUUCAUUCUUCACAACAUAACUUUAAAUAACUCACCUAUUAAAAUAAUUUCACAAUUUAUAAUAAAAAUUCUAAUUGACAAUCAAAUAACAAUUUUUUUUUAAUAAAAAUUCUACUUAAAUAAAUUAUAUUUGAAAAAGUAUACUAAACAAACUUUUUUUAGACUAAUCAAAGUACAUCUUCUCAUAAAAUAAUUUCACAAUUUCUAAAAAAAACUCUAAUUGACAAUUAAGUAACAACUUUUUUUUUUUUGUAAAAACUUUAUUUAUAAAAAAUCUAAUAAUAAAAAUUCUAUUUAAAUAAAUUAUAUUUGAAAAUGUAUACUAAACCAACCUAACAUAAAAACAAAAAUUUUUACAUCCAGACAAUUAAGCUUAAAACAAUUUCAAAUGAAUUUUAGACUAAUCAAAGUACAAUACGUACCAAGUUUGGUAACUUAAUUGACAUCUUCUCAUAUAACCUUCGAUCAAGUCGAUUCUGACCUGACGACUAAUUGGUACAUCACCGUUGUUCUCUAUACUCGCAUGCAUCCGAUCACAAAUCUCACUCCAAUUGUCGUCUUUCUUCGGCGUUUUAGCGCAUCCUUCUUGAAUUUCCCGCAUUUCGUUCCCUCCUGUUACAAGUCUCCGGUCAGGUCAGUUCACUUGACGAUUAAUUCGGCAAAUCUCGAAUCUCUUCUCUAUCCCUCUCGUUUUCUCGUGUCUCCUUUCAGUUUAAGUGAUUGAAUCAAUUUUAUCGCAGUCUUAAGAGAAAUUAAGUAAUGCUCUUGGAUUUAAAAUUUUUUUGCUUUCGACUUUAGAUCUCGAAAGUCAAACUCUGCUACGAAUCCAUAGAUUCUCAAUGUUUAUAAUCUUAUUUGUGUUUGACCAGGUAACUGGAUCGUGAAAUUCGUCGUUUUGUAUCAAUUCAGGCUUUCGCGAGCUCAUGGAAUCACCUGGUGAGUUGUGGUGAAACGUUAUCGUUUCAAUUUUCGCUUAAUUCUUUAUUGCAUAUUUUUUCUCUAACAUUUCAGUUUAAUUUAGAAAAGAAAGAGGACCCAAAAAGAGAGAGAGAGAGAGAGACUCUACCAUACUCAAUUCCUUGCUCAUUCUGAUUUGGCCUGAAUGUUGGCAUUGACUAUUAUUUGUUUUCAUUUCGAUUUAAUUCUCAUUUAGACAGUCUUUACUAACGGUCAAUAAUAGUUUAAGGAAAAUGAUAAUAGGGAUUCUGCAAUAAUCUUUCUGCAUUGUUCAAGUUAGUAGACGAUGAAUAGGAUGUUUAUGUUUACCUCAUUUUGAACCCUGAGGGCUUCGUUGAGUAGUUGAUUCAACAUAUCCAGCAACGGUUGAUGUGAGAACAGGAUGCCACUUAGAUAGGCUUAAACUGAUUUUGGAGGUUUGUAUUGGUUCUAUUGUACGUCUUGCUUACAAAUUUUUUAUUUUUUAUUUUUAAUUUUGUAUAAUAUGCUCUUUGUUGGUAAAUCUCAUUUGACUUAGAAGAGAUAGUUUUAUCCCAACAGUGGGAUAAAUCAUUGAGAUGCAUGGCAGUGUGAAUAUAGUAGACAAAAUCAUUGAGACACAUGGUGGUGUGAACAUAGUAAACUUCAUGGAAGCAAUGAAGCUUGAAAUUGAACGUCUGCAGCUGAAUCUUUCUGCAGCUGAAAGGGAUAGAGCUUUAUUGUCAAUCGGAACUGAUCGUGCCUCUAUAAAUCCAAAUGUAUUGCUUGAUGAAUCUUACAUGGGAAGACUGUGUCGAGUAGCAACCACUCUUGCAUUACUUGGCCAAACUUCCCUAGAAGACAAAAUUGUUGGUGCAAUUGGCCUUGAGAAUAGUGAUGAUAGUGUUUUAGACUUCUGGAAUAUUACUAGAAUCGGAGAGAGUUGUUCUGGUGGCUGGUGGCGGGUGCAAGGUUCGUGCAGAAACUAAGGUGCCUGCUCUUGCUUCCUCAACUGCAACAUCUGUUGGAGCUUCACAAUCCCCUUUGUUGUGUUCUCAAUGUGAAAGAAAAGUUUGCAAAGUUUGUUGUGCAGGAAGAGGAGCUCUACUGUUUUCAAAUUAUAAAUCAAGGGAUGUGACCAACUACAAUGGCUUCUCAAGUCAGAGUGGAUCAAGCCAUGGAAGCCAAGUUGAUGUACCUACCAGUCGUUCACUAACACUGGAUGGCGUUGUCUGUAAACACUGCUGCCAUGAGAUUGUGCUUGAUGCAUUGAUGUUGGACCAUGUUAGGGUCUUGAUUAGCUUGCGAAGAAGUUCCCGUGCAGACAACACAGCAUACAAUGCUUUGAAUGAGGUUGUUGGAUCCUGCUUAAAGGAUAGUCUUUCUGAAAGGAUUCAGUCUUCCGAUAACGUGCAAGCUGCUGAAGUCCUUCACCAAUUAUGUGGUGGACAGGAAUCAGUUGCUGAAUUUCCAUUUGCUAGCUUUUUGCACUAGGUAUGUUCUUGGUUUGUAUUCAGUUCUCAUCAUGUUAUGUUUUCCUUUUAAAUUUCUUUUCUUGAUUAAAAUUUUUAGAAAUAUGUUUUAGUAUUUGUUCUUAUGAUAUAUGCCCAGAACAUUCAUCCCACUUAUCCAUGAGAAUCCUUGUCUGGUUUGAUUUUCAAUUGAGACAUUUUUGGGAACCCUGAGCAGGUUCCAUAUGCUAAUAAUCUUUGAGGUAAGGUGUUGUAGGAUGCCUUGAGAAGCUAAAAACCAAUUACAAGGAAAAGCUCUUGCAUUGUUUUGUGCAAUCUGUGUGCUAGCAAGUCAUGUCUCUAAUAAUUUCAUAGUUCGCUUGAUUGGAAUUUUUUAUCUUGAUAUGGAUUGUUUAUUCUAGAUUCCUUGGUGCCACUGUAGGUUGAAACAGCAAAAGAUUCAGCACCGAUUUUGUCACUGCUUGCUCCAUUAAAUUCUGGAUCAAGGCACUCAUAUUGGAGAGCUCCACCUAGUACUACUUCUGUUGAAUUUGUUAUUGUUCUCGGUUCUGUUUCUGAUGUCAGUGGGGUUAUCUUGCUUGUUAGUCCUUGCGGCUAUCUGUGGCUGACACUCCGAUGGUAAGUGCCAUAUUUAUUCCCUUAUUUCCUUGUUGUUCAAUAAAUUUGGUGAUAAGCCAAGUGGCCUUAAUAAUGAAGCCCAGUACCAGGGGUGGUGGGUAAUCGAUAUUCAACUUGUGAAUAUUCCUAAGCAAGCACGGAAUCAACAUAGACGUCGGCAAAAAUUCUCCAUGCUAUUAUAACGAAAGUCAUAUUUUGAAAUGAUUAAAAGAGUCCCUUUGUAGUGCCAUUGCCAAAGAAAUUGCAGCUGGGGGUUUAGUUUCAUGUAGGUUAGUUUCCGAUAAUAAACUUUCCAUUUCAUUAAUUGCUGAUGAAAAAACCAAGUAAGAACAGUUUCGUUGCUCGUCAUUUAUGUAUAUUUUGGUAAACUGUAAUUUUAAAUUCUCAACGAUCUUCCCUUGGUAGGUAAGAAGAUGGUCCACUCACUUUAUAUUUAUGAUUGUAGAUCAGGUUUCUAUUGGUUUGCCUUUAUCAUUGGGAACCCAAGUUUGAUAUUAACAGAGAUCACGUCAAUAAUAUCCUAUUUGGGUAGAUGUGGGUGAGGAUUUAAAAUCAAAUUUGAAAUUGGGGGAAAGAAGAGAAAAGGAACCACAAUAAUUAAACAAAAUAUUAGGAACUAUUCUGAUGAGUUUUAAUCUCGAGAGGAACAAUUUUCAAAUGCAAAUUUAACUGCUAGAGAAAUUGUAGCUUUUUGUCAUUAGUUAAGAGGAAAGAGAAUAAGAACUAUCCAGCCCUUUCCUUCAUGAAUGUGUGUUGAGGUUGCUGUAUUAUUUAGUCAGUAUUUGUAAUUUUCUUCCCUGCAGUGCUCUCUGCCUCCUGAAUUUGCUACUGAGUCCAUAUUUUUCUUUGAGCUGUUGCUUCCUAUUGCUGUUACAAGUACAAAUCUGGGCAAGCAAUAAGAUACACCGGGAGGAAAGGUCAUCAAUGGGAAAAUGGGAUGUCCAAUCCCUCAUCACAUCUUCUUCAGACUUGUAUGGUCCAGAAAAGACAGCUAGUGUUGAAAAAUUACCUAGGCAUGUAAAAUUUACUUUUAAGAAUCCUGUUAGGUGCCGCAUUGUUUGGAUCACAUUACGUCUUCAGAGACCUGGUUCGGCUUCAGUUAAUUUCGGGAAGGACUUCAGUCUUUUGUCUCUUGAUGAAGAUGAAAACCCCUUUGCGCAAGUAGACAGACGUGCUUCAUUUGGAGGAGCAGUUGAAAAUGAACCAUGUAUUCAUGCCAAAAGAAUUCUUGUAGUCGGAAGCCCAGUAAAAAGGGAGGGGCUUACCUCAUCACAGAGCUCUGAGCAGCUAAGUAUUAGAAACUGGUUGGAUAGAGCUCCACAAAUGAGUAGAUUCAAGGUAUUAGUUGCUUUCACUCUUUGUUCAUUCAUAAUUCCAGCUUUCUGCUUGAUGCCCUGCCUCUGAUAAACCUCUUUUUUUCUCUUCAGGUCCCAAUUGAGGCCAAGAGAUUGAUGGACUACGAUCUCGUCUUGGAACAAUAUCUACCUCCAGCGUCACCUUUGCUUGCCGGAUUCCAUCUAGACGCUUUCAGUGCAAUAAAACCUAGGGUUACCCAUUCACCUUCCUCAGAUUCAGAUAUCUGGGACAAAUCAGUAACAUUUUUAGAAGACAGGUACAUCUCUCAAGCUGUGUUGUAUUUACAAGUAUCCGCACUCCAGGAACCACAUAACAUGGUAACUAUUGCGGAAUAUCGACUGCCGGAGGCUAGAGCCGGAACGCCAAUGUACUUUGAUUUCCCAUGACCGAUACAGUCCCGACGAGUUUCAUUCAAGCUUCUUGGAGAUGUUACAGCAUUUGCAGAUGAACCUUCAGAACAAGAUGAUUCAGGAUUGAGAGCUCCACUUGUGGCCACAGGUUUGUCUUUGUCAAACAGAAUCAAGUUAUAUUAUUAUUGUGAUCCUUAUGAGCUCGGAAAAUGGGCAAGCCUUUCUGGAGUUUGAUCGUUAUUUAUAUGUCAGAGAAAGGGUUUUGGGUUUGAUUUUGAUUUUGAUUUGUAAUUUUUGUCAGUUUAUUGAAAUUUUUUGUUGUAUAAAAGCAGAAUGUAAAGGUAUAAAAAUUCAUUGAUGCUGCAAUGUCUGUGCUUUUGAGAAAGAAGAAUUAAUUGUCUUUUCUAUGCCAUUGGAGUUUCCCACUGCUUGUAUACUUGGGCUGUCGAAUGCUCUGUGAACCUUAAGGGCUAUAAAGUAAUUUUCAAGACUGAAGGAUUUAUUAAUCGAGUUCAAAAGAUUGUAAGUUGGUGACUGGUGAGCGUUGGCAUUUAAAAAUCAAUUGUUAUUCUCUCAAUAAUCUCUCUCUUCUCCUCGUGAAGUGUUUUCUUUUUCGAGUGAAGGUGGUUUUCCACUUGCAUACGUCGGGGGUCUUAUGAUAUGUAAUGUGUGAAAUUUCUUUCUCAUUUUACCAUAAAGAAAAAUGUUGUAAUAAUCUAAAGCUCGAGUCUUAAAUUAUCUUAAAUUUAUAUUUAGAGUGGAGCUAUUCGCAACCCUAUAUUAAAAUUACAAUUAAAAACAAUUGAAAAUUAAACACUUAUAGAUUCUUUUUACAGCAAAUUACUUAAUUCAUAAUCAAUCCUUUAAAAAAAAAAUACAUAUGUUAUUUCUUAUCUAACUAAAAUAAAUUGUACAAAUUUAGAAUAAUCUAUUGUUCUCUUUUGAUUUCUUAUUAUUUAAAUAUUUUUAUACAUAAAGUUACUUUGAAAUUAUAAUUUGAAAUAUGUGUUAUUUCAGCCAAUGAUUAACACUAAAAAAUUUAUCACCCAUAUAACUUUUUAAUUUGUGUGUAGGGUAAUAAUAAAAUCGAAAAUAAUUAAAAAAAUAGUACAAUAAUGAUUUUUAACAAUAAAACAAAUCAAAUGAAAAUUGAAAAUUUAGAAAAGUGUAUCUAAAAAAAGGAACGUUUUCAAAAAUAAAAUGAAUAUAACUAAAAAGAGAUUUUAUGAGGAGAUCACUGGGGUGCCAAUAGUCCAACUUGUAAUUAAGAAUCUCCCAUUAUAUUGUCAACCAAAAAGACACUUGAAUAAGAAGAAGAAUUUAUCAGUUUGAUUUUAUUUGUAGAUCCAACAUUUCUCAUAUCCUGAACGCCUUUUCGUAUCAAAUUAAAACAGUAGUAGCAAAAUCGUAGUAUUAAAAUCGUAGUGCACAUUCAAUUAACCAACUAAUAGUCUUUGGUAUAAGAUUUUAUAUUAGGUAGCCAAGUAGGUUGUCCAUCCCACUCAGACAUGCACGAAAGCUAAAUUCAUCAAAUGAAUUACUUAAGAAGUAUUUGAUAAUUUUGAAAUUAUCAAAAGGUGUUAUACUAUUAAAUAUUUUUAUACUUAAAAUUGUUUUGAAAUUAUAAGUUCAAAUUAAAAUAAUAGUAGCAAAAUCGUAGUGCACAUUCAAUUAACCAACUAAUAGUCUAAGAAGCAAAGAGAGGAUUACAAGUUCACAACACCAUUACAAAGGAUUCAAAAUUCCCACACGAAUACAUCAAUGUACAGAUUAUAAACAAUCCGAAUUGGACACAAGAAAAACCCUUCAAUAGAUUGCUUGCCUUCCCAAUGCUAUAUACUGUGCAAACUGCGCAUUGGCCAAGAAAAUGUUUUCAAUUUAGUGUAUUUUCAAAAUGCUUAUUUUCUCAUAGUAUAAAAAAUAAAAAAAAUAAGAAAGAAUUCUCACAUGUUUCAUCAGCAUGAUUAAAAUCAAAGAAGAAAGCGAGACAUAAUGUCUCUGACAUAAUAAAAUUACAAAAAUUUCAAGGAAAAAAAAAGGUUAAAACAUGUAAUCUUCAGAAGCAUAUAAUAAAAGAACACUUCCACAAAUUACUACAAUUUCAUGCAGUAGAGAUUGAAGAGUUGAAUUCCACUAAUUUUAAUAAUGAAAACAACAACAGAGGAUUAACUGAUGCUUUGACUUAUUAGUUCUGCAGAGCAUCUCCAAAAGCCUAUAUAAAUUUUACUCUUCAAAUACUUAUUUGCUUACCUAUGUGGCAAAUAAAAGGGUGAAAAAAUAUGAUAUUCUCCAAAAGACUCUUCAAAUAGAAAAAAGUUAAUAUUAUUUUAAUCAUAUAAUUAAUUUUUUAAAGAAAAAGUCAAUAGCAAUUAAAGCACUUCUCUCUCUUUCUUCAAUGAAAAGUAAUAAAAUAUAAAUUGAAGAGGGAGAAAUUAACUCUCCAAAUUUGAAGAGAGAGAAUUAAUUCUUAUUUAAAGAAUCUUAAUUGAAGUGUCUUUUGGAGCUUUAAAUAUUGAUGUGGCUCUUCAAAUAAGUAAUAAAAUCUUAUUUGAAGAGCCUUUAAAUAAGGUGCUUUCAAAAGCAAAAUGGAAUACAUAGAUAAAAACAUCAUCUUAAACAAAUCACAAUCUAGAAUUAGAGCAUUUUCGACAUACCUAAGGAAAACGAAUACGUGAAAACGGGUGAUUCAUUUGUUAAGGAGUGUUGAUUUGGUCGUCUCUGCAAAUUCUUUAGGGACUCGGUUCCAAUUCCUCAUCAUCAAAACUGUAAUAUAAUUCCCCUUCAUCAGAACUCGAAUCGAUGCAAUAUAAUUCCCCUUCAUCAGAACUCGAAUCAAAUUCACUUGCAGCAGUUCCACUCGCGCUUGGCAAAUCAUCCAAUUUCCAAACUUCGGUAGCAAAAUUGAGAGUAAAAGUGUUGGCUUUGAUCUCGCUGGGAUUUGCAUAUACUGGACAUACUCCGCAACGUUUUAUCUUCUGACCCUUUUGGACCUUUAUUAUGUUUCGGUAACGCUCAUUGAAGAACUUAAGUGAGACAGUUGUAUGAUGGUAACCAUCAGGAAAGCCAACAUUCAAGCAAGGUUUAAAACCAAGUAUGACAUGAUCUGAAUCAUGGGGGUCUUUAAUAGAGUCCCAAUAGAAACUCAGAUCAACAUGUUUGGUUUCAGAGAGAGUCUUUAUUUCUAAGUCGGAUCGACAGUAAACGUAAAAAUAACGAGAACGAUCAGAAUAAAGUUGCUUAAAAUCAAGAACAGCACAAAAAGCAAACCCGAUUAAGUUUCUGCAAAAAGAGUGCGGUGGCAGUUGAAUACGUAUCGAAGAUCCUGAACUUUGAUUGCUGAACCAGUCAGGAAUUUCGCUCCCAGGUAAAACAAUUUGGGAUUCCCUGAGUUCAGAAAGUUUCUGUGAAACGACAUUUAAAAAAAGAAAAUUGUAAAAUGAAAACCAUGAUUUCAGAUAUAACAAAGAGGGACAGAGUAAACAAGAGAGGGAAUUUGAUACCUCGUUGUAUGCAUUUUCAUAGCCCAGUCUCAGUGAUGCUGCAAUUGCCAUACGUAGUGAAUCUGCCAAAAUCUUGUUGUUUGCUUUUCCAUCAAGUUUCAAGCAGUUAGUAAACCCAAAAUAAAUUGGUUGUGGCGUCACAUAUUCCGGAUGCCAUUGACGAAGGUCAGGAGAGGGUUUGGAUAGCUUUUCGAGUACGGAUGCAUCUAGUUCUUGUACACAUGACGGAAUCUCUGGCAAAGAUUGAAGCCGGUUGCAGUUCAUUGCAAUUAGUGACUGUAGACACAAUGGAAGUUCAGGUAAUGACCGAAGCAUGUUACAAUCCUCCAAGUGAAGAGUUUCUAAACCCAAUGGAAGUGCUGGUAAUGACUGAAGCAUGUUACAACGCCACAAGUGAAGAGUUUCUAGACCCAAUGGAAGUUCUGGUAAUGACUGAAGUAUCUUACAAUCCCUCAAUUCAAGAAAUUUUAGGCCCAAUGGAAGUUCUGGUAAUGACUGAAGCAUAUUACAAUCCUCCAAGUAAAGAUAACUUAGCCACGACAGUUGCUUGAUACUUGCAGGUAAACUCUCAAAGUUAUUUCCAUUUAAAUUGCCAAUGUUAUCCGGCAACUUAUCAAGUACAGAGCAACCACUUACGGACAAAAGUACAAGCCCCGUUUGCAAUGCCUCAAAUCCAACUUUUCAAGAUCAGUUAGGCACUCUACUGAUGAUGGAACUUCUUCUAUUGCAGUCUGGCCCAAGUUUAGCGAUGUUACUUUCCCAGAAAUCUGUGGAAACUCUAUGAGAUUAACACAAUAGGAGAAAUCAAUAGUUACUGGACAAACAAAAUGAAGAUUGCUAGGAAAAGACCUAAGACUUUUGCAGCCCAUAAAAUCCAACCUACUGAGAUACUUGAAAUUCUGGAUAUAUGAGGGAACACAAGCCAAGUUUGUAUAAUCCAAAAGAUAUGUUUCAACAUUUGGGGUUUCUAAUGGGCCUGGCAUCUUAAUGAAAUGUCGAGAAUGGCUGAGGUUAAUAGAUUUUAACUUGAAAGCUUCCUGCAAUAACAGAUAUAUAAAGACUAUAUUAAUUAAAAAGCAACAUUGAAUUCAACAAUUAAUUGCACGUAUAUUUAAAGAAAGAAAAAAUUAAUGUUUUAGUUUUAGUACAGAACUUACCUUUUCUCCUUCCCAAAGUUGCUCAACUUUACUAAAACGCAAAUUCAGUUCAACAAGGUUCUUUGGCUUGAAAUUUGAUGGCAGUGUCCUUAAGGGAUAUGUGUCCCAAUGAAGAUAUCUCAAUUUUUUAGGAAGAUAAUCUAGGCCAUUUGGAAGCUGCACUUUAGAGUAUGAAAGUUGCUCUUCAAUGCUCAUACUUAGAAACUUUUCAAUCUCAGGUACAUAAAAUUUGAGCAAUCUUAGAUUAGACAUUUUUGUGAAGGCUCCAGGGUCUAAAUUGAUGCCUUUUAUUUUGGACAAAUCCAGAAAUAUGCCUUCAAUUGCAUCGGUCCCCUUAUUAAAAAAAAAAACAAAGAAUGAGUAACCCUAAAACAGAAAAGAAACAUUCGCAAACUUUAUUAACUAAGAACUCCUUAAACAAAAACAAAUUCUGCAAUCUUUGAUUUUAUUUUUUAAAAAUAUUAAAUAUCUAUAUAUGAGAAAAGAAAAUUUUGGGGACCAUUGCAAAAUUAAACUAACCAAAAAAAAAAUUCAAAAUUUCUCUAAUUUACAAACCUGUUAUCUUAAUAUCUAGAAGUUGAGAAGACAAGGCGUAUUUGAUUGGUAUAAGAUUUCGAUUUUUUUUUUAGUCCAUAGAAUCCAAAAUGUUUGUUCAAAAUCAGGGAAAAAAACGAAAGUUAUUUUUUUUUCCACUAGCUGUAAUUGUAUCCAAGUCAAAUUGAGAUACGACCCUUUUCGAAAGGAUUUAAUCAUCUUAUAGCCUCCUUAAGAUACAUUUAAGCUAAAAGGAGUGAUUGGAGGCAGAACUUAGUGGGCCAAUCAGUUCAUUUUAUUAGCGACUGUUGCUUAAAAAAAAUUAUACUCUAAAACACACUUACUUUUUUGAAAAAAAAUAUAAUUAUAUUUAAGUAGAACCAGGUGGGCCAAUCCUCAUGGCACUCACUUUGUUCUGACACUCUUCACUAAAUUUGAAGAAAAAUAAAAUUAUACUCUUCACACUCUUAUUCAACAUUCCAAAAUUGAUAAAAUCUGGAGUUUUCUUUAAAAUUUUAAAAUUUGAAGACUUGUUCUCUUGACACCCUCAGUCAUUAAUUUUACCUAAUUAUGGUUUUGGUUGUUUUGUUCAUAAAAAUGCUUUUACUAAAGGAUGUUCUGGUAAUGAAAAAAUUUAUAAAAAAACAAACAUGGGUGUGCUGAUAUAGUUGGAAAAAUAUGAGUGCAUAACUCCAAACAAAUAAAAGAUACAUAAAAAAAAAAAAGGAGGAUUCUUACCAUAUUAUGCUUUAGUACGCGGCGGAUUUCCUUAGGAUCCCACAACCUACUGCGUCUGCCUGGCUCUUCCUCAGAUUCUUGGCGAACAAUCUCUCGGCCCAUUUCUUGCAAUAAAUCAUGCAUUUGCAAGCAGUUAUCUGACACUGUUAUAAGUGACUUGUCCACGAGGACAUCCAGUCUGUGAGACCCAGAAUCAUCAAGUAUCCUUAACACAAAAUCUUUAUCCUCUCCCUCAAGGAAACACGCAAUAUCUAGAAACAUACUCUUCACCCUGGGCGUUAAUUCUUUAAAACUAAUCUUUAAUGUAUCAUAAAUACCAUGAAUAUCAGAUUCACAAAUCCGAUUUAAGUCGUCCAAUACAUUUUCCCAAUGGCUUUUCCCCUUGAGAUACAGGGAGGAACCCAACACUUUAAGAACUAAUGGAUUGCCAUCGGCAUACCAUACAACCCUCCAUGAGUGCCGGUAGAGAUCUUCAGGACAAUGAUUUUCUUUAACAGCGAAGUUACAAAAAUGCUCGAAAGCCUCAUCAAAUUUCAAUCCAUUGACCCUAUAUAUUUUCUCCACUCCAAAUUUUUCGAGGACUCGUUUAUCCCUGGUGGUUACAACAAUUCUACUUCCUGGACCAUAUUGAUCAAGCCCUCCAAUCAAACCCUCUAAUUGUUCAUCUUUAUUCACAUCAUCGAGUACAAUCAACACCUUCAUGCGUCGGACCCUCCCUUUAGUAAAUUGUGGAAUAUUGGGACCAGCUACUUCAAGUUUUUCACUUAAUAUUGUCGAAAGCAUUUCCUUUUGUAGGUCUUCUAGGCCACCCUCUGUUUCUGAUUUUCUCCUAACAUUUUUUGCAAAGUAUUUACCAUCAAACUCACCAGAGAAUUGAUCGAAAAUAGCUUCAGCAAGGGUAGUUUUGCCUAUACCACCCGUGCCCCAAAUUCCAACAAUAUGGACAGUAUCCCACAAAUCCAUACACAGAAAUGGUUUAAUCUGCUCAAUUCGUGAAUUUAAUCCAACUAGGCCAUUGGAUGAGUCCGUUGAGACUGUUAUUUUUUCCAACUUCUUCAAAACAUCAUCGACAAUUUUGUUUACAAGUUCCGCAUCGUGCCUAAUAUAAAGGUGCAAAGAUGCAAAAACAUUGAGUCAAAUCGGGCCAAGACAGAAACAGAGAAAAGAUGAAUUAGGAAAGAGAGUUACCUGAAUUUCGUGGAUUCAUGGCCGGCUAGAUGGGAUGUUUCUGUCAGUGCAUCCCUCCACUUCUGAACCAUUUCUGGUUUAUCUUCGAACUGUUUUUUGAGCUCAUCAAAACGGUCUCCAAAUGUUCCGUUUUGAUGCCGCACAUCAGAUGGACUUACUCCAUAGAAGACUGGAAUAAUAAUUUGGCCGUUUGUGUUCUUGCAUUCAAGAAUCUUGACAAGUUCAUUCAGGCACCAUUUUGAAGAAGCGUAGUCCUUUGAGAAAAUGACCACCGAAAUUUUUGAACCUUGGAUUGCGUUCAAAAGGGCGGGUGAAAUCUCAUCUCCUCGCCUAAGCUCUUCAUCAUCAAUAAAUGUUUUGAUUUUUUUUCCUUCAUACAAUUUAUCAUAAAGAUAGCAAGUAAAGCUCUUACGAGUGUCCUCCCCUCUAAAGUUGAGGAAGACUUCAUAAUUGCAAGAAGAAGAAGAGGAAGCCAUGAAGGAAAUUCUAGAAAUUUGAAAGUAGAUUUAGGGAAUUAUAAAAAGCUGAAGGAAAUUGGAAUUUUGUACAGUUUCUCCAGCGAGGAACUUUCACCUCCGCACUAGAUUCUUAAGUUUUGAAAAUUAUGAGACCUUUAUAUUGGAAGAUAUUAUAAUCGAAUCAAAACUUAAAAUUUUAAUAUUGUUAAUCUUUAAUCUUUAAAAAAAAAUUACCUCGCCGUUACAGUUUGGAUUAAGAUUUGAGCAAGCAUUUACCUAAAUUUUAUCUCCGCCUGUAAAUUCUUAUGUUUUAAAAAUUAUGAGACCUUUAUAUUGGGAGAUAUUAUAAUCGAAUCAAAAUUUUGAAUUUCAAUAUUAUUAUUCUUUUAAAAAAAAAAUUGAGAUAACAGAGUGAUUGAUAAUAUAGGAGAACUUGUCUAGGCAAGCACAUGCAUACACAGAAAUGUGAUGGAUUCAAAAAGAAAUUAAAGUGAUAAUGUACGUGGAUCCUUAAAAUAAAAAGCGAAAUCGCUUGGUGGCCCAGUAAAAUUAGAGAACAAAGAAGAAUUAGUUAUUGAUAUACAAAAGAGAAACACUCCAAAAUUUCAAGCAAAAAUAGUUUCAUAUACCAUUUCAAUUUUGUAAGGGGUGAGGUUUUGAAUUUCAAUAGUUUCCUCUAAAAUCAAAAGGCAACAAUUAAGUUAGAAAGAGCAAAGAAGACUUAUUAGUACCUUAUUAAAGGUAACAUUAUGGAACUUUCAAUUUCAUUACCUCACUCUUCAAUUUUUAUUGAGAUUUGUGCAAGAAUUUACCUAAAUAUUACCUAAAAUUGAGAUAUCAGAGUAAUAUCAAAUAGAAAAACUUGCCACGGUAAGCCAAAAGUCUAGUCAACCACAUGCAUAAAGCUAAAUAGAACAACUAACAAGAGAACAGAGAAACGCGUGGGUCCCUAAAAGAAAAGGCAAGCACAUAGAUGAAAAAGCCAUUACAUUUCGAUUUUACAUGUCAUUAAUUUCUGUAACACGGUGUGUGGCAGCAUAUGCACAAUCAAGUGAGGCAAAAGGGAUUCGAUUAUCGUGGCAGAACAUGAACGAGGACGCGUGAUGAAUAAUUCCUUCGAUAAAACGAAAAACAAACGCAGAGAAAAGAAUUUCUUAUAUGACAAGAAAUCAAAGAAAUCAAAGUAAUGUUUCAUUUUCCCUUCCCUACCUUUUUUUUGUUUUAUUUUUAUAGCAAAGAAUUAUAUCAUGAAAAGAAUCAAUUUAAUCACCUUUUCUAGCAGCACAAUUUUUCUUUUAUAAAAUUUGACCAGGGAGACAAAGAAUAAUUAUUCAUACCUUCAUCACUAAGGAAAUACUUUUCGGUAUGGCUAAGGUGAGAAAAGGCUUUCCACAAAAACUUGUACUUUGUAUUCCUGUAAAUUUUCUUUAAAGUCAAUAAAAACCAUAAGUUCUUUACAAUAACCAUCUCUUUGAUAAAAAAGUGCCGUAUUCCUUUAGAAUUUAAAACCGGCAAAACUGAAUCAGUGUCUUUGAAGAGACAUAAUGGUCGUAAUUCUUUAAAUGAGUUGGCUAUGGAAAUCGUUAUCCAAGAUUCUUUUACGCCAUAUUCUUUCGUAAACCAAAAUUCAUUUUGGAAUACUCUGUUGAGAAUGUCAAAUAAAACGGCAUUGAAGGAAGUUUUCAAAGGCAGAAUCUGCACUUGUCAGAUGGAUGAUCUGCACUUGUCAAAGACACAAUCCGCGUCGAACGAAUCGACACAUUUCCUUUCGUAUUCACAUAUGCAAUUUUUGAAAAAAUGUAGCUUUUACAUCUAUAAAUAACACUCAGUGUAUAAUGUUUUAUUCAAGAAAAGAAAACAAGUUUCUUCAUGGUAUCAGAGCCAUGAAUACGCUCAAGUUUCUUCAAGUUUCGCUGCUCUGUUUGUAACAAAAACAGAGAAAACCAAAAUCUUCCCACAACCAUUUUUUCCACCAUUUUCUUCCUUAAAAUCAUUCCUACCAUUAUAGAAAUCCAUGCCGAUCAAAAAACAAGCCACCCAUACGUAAAAAACUUGAGUUUACAAAUUUAUCAACAAUCUCAUAAAUUAGAUACAAAACAACGUGAUGUUAAAUCUCCAGAACUGCAGCAGUCUUAAAACGACAUGUCGUUUCUAUUCCAUCAGAACCGACAUAUCAUUUCUUUAAGCAGAGGCCAAACGACUUGUCGUUUUUUUUUUUAUCUAAAAAAGUUAUUUUUUCUUAUUUCAAUCUAGACGCCAAAAAAAAAACAAAAAAAUGGAGAAAACUCCAACUGAAUCUGAUCCUGUUGUCAUUCAAUCUGUUCAAUCUGAUGAGUAUUUAAUGUUGGAAUUAUCUUCACUGAGACAAACUACGAUAUUUGGUCUUAAAUAAUGGAGUUGCAUCUCGCAGAAAGAGAAAAACUCUCAUAUAUUUGUAGCAACACAAAGUCAUCUGAGGAAUCUUCAAAGGAAUAUGAGAAAUGGUAUAGUGAGAAUGAAAAGGUAAAAAAAUGGUUACUCAUAUCCAUGUCUCUGGAUAUCAUGAAGUGAUAUUUACGAAUUCCUACAGCCUACGAAAUAUGGGAUGCAUUAUCAAAAGCCUUCUAUGAUGGAAUCGAUGAAUUACAAGUUUUCACUCUAAACCAGAAGGCGUCUCUACCAAGAAAAAUUGACAGCCACUAUCUAAAUUCUACGGAGAAUUGAUCGAAAUAUUUUGAGAACUUGAUCACCGAGAUAAAGUGAUCAUGAAGGAUCCAGAAGAUGUUGUAAUAUACAAAAGGUCUGUUGAAAGAUUGAGAGUUCACAUUUUUCUUGUUGGGCUAGAUGAAGAAUUUAACCAAGUUCGUGGAGAAAUUCUAUGAAAAGAUAUUAUCCCAGACUUAGAAGAAUGUUAUUCUUUGAUCUGAAGAGAAGAUGUACGGCAAAACAAACUAAACAAGAAGGUCGACUCAGAAACGUUUGCUAUGAUAGCACGACAACAGCCUCAAAGGAAGCUUGUUGACAAGUCAUCACUCCAUUGCACUCAUUGUAGGAAGAAGGGUCAUAUGAAAGCACAAUAUUUUGAAAUCAUUUGAUAUCCUGACUGGUGGGAUACUUGAAAGAAAAACAUCAAGCAGGGAUAAAAAACUGCAGUAGCUGAAUCCACAUCCACUACAGAUCUUAGAAAAGAAUCUUCAGUGCAAAUCGCAACCUCUGUUAGUCCAGGUAAGGCCCUUAAAACUCUUAUACUUGUUAUUAAUAGUACAUGGAUAAUUGAUUCUGGGGCAACUGAUCAUAUGACUUUUGAUUCUCGACAAGUUUCUCAAUUGAUACCAUCUUCACAAAAACAUGUUUCCACUCCAAAUGGAACCACAACCUUAGUUAUUGGGGAAGGAUCUUUACGACUCACAUAUAAAUUAAAUUUAGACUCUGUGUUAAUUGUUCCAUCUUUAGAUUAUAAUCUUUUAUCUGUGUCUCAAUUAACCACUUACUUAUCAUGUGUUGUAAUUUUUUGGCCUGAUCAUUGUGUGUUUAAAGACAUCCAAACGAAGCAAACGAUUGGUUAUGGUAUUAGACGGGGCCACUUGUACUAUUUGGAGAUGACAUCAACAAACACUGGAAAGCUAAGCCCUGCACUAGUCGCAGAUAGUUCCAUAAAAAAAAGGAAAUCAGAAAUUUGGUUAUGGCAUAGACGUUUAGGGCAUGUGUCAUUUGGUUACUUAAAAAAAUUAUUUCCUAGUUUAUUUCUGAAAUUUGAUAUUUGUAACUUUAAAUGUGAUGUUUGUGAACUUUUAAAAAGUCAUCGAACUACUUUUCCAUUGUCCUUAAAUAAGAAUCAAGUUCCUUUUAUGGUAGUACAUUCUGAUGUAUGGGGGCCAUCGAAAGUUUCUACAAUUGGAGGUGCUCGUUGGUUUGUUACAUUUAUUGAUGAUUGUAGCAGAAUGACAUAGAUUUUUCUGAUGAAAUCGAAAGACGAAGUAAACUCUUUAUUUUAAAGAUUUCAUAAGAUGGUGACGACUCAAUUUCAGACACAAAUUCGAGUUCUACAUACUGAUAAUGGAGGCGAGUAUAUGAGCACAACAAUUCAACAGUUUCUGAAAUCACAAGGAACUGUCCAUCAAACCACUUGUGUGGGGACACCCCAACAAAAUGGCAUUGUUGAACGAAAAAACAGACAUUUACUAGAAGUUGUUCGAGCAUCACUAAUCCAGGCCCACAUGCCACUAUCUUAUUAGGGAGAAGCACUGGCAUCCGCAGCAUACUUGAUCAAUCGAACACCUUCAAGCUCCCUUGGAUUCCAGACUCUUUUCCAGGUUCUAAAUGAUGCAAUUAUGUCACCAAAUGUGCCGAAUUUACCCCCACAUGUGUUUGGCUGUGUUGCCUUCGUUCAUUUGCCGCAACAAGACAAAUUAUCUCCUCGAGCACUACGUUGUGUGUUUGUAGGGUAUGCCUUACAGCAAAAGGGAUACCGAUGAUAUGAUCCACCAUCAAGAAAAAUAUACAUCACCAUGGAUGUCGUCUUUCAUGAAGAUAUCAUAUACUACUUGUCAAAGCCUGAAUUUCAGGGGGAGUAUAAUGAAGAGGAAAUUCAUAAUCUUAUAUAUCUUCCACCUAAAGAAGAUCAAUCUUCCAUUGAGGUUGUAAACCUUCAAGAUACUGGAAAAGAAAAUGGUGGUGAUUCUCAGGCUGAGAUAAGUGAAGACACAUUUGGGGAGCAAAAUAACUUAGACACAACUGCAAUCGAGAAUGAGUCACAUGAAGAAAUACCUAACUAAUCGUCUGCAGAGGAUGUUCCUACCACAAGUCCUAGUCUAGUCAGAAGAAUUCUUCCUCAGCGUCAAAAUAGAGGUAUCCCUAAACCCACAUAUGAGCCCGACCUUUCUAGUAGAGUCAAAUACCCUAUGAUUUAUUUUGUGUCUAACCAUCGCUUGUCAGAAUCAAAUCAGUCAUUUGUGAAUCAAUUAUCUACUGUAUCUAUUCCUAAUAGUGUGCAGGAAGCCUUAAAAGACCCAAAGUGGAAAGCGACUAUGAAUGACGAAAUGUGAUCUCUUCAAAAAAAUCAAACAUGGGAACUAGUUGAUCUUCCACCUGGAAAGAAACCAGUGGGUUUCCGAUGGAUCUACACUAUAAAGUACAAAGCAGAUGGCUCUAUUGAACGAUACAAAGCAAGGCUCGUAGCUAAGGGUUACACCCAAACCUACGGGAUAGAUUAUGCCAAUAUGUUUGCACCGGUAGCAAAAAUUAAUACUAUUCGUAUCUUAUUAUCAUUAGCAGUCAACUUGGAUUGGCCAGUGUAACAGUUCGAUGUAAAGAAUGCUUUCCUCCAUGGAGACCUGUCUGAAAAAAUUUAUAUGGAUAUGCCACCAGGAUGUAGUGGACCAGAACGACUCAAUCAGAAAGUAUGCAAAUUGAAGAAAUCAUUGUAUGGGUUGAAGCAACCCCUAAGAGCAUGGUUCGGGAAAUUCACAAAGGCUAUGGUUCUUUUUGGGUAUAACCAAAGCAAUUCAGAUCAUACCUUGUUCAUUAAAAAAUGACAAGGUAAAAUCACUGCCCUCAUUUUCUAUGUGGAUGAUAUGGUAGUCAUAGGUAACGACGGGGAAGCAAGAGAGGCUCUUCAGAAGUACUUGUCGAGAGAGUUUGAGAUGAAGGAUUUAUGAGCCUUAAAAUACUUUCUUGGAAUUGAGGUUUCUCGAUCUAAGGGAGGAAUUUUCCUGUCUCAAAGGAAAUAUGCUUUAGAUCUAUUAAACGAAACGUGAAUGACAGCUUGUCAGCCUAUUGACACCCCAAUAGAAGAAGGACUGAAGUUUUGUAUUACCUCAGACUAAGUUCCAGUAGACAAAGGAAGAUAUCAAAGGCUGAUUGGAAGAUUGAUGUACUUGUCCCACACAAGGCCAGCUCUUGCUUAUGCAUUGAGUGUUGUAAGUCAGCUUAUUCAUAAUCCCGGAGAACAACACAUGAAAGCAGUAAUGCGGAUCCUAAGGUACCUGAAGUCAAAUCCAGGAAAAGGAAUCCUAUGUUCCAAAAAUGGAGAUUACAGCAACAUAGAAGUUUAUACUGAUGCAGAUUGGGCCCGGUCAGUUAGUGAUAGACGCUCUACCUCAGGAUACUUUACCUUAGUGGGAGGCAACCUUGUCACAUGCUGCUUCACUUGCUGCCAAUCCAGUUCAUCAUUCAAGAACAAAACAUAUAGAGAUUGAUGUUCACUUUGUGAGAGAUAUAAUUUCCAACGGCGGAGUGGAAGUAAGAUAUGUCCCUACUGAAUAUCAGCCUGCAAACAUCUUCACAAAAGCUCUUCCUGCUGAUAUGUUUCAACAGUUGCGAGACAAGCUACAUAUUCUUCCUAGAACAUUGCGCUUGAGGGGGCAUUAUGAAAAUAUUGUAGCAGAGCUACCAAACUUGAGUAAUACGAAUUCAAAGUUGUUAGAUGACAUGGCAGCACACUUGGCAUUCAUUGGUGUUUUGGAAAGUUAAAGUGAUCAACCUUAUCUCUUAGCUUAUCAUUAAUUCAAGCUGCACUUUUGUAUUUAUCAAGAUCAAGAUAAAGAUAACAAUUGUGCUAGGCUUGAUCUUAUUCUUGGCAUUAUCGUGUUUCCUGUAGAGCAUUAUAAAUGUAAUGAUUAUGAGAUGAAUAAAAUAACGAAAAUGUGUUUUGUUUCUUCUUUAAGCUCAUCUUUAUAAUUUAAGUUGGUAUCAGAGCAUGGCGAGCUCCAAUUCUGCGAAAUUAGUCAAUAUGAAUACUGUAAACCAAACACCACAAAUUUCUAAUUUUUUGACUCCUGUCAAAUUGGAUAGGCAAAAUUUUAUGAUAUGGAAGUCUCAAGUGCUACCUUCCAUUCGUGGUAACAAUCUUGAAAGCUUGAUCAAUGGAGCAAAACUUGUACCCACUAAAUUCUUGGUGCAAGUAGAAGAGGAUCAAACAGUAACGACUGUGGAAAAUCCAGAAUAUAUACAAUGGCUGAGACAAGAUCAGCUUUUACUUAGUUGGCUUUUGUCCACUAUGACUGAAUCAGUUUUAAGCAUAGUGGUGCAGUAUACAACCUCUUUUGAGGUUUGGAAUGCCUUGAAGACAUUGUUUGCAUCUCAGUCAAAGGCUAGAAUUUUGUAGCUCAAGAUGCAACUCCAAACCACGAAAAAGAAUGCUAUGACCAUGAGUGACUAUGUCAACAAAAUGAAAAAUUUAGCUAAUAGCCUGGCAAUGGCUGGAAAAUAUGUUACUGAAGAUGAUUUAAUUUCUUAUAUUCUUGCAGGUUUAGGAACUAAAUACGACCCUGUGGUUGUAAAUAUUACAGCAAGAACAAAUGAUUUAUCUCUGCCUGAAGUAUCCUCUCUUUUGCUCAAUCAUGAAAGUCGAAUGGAACAACUCUCAGCUGCUGCAAAUCUUGAGUCUAAAGGCAGUUUUAAUGCAAAUUUUGCAGGAGCUUCUUUUCACAAAAGGAAAGUUAUAAGAAAAGGCUUUAUGUCAGGAAGUUUAUGAGGCAAUGAACGUGGUAGAGGCAAAGGAAGAACCAAUUUUAGCCGUGGUGGAAAUAGGCCAACCUGUCAGAUAUGUGGCAAAUAUGGACAUUCAGGAUAUCAAUGUUUCUUCCGCUUUGAUCGGGGGUUCUCUGCAAGACAAGAGGCAACACAAGCAGGUCAAGCCUCUGCCUAUAUGGCACUCCCUGCUGAAGAAAUAGAUAAUGGAUGGUAUUUGGACAGCGGAGCAACACACCAUGUUACAAAUGAUUUAAACAAUCUGCAGAUUAAGUUAGAAUUUAAGGGAGGUGAGAAGCUGGUAGUAGGUAAUGGUAAAACUUUAGCAAUAUCUCACAUUGGCAGUGCACUUAUUUAUAUUCCAAACCAUGAACCAUUGUUGCUUAAUGACAUUUUAUAUGUGCCCAAAAUCACCAAGAACUUAAUUAGCAUUUCAAAAUUACUUUCUGAUAAUAAACUAAUGCUUGAUUUCUGUGACAAUGUUUGUACUCUUAAGGACAAAGUUCUGGGGAAGAAGCUGCUGCAGCGAAAAAUUGAAAGAGGCUUAUAUCGGCUACCAGUGCUUUCAAGACAAGCCAUUCUAUCUGAUUCAAAAAUUAUUUCCAAUAAAUCUUAUUAGUCUUCUCUUCCAUUUAGCUGUUUCAAUUCUAGCUCAACAAUAAGUUCUGUAAAUGAACAAGAAUUUAUUUCCAAUUCCAAGCCUAGCAGUUUUAUAAAUCUUUUGCACAGAAGGAUGAGACAUCAUCAUCUUGCUGUACUAAAACAAAUUCUACCUUUGUGUAACAAAACAAGUCAGUUAAAUAAAAAUCUCAUUCCUCAAUUCUGUGAUGCAUGUCAACAAGGAAAAAGUCAUAGGCAAACUAUCAAAGCAUCAAAUAGUAGAGCUUCAGAACCUUUAGAAUUAUUGCAUCUUGACUUGUGGGGGCCUGCACCUUUAAUGUCUAGAAAUGGCUACAAAUAUUAUUUGAGUAUUGUAGAUGACAACACACGUUUUACAUGGAUAUUUCCACUUAAAGUUAAAUUACAAGCGUUUGAAGCUUUUAAGUAUUUCAAAGUUCAAGCCGAAAAACAAUUAGGAAAGAAAAUCAAAAGUUUACAAACUGACGGUGGAGGAGAGUUUCAAGCAUUUACAAUUUUUUAAAAGAACAGGGUAUUAUUCACUGACUUUCUUGCCCACACACGCAUCAUCAAAAUGGUAGAGUGGAGCGAAAACACCAACAAAUUGUAGACACUGGUUUAACACUUUUGGCAUAGGCUGGCAUGCCACUCACUUUUUGGUGGGAUGCUUUUCAAACAUCUGUUUAUUUAAUUAAUAGAAUGCCUACUUCCAUCUUAGAAAACAAAUCACCAUUUCAAAUACUUUAUGAUGAAGAAUAGGAAUCAAUAUUAUACUAGGAUUAGUUUCCUUAUUAACUAAAGUUUAAGACUUUUAAAUUCCUUUCUAAUUUAGAAUUUUGUUUCCCUUUCAAUUUAGGAUUUUGUUUUACUUCAUGAAUUAGGAUAAUUAUUACUACUAUAAAUAGCUCCCUCUUGUAGCCUUUAAAGGCAGAGAAUUUUGAGUUUAAUAAUAUUUCAAUUUUCAAAUCUCUUUGUGAGUAUUUGAACAGUUAAUUCUCGGUAUUCUGCGAAAUCAACGAGUCUUAAAUCCCUAAGUUCGCGGUAUUCUUUUGAAUCAACAUGAAUUUAGUUGUUCUUUUAUUCUGGUAUUCUCUAGAAUCAACGGAAUAUUUUGAAUAUUAAACUUCCACUGCAUCACUUUACAAGAAAAUACCUGAUUAUUCUUUUCUAAAAGUUUUUGGAUGUGCUGUAUUUCCUCAUCUUCGAGAUUACAACAAACAUAAAUUAGAUUUUUGAUCAGAUAAAUGUAUAUUUUUAGGCUAUAGUACAGCUCAUAACGGGUAUAAGUGUCUCCACAAGUCAGGAAAAAUUUUUGUAAUGCGACAUGUUGUCUUUAAUGAAUAUGAUUUUCCUUUUAAAAGUGAUCCCUCCUUCAAAAUCUCAAAGAGUUAUCCAAAUCAUGAUUCUAGUACUCUCUUUCAGUCUCCUAUGUUUGCAGGUUUUGAAAGUCCUAGAGCCUAUAAGACUCUCUCGGUUAUUCAUGCAACAGACUCUCUACUAGAGUUGGUUCAUAACACAAUAGUUAUAGAUCAGGCAUCAAGUCAAGAUGAGGAAACCAAUUUUGAAUCCAACACCAAAAGCCCACCUGGAAAAGCCAACCUUGAAUCAAGCACUGAAAUCCAAGCAACUGAAAACACCACACAAUCUUUAUCUAUCCCCGCGUUUAUCAAUCAAGAAGCCGAUCACACAAUCUCUCAACCACCUAGUUCAACUCCUCAUUCUCAACAGCCAACACAUACACAAUCCACUCAUCCAAUGAUCACUCGUGCCAAGGCCGGCAUCUUUAAACCCAAACCUAGACUUUACCUAACAACCUCUCAUACCAAAAUAAGUGUACAUGCCAGUGUUAGUGAAGCUUUGGAAGAUCACAAUUGGCGUAAUGCUAUGACAGAAGAAAUGAAUGCUUUGGCUAGGAAUAACACACGGUGUUUAGUUCAACCUACUUCUGACAUGAAGAUUGUGGGAAAUAAAUGGGUUUUUCGGAUAAAACAAAAGGCUGAUGGUUAGAUAGAGCGAUAUAAGGCUCGGUUGGUUGCAAAAGGAUUUCAUCAGACCCCAGGAAUCGAUUUCAACGAGACUUUUAGUCCUGUUGUUAAAGUUGCAACAAUUCGAUUGGUGUUAAGUAUUGCUGUGAUGAAAAAUUAGGGUGUAAUACAACUGGAUGUGAACAACGCCUUUUUAAAUGGAGACUUAGUAGAAGAUGUUUACAUGAUGCAGCCUGAAGGCUUUAUCAACAAAGCACAACCAAAUCAUGUGUGUAAAUUGAGAAAAGCAUUGUAUGGGCUUAAGCAGGCUCCAAGAGCUUGGUUUGAAAAACUCAAGAGAGCAUUGAGUGACUGGGGUUUCACAAAUUCUAAAUUAGACACAUCACUAUUUAUUUUGCAGCAAGGAAGGGAUAUAAUAUUUGUCCUUAUUUAUGUGGACGAUAUUUUAAUAACAGGAAGUAAAGAAAGUUUGGUGCAAGAAGUUAUUGAACGACUUAAUUGUCAGUUUGCUUUAAAAGUGCUCGGACCAUUAAGCUAUUUCCUUGGUCUUGAAGCUCAUCGCACAGAGAAUGGCCUACAUCUUAGCCAACACAAAUAUAUUUGUGAUCUCUUGAAGCGCACAGAUAUGGAUGGCUGCAAGGAAACAUCUACUCCUAUGAGUGUAGUACCGAAACUUUCAGCUGAAGGUGGUAAGCAAUUUUCUGAUCCUACACUUUAUCGUAGCAUCGUUGGAGCCUUAUUAUACGUAACUAUUACUCGGCCUGAAAUUUCUUAUGCUGUUCAUCGUUUAAGUCAGUAUAUGCAAAAUCCUUUACAGCCGCAUUGGCUUGGGUGUAAAAGAAUCCUUAGAUAUUUACAAGGAACAGCUGAUUAUGGAAUUUAUUAUACUACCAAAGGAAGAAUGACGCUCACAGGCUAUACAGAUGCAGAUUGGGCAAACAAUAUUGAUGAUAGAAAAUCAACUGGAGGCUACUGUAUUUAUCUUGGCAAUAACUUAAUCUCAUGGAGUUCAAAGAAACAAAAUGCAGUAGCAAGGUCUUCAACUGAGUCAGAGUAUCAAGCACUUGCAAAUACCACAGCAGAAAUUUUAUGGCUUCAAUCUGUGCUUAAAGAGUUGCAGGUGCCACUAACUGAAAUUCCAAUUAUUUGGUGUGACAACACUGAAGCUGCUUCACUUGCUGCCAAUCCAGUUCAUCAUUCAAGAACAAAACAUAUAGAGAUUGAUGUUCACUUUGUGAGAGAUAUAAUUUCCAAAGGUGGAGUGGAAGUGAGAUAUGUCCCUACUGAAUAUCAGCCUGCAGACAUCUUCACAAAAGCUCUUCCUGGUGAUAGGUUUCAACAGUUGCGAGACAAGCUACAUAUUCUUCCCAGAACAUUGCGCUUGAGGGGGCAUCAUGAAAAUAUUGUAGUAGAGCUACCAAACUUGAGUAAUACGAAUUCAAAGUUGUUAGAUGACAUGGCAGUACACUUGGUAUUCAUUGGUGUUUUGGAAAGUUAAAGUGAUCAACCUUAUCUCUUAGCUUAUCAUUAAUUCAAGCUGCACUUUUGUAUUUAUCAAGAUCAAGAUAAAGAUUACAAUUGUGCUAGGCUUGAUCUUAUUCUUGGCAUUAUCGUGUUUCCUGUAGAGCACUAUAAAUGUAAUGAUUAUGAGAUGAAUAAAAUAACGAAAAGGUGUUUUGUUUCUUCUUUAAGCUCAUCUUUAUAAUUUAAGUAAAGGGACUUUUGCAUAGCCUCUGGUGUGUGUGUGAUUUCUCUUUCGUUUCCUCAUCAAAUUCUGUAAUUCUUGCUUCGAUAAAAAGCUUUUAAUCUCUUCUGUAGUGUGUGAUCAGUGCGUAAUCAUUUUGAGCAAUAACAGCUUGUGGGUUUUUCCUUCAAACAGUGUCGUUUUGGUCAGUUUGUUAGUUUCUGUGUUCGUCUGAUUCCAUUGCUCUUGUUCUCUGUUCUUGAUCUGUUCGUGGAAUUUUUCUUUGGUUAUUUGUUCUCAAAUUUCAACUGUAUAUAAAGUUUGAACUCUGAUUGCUUAUAAUGUAUUGAUUAAGAAUAAUCCUAAGAGUUCCCGAUUGAAAUUUUUAAUGACUAUUUUUAUUGUUUUGGAUAUACAAAUUGAAUUAAGAAAAAAUAUUGUCAAAUUCAGAGGAUAAGGGGAAAUAAUUAUGCUUCAAAAGGCCAGAGAUUAGAGAAUAAAGAAGCAUUCAUUACUCUAUCAAAAAAAAAAAAAAAAAAAAAGCAUUCAUUACUGAUAUACAAACUGCUUUUAUUUGGAUUUUGGAAGGGGUGAAGUUUUGAACUUCAGUUGUUCCUCUAAAAUCAAAAGCAGCAAUUAAGCGUUCUCAAUUAGAAAGAGCUAAGAAGACUUAUUGGUACCUUACUGAAGCUAACAUUAUGGCACAGUUGUUCAUAUAUAAUGGCUGCUCUGUUAUGCUAGCUUCUCUGUUUUUGCUUCUAUUUUUGCUUACAGUUUUGAACAUAAAUUCUUGCUCAAAUAACCCAUAAUUAAAUAACACUAAUAUGGCUCGUGAAAUCCCAUAAUAGCUAAUUACGCAACUUUCUCCUCCUCCUCAAUUCUGUCUUCCCCUGCUCGUACACUAAAUUCAAAAUUCAAUGCCCCGAAAAACAACACAAGAAAUCUUUGAGUUAAUUCGCGACCAGUUUAUAUAUAGUAGCAAUUGAAAAAGGAAAAAGAAUAAAAGAGUUCAUUAUUAUUCAGACCUUCACUUAUUAGGAAGUUUGUUCUGCUGUUGGGUGAGAUCAAGCUCUCAGCAUAUACUUCCACAUUAUACUUUCUAACAUUUUCUUGAAAGCCAUCAAUCAUAAAAUCUUCAUACUUUUUUCCAUCCUUUGGAUCAAUAAGUACAAAUUUCUCAUCUAAAACAGACAAAAUAAAAUCACUGUCCUUCAUGGAACAUAAUGGCUGCAAUGCCUGAACUGAAUUGGCUAAUGAAAUUUGAGUCCAGGAUUCUCUCAGCCCAUAUUCUUUCAUAAUCCAAAAUUCUUUUCUUUCUCGACAUGGAACAUAGUCUUCUUUUCUUUCUGGACAUAUGUCUCUGUACUUUUCUCUCUCUACUGAUCCACACUUUUUCAUACUUCUAACUAUCAUUUUGUUUUUUUUUUGUUAAGUUGUGAUUUAUUCAAUUAUUUUGUAUUUUUAAUGAAAAUUAUUUAAUAUUUAGUUAGUUUUGAUAUUGAUUAGUGAUUGAAAGUGUAUUUUAGAAGACUUCCGGUCUCUUGGAAAAAGGAAAAAUGGAGACGAAGAAGAAGUGUUCUUGAUUUUUUUGUAGGCAUUAAAGUUAAACGGUUUGAAAUGAUAUUUUGUUUUAAUUUCACUCAUUAAUCUCAUUCAGGAUAAAAUUAUAAAUGCAAAUAAAUGGGGUUUCAUGAGUUUUUUUUAAUAGUGUUAAAAGGUCUACUCACUAAAUAAAUAUGUUUAACCCAAACCAAUGCGAUUAGUAAGUUAUUGGGUUGGGUUGAUCAGGUUAAAAAUUAAAAUUAAAAAUUAAAUAAUUAAAAAAGGCAUAAAAACUAUCUGUUACUUGAAAAUAAAAAGAAUUUCUAAUAGUUAGUUCUAAUGUCCCAUAUCCAAAACAUCCAUAUUAAAUAAAUAUUAUAAGUUAGAAAUACAAUAUCCAAGAAAGAAUGAAUGAAAUACCAUAUUUUUGUUGAGAAUUAAGAGUGUGAUUUUAAUUUUGAUAUUGGAGUCUAAAGUGCCACGUUUAAAUAAUCUCUUUUAUAAAAUAAUAAAAAGAGAUUAAAAAUUAGGUUAGCCAUUUAGGCAUUCAGGGUUUAGCAAUUAAGGAUGAACAUAUUAUUGUUGUUGUUUUUUGUUGUUGUUGUUGUUGUUGUUGUUGUUAUUAUUAUUAUUUAUAUGUUUACUAAUCCAAUUUACGUAUAAGUACAAAAGUUUCAAAUAUUGUCUAUUAUUUUUUUAACAUGCCUAUUCCUUGUGGAUAAUUCUGUCUCAUCACUAAUGUUGUUUCUUGCUUACAAUUUGUAUAGCGUCUCAAAAUAGACAAUAGGGGGAUUUUGAAUUUUUUAAGUCUCAAUAUAGUCUCUUAUCUUGUGAGACAGAUUUUCUUUCAAUAAUUUGGAGGUAAACAUAACAUAACUUUUUGGACUAAAGCCUAGCUCUGCUAAUUAGUAAUUGGUGGUAUCCUUUUCAAGACCUGAGUCUUUAAAUUCGAGUUUUAUAUAGUGCGCAUGUGUAUUUAAUUAAUAUUUUUUUAAAAAAAUUACAUCAAAUACUAAUAUUCAUGACAUAAUUUAGUUCAUAAUGUUUUUUUAAAUACAUCGAAAAUAUAAUUUUUUAACAACUUAUAGGCAUGACAAAUUUCAAGAUAUAAAUAUCAGUCAAAAUAAGUGAAAGAAAUAAUGGUGCCAAUUCUAAUUUCUUAACUAAAUUAAUUACUGCAUGAGCCCCCAAUACGGCACGAGAGUUUGAUGGGCUAACUUGGCACAAGAACAAUAGUUAAUUGAUUUAAGAAAUAAUUCAAUGAAAAAUAUAAUUGAUAAGAAUUUAGUAUUGAAAUGAGUUUUUUUCGAAACACUGAAUUAAUGAUUAUUAAGCAAGAACAAUAAAAAAAAUAAAAUAAAAAAUAAAGAUUAACCAUUGAUAAGCUUCAACAAGAACUUAACACAACCCUCAAUCCUAAUUCAAAUUAUAAAUGUCAUUCAUAUAUUCAUUAUAAAUCAAUAACAAAGGUUAUAAAUGUUUAGAAAUUCUAGAGGGAAGGAAGCUAUCGCCGGGCAAUCAACAACUAAAUUUGAUGUAAUUGUGGCACAAGAUGGAAUAUGAAAACUACACCAUAAUUUCAAAUGCCGCCAUAGACAUUGACUUAUCUACAGUAACAAUGAUCUAAUUAAAAUUAAAAUAAAGUUUAUGGGCAUUUAUUAUAUUUGCCAUUCCUCAUUUGCAAAUAGGGAUAUAAUUAUAAUUUUACUUAGUCAAAGCAAUCAGUAAUUUUUAGGGGUGUUCAAAAUUCAAUCCGAUCCGCUCAAUCCGUCUGAUCCGUAGAAAUCCGAUCCGUAAAAAUCUGAUCUGUGGAUUGGUAGAUUGGAUUGAAUUGAAAAUUUGAUAAUCCGCAAUCGGUGGAUUGGGUAUGGAUCUACUUCUGUAAAUUCGUAAAAAUCCGUGAAUCGGCAAAAAAUAAAAAGUAUUUAUUUAUUAAAAAAUAAAACUUGUAAAUAUGGCAAUAGUACUUACUAGUAAAUAAAUAAGUUAAAAUAUAGUUACAUUAACACUAUAUUAUAUCUUAUCCGAUAAUAAUAAAAAAUAAAAAAUAAUUAAAUAAACAAAUAUAACUUUCUAAAUAGUUAAUUUUCAUGUACUGAUCUAAACGAAUGAGAUUUUUUUUUUUUCAUUUUGGUGUGUUAUGUUUUGAACUUUAAAUGUAAUUUUUAGUUUUAUUUAAACAAGUAAUUUAUUUAAAUCUUAUUUAAUUUUAAAUUUGAUCGGCAAUAAAAUUAUUUAUAUUAAUUUUUUUUUAUUUAGUUAGUUCGUAGAUUGGACAGUAUUAAAAAUUUUCAGUCCGUAAACCAAUUCGCAAAAUGGUGGAUUGGAUAUGGAUUGGGUCAAAUCCGCAUCCAAUCCGCAGAUGUAUGAAUUGAAUUUCACCAAUCCAUGAAUUGGAUUGGAUUAAAAAUUUAUAAUCCGCAAAAUCGUGGAUCAGAUAUGGAUUGAGGUCCAAUCCGUAAAAUUUGAUCCGGAAACACCCCUAGUAAUUUUCUUCAUUAUAGGAGUGAAGUAAAAACAUUUAGAUUUUAAUGUAUGUACGGAAAAAUUUAUCUUUAAAAAUACUUUCUUAAUGUGUGUAUAUAUAUUGAAAUACUCAAACCAAUUUUGGUUAUUAUAUAAUUAAACAAAUUUUAAAAUAUGAAAAAUAUAAUGUAGUUAUAGUGGAUAAACAAUAAGUGAGCGCAAUAUAAUUAAUCAAAUAUCAUGCCAUCAAAAGUUAAUUUUAGAAAUUCCAAAUCCAACAGCCAACACAAUUCUUUUAAAAAAAAGCUGACACAAUUAAUAAAAUUAGUGACAUGAAUUUCACACCAUUGAUAAUAAGCAAUUAGUAUUACUUUCUAAACUUGCUUCAACUGGUCGUUGAUGUCCGGGGUCACCAAAAGUAUAAGCAAUAAUAAGGGGCAUUGGGCAAGAGUGAUGAAUGUUUAGUCGGUGCAUUUGAUUGCUAGAUAUAUAAAGGGCCGAAACUUGAGAUUAUAUUACUUUUACAAAUUUUAAUCCAAUCACAUAUUUAAUGAAAACAAAAUGAGUUAGGAUACUUUAUUUAGAACCCACAUUUUAAUAAGGCUUCAUUUGAUGUAGUUUUUUAAACAGUGAUUAUUUAAGUAAAUUUUCCUCAAUAGAGUUUUUAUCAAACAAAUUUAUUUAUUUAGUUGUCGAUAAGAGUUUUUAUUAAAAAUUAUAAAAUUAUUUAAAUAAACAUGUUUUUUAAAAUUACAUUAUAAAAAUAAUUAAAUAAAAUUAUAAAAGUAAAAUAUAUUUUAGAUAUUUUAAUAUUUAAGAAAAAUUUUCAAUCUCUACUUUCAAAAGCUCAAAUUUUUAGCUUUUAGUUGUAGAGACAAAAUAUUUUAUUUAAUCUUUAAAAGUUAUGCUAAAAACAAUCAAAUAACUACAAAAAUUUUAAUAAGAGUAUAUAAAAUUAAAUGGUAAUUUUUAAAAACCUCCCCUGAGGUUUGGGCUUGUUGCAAGUAGAUGGCGAGAAUCCAUUUAUUUGUAACAAACCCCCUACCGUCAGUUAAUUUUUGCAUUAACCGUUAGUUGACUGUGCAAAGACAAUAUUGUCCCUAAUGACAGUUUGUAGACUGACAUAGCUAAAAAAAAUGCUGAGAUUGUCGGCACGAAAAUCACAAAUAAUUUUUUUUUGACAAUUUUGUCCUUGUUAAUUCCAAGAUUUACAAUGUCAUAAGUAAGGAUUAUGACUAUUUUACCCUCUUAAAAUUAUUGAUAAUUCCUUAAAAUUUCUACAAAAAAGAUAAAAUUAAAAACUUGAAGAAAAAUAAAGUUCUCAAGCCGGCUAACCAAACACAUAGAAUAAAAAAUCCAUCGUUUGACAACAAAAACAACUUUCCAUAAACCCAAACAAAAAUAAACAAGUCCCCAUUACUCUAAUUGGCUUUGCUUGGAGCUGUUACUAUUGUGCAUACAUUUCUAGGCAAAGCAAAAUGACCCCAUGAUAUAAACCUUAUAAAACAUGCCUCCACUAUUCUUAAUUUUGGUAUAAUAAUAAUAAUAAUCACAAAAAAUUAAUUGAAAACUUGACUAAUUAUCUUUGGUGGAGAAUUUUAAACCGAAACCGAUUCAGGAACCUUAAAUUGAUCAAAAGGAAGCUAAUAAUGACAAAAAAGUAACCGAUCAAAAAUCAUUAAGCAUAAAAAAAUAUUGAAUUUAAAUAACUAAAAAUGCCAUCGGAAAUUGAAAUUAAUUAUUUAACAUAUAGCAUGAAAACAAAUCUUCACUAUUGGUGCUAGGCGGCUGUCGUUUAGCUUGGUUCUAAGAGGUGGCAGUCAGUCAACUUCGAGACGGUGCGUUCGAAGUCAACUAAGCUGCAGCAGAGGUUGCAGGGGGCAGAUUGCAGCGAAGUCGCGGUGGAGCAGAGGUCGCGUCGCGGUGGAGAAGAGGUCGCGUUGCGCUGGCUUGGCUUCACGGUGGUGGGAUGGCUGGGCGGGCUGGCCAGCUGUGUGCGCAUUGUAUAUGAUUGUUUUUCACUUUUUUAAUAUUUUCUUGUGCAUUAGUUCAGAUUAGAUUAGUGAGUUUGUGUGUGUGUUUGCAGUUGAUUUGGUUAAGAUAUUUAGGUUAAAAUAAUUUUUUUUAAUAAAUUUUUUUUUUCAAAAUGUCAACAAUGCCCACAACUACCCAAAUGGCAACUAAGCAGAGUAAAAACGUAGGGGUUUUUUUUUAUAAAUAAAUAGAUUCUCGUCAUCUAUUUGCAACAAACUCAAAUCUCGGGGGAGGUUUUUAAAAAUUACCCUAAAAUUAAAUAAGCAUUUAUUAAUAAUCACUUUGGUAUACUUAUCUAAUGACCAUAAGUGUUUAUUUAAUCUCAUAAGUUCUUAUUUAAUCUCAUGAGCUCUUUUCAAUUUUUUUUGUUGUUUGUUUUUUAGUAGAGUUUUUGAAAAUUAAAUAAACUAUUUUGUCUCUACUAGAAAAAACUCAAAUUUUAGAUUUUUGUGAGUAAAUGUUUAAUUUUUUAAAAAAAUAUUAAAAUAUCUAAGAUAUCUUUCCUUUAUUUCAUAAUCUUAUUUCAUUUUUUCAUAACAUAACUUUCAAUAACUUACCUAUUAAAAUAAUUUCACAAUUUCUAAUAAAAACUCUAAUUGACAAUUAACAAUUUUUUUUUGUUUGUAAAAACUCUAUUUAUAAAAAAUCUAAUAAAAAUUCUAUUUAAAUAAAUUAUAUUUGAAAAGGUGUACUAAACCAACCUAAGAUAAAAACAAAAAUUUUUACAUCCAGACAAUUAAGCUUAAAACAAUUUCAAAUGAAUUUUAGACUAAUCAAAGUACAAUACGUACCAAGUUUGGUAACUUAUUGACAUCUUCUCAUAUAACCUUCGAUCAAGUCGAUUCUCACCUGACGACUAAUUGGUACAUCACCGUUGUUCUCUAUACUCGCAUGCAUCCGAUCACAAAUCUCACUCCAAUUGUCGUCUUUCUUCGGCGUUUUAGCACAUCCUUCUUGAAUUUCCCGCAUUUCGUUCCCUCCUGUUACAAGUCUCCGGUCAGGUCAGUUCUCUUGACGAUUAAUUCGGCAAAUCUCGAAUCUCUUCUCGCGUCGUUUCACUUCAAUUUUUUGUGUCUCCUUUCAGUUUUAGUGAUUGAAUCAAUUUUAUUGCAGUCUGAGAGAAAUUAAGUAAUGCUCUUGGAUUUAAAUUUUUUUUGCUUUCGACUUUAGAUCUCGAAAGUCAAACUCUGCUACGAAUCCUUAGAUUCUCAAUGUUUAUAAUCUUAUUUGUGUUUGACCAGGUAACUGGAUCGUGAAAUUCGUCGUUUUGUAUCAAUUCAAGCUUUCGCGAGCUCAUGGAAUCACCUGGUGAGUUGUGGUGAAACGUUAUCGUUUCAAUUUUCGCUUAAUUCUUUAUUGCAUAUUUUUUCUCUAACAUUUCAGUUUAAUUUAGAAAAGAAAGAGGACCCAAAAAGAGAGAGAGAGAGAGAGACUCUACCAUACUCAAUUCCUUGCUCAUUCUGAUUUGGCCUGAAUGUUGGCAUUGACUAUUAUUUGUUUUCAUUUCGAUUUAAUUCUCAUUUAGACAGUCUUUACUAACGGUCAAUAAUAGUUUAAGGAAAAUGAUAAUAGGGAUUCUGCAAUAAUCUUUUUAAGGAAAAUGAUAAUAGGGAUUCUGCAAUAAUCUUUUUAAGGGAUGUAUAACUUAUUAAUCAGAGUCCUGUUAUUAUGGUUUGACACUACUGACAUAUUGUGUUGGUAUUUAUUUGUACUUCCCUUGGUUGAAUUAUUUGCUGUCCCCAUGCCAUUCGAUAUGGUGCUACUUGGUUUUUGAUCAUCCAUGACGCUAUAUAUAUGUAAAGGAUGAAUUGAUUGUUUUGGCUUGUAUUCUCACAUUUUAUGAUUGAUCGAUGGAAAGGUCUUCAUGUAUUAAAUUCAACCUCACAAGCGUAAGAUUGACAGAUUCUGGGCAAAUUUUCAGGAAAAGAAACUAGACUUCAUGGAAGCAAUGAAGCUUGAAAUUGAACGUCUGCAGCUGAAAGGGAUAGAGCUUUAUUGUCAAUUGGAACUGAUCCUGCCUCUAUAAAUCCAAAUGUAUUGCUUGAUGAAUCUUACAUGGGAAGACUGUCGAGUAGCAACCACUCUUGCAUUACUUGGCCAAACUUCCCUAGAAGACAAAAUUGUUGGUGCAAUGGCCUUGAGAAUAGUGAUGAUAGUGUUUUAGACUUCUGGAAUAUUACUAGAAUCGGAGAGAGUUGUUCUGGUGGCGCGUGCAAGGUUCGUGCAGAAACUAAGGUGCCUGCUCUUGCUUCCUCAACUGCAGCAUCUGUUGGAGCUUCACAAUCCCCUUUGUUGUGUUCUCUGUUGUGUUCUCUGUUGUGUUCUCAAUGUGAAAGAAAAGUUUGCAAAGUUUGUUGUGCAGGAAGAGGAGCUCUACUGUUUUCAAAUUAUAAAUCAAGGGAUGUGACCAACUACAAUGGCUUCUCAAGUCAGAGUGGAUCAAGCCAUGGAAGCCAAGUUGAUGUAUCUACCAGUCGUUCACUAACACUGGAUGGCGUUAUCUGUAAACACUGCUGCCAUGAGAUUGUGCUUGAUACAAGUUCACAACACCAUUACAAAGGAUUCAAAAUUCCCACACGAAAACAUCAAUGUACAGAUUAUAAACAAUCCGAAUUGGACACAAGAAAAACCCUUCAAUGGAUUGCUUGCCUUCCCAAUGCUAUAUACUGUGCAAACUGCGCACUGUCCAAGAAAAUGUUUUCAAUUUAGUGUAUUUUCAAAAUGCUUAUUUUCUCAGAAUAUAUAAAAAAAAAAAAAGAAUUCUUACAUGUUUCAUCAGCAUGAUUAAAAUCAAAGAAGAAAGCGAGACAUAAUGUCUCUGACAUAAUAAAAUUACAAAAAUUUAAAAAAAAAAAAGUUAAAACAUGUAAUCUUCAUAAGCAUAUAAUAAAAUAACACUUCCACAAAUUACUACAAUUUCAUGCAGUAGAGAUUGAAGAGUUGAAUUCCACUUAUAGACACCGACCUCUUAUUUUGUCUAAUGUUAACAAUGAAAAUAACAACAGUAAUGAAAACAACAACAGAAUACAACAACAGAAAACAACAAUCCGCUCUGCAAAUUCUCUUGGGACUUGGUUCCAAUUCCUCUUCAUCCGAAGUUCCACUCGAAUCAAAUUCACUUGCAGCAGUUCCACUCGCGCUUGGCAAAUCAUCCAAUUUCCAAACUUCGGUAGCAAAAUUGAGAGUAAAAGUGUUGGCUUUGGUCUCGCUGGGAUUUGCAUAUACUGGACAUACUCCGUAACGUUUUACCUUGUGACCCUUUUGGUUUUGGUAACAAUUAUUGAAGAACUUAAGUGAGACAGUUGUAUGAUGGUAACCAUCAGGAAAGCCAACAUUCAAGCAAGGUUUAAAACCAAGUAUGACAUGAUCUGAAUCAAGGGAGUAUUUAUUUCUAACACUUGUGGUUGCGGGCCCACUGAAACCUAGAUCAACAUGUUUGGUUUCAGAGAGAGUCUUUAUUUCUAAGUCGAGUUGAGAGCGGCCGAAAACAUUGCAGCAAUAACAAGAACCAACUUUCUUAAAAUUAAGAACCGCACAAAAAGCAAACCCGAUUAAGUUUCUGCAAGAAGAGUGCGGUGGCAGUUGAAUACCUAUCGAAGAUCCUGAACUUUGAUUGUUGAACCAGUCAGGAAUUUCGCUCCCAGGUAAAACAAUUAGGGAUGUCCUGAGUUCAGAAAGUUUCUGUGAAAUGACAUUUAAAAAAAGAAAAUUGUAAAAUGAAAACCAUGAUUUCAGAUAUAACAAAGAGGGACAGAGUAAACAAGAGAGGGAACUUGAUGCGUUCUAAAUGUUCCAUUUUCUCCAAGAUUUCUGGGAAACGCUCAAGGUUCAAGCAGCCAUGAAGAAAAAGCUCAACCAAAGAUUUCAAUUUACAAAACCUAGUUGAAAUCCUCUUCAGCCGUUCGCAAUCCCUCAAAUCCAACUUUUCAAGAUCAGUUAGGCACUCUAUUGAUGAUGGAACUUCUUCUAUUGCAGACUGGCUUAAGUAUAGCCGUGUAAUUUUCCCAGAAAUCUGUGGAAACUCUACGAGAUUAACACAAUAGGAGAAAUUAAUAGUUACUGGACAAACAAAAUGAAGAUUGCUUGGAAAAGACCUAAGACUUUUGCAGCCCACAAAAUCCAACCUACUGAGAUACUUGAAAUUCUGGAUAGAUGAGGGAACACAAGCCAUUUCUCCUUCCCAAAUUUGCUCAACUUUACUAAAACGCAAAUUCAGUCCAACAAGGUUCUUUGGCUUGAAAUUUGAUGGCAGUGUCCUUAAUGGAUAUGUGUCCCAAUGAAGAUAUCUCAAUUUUUUAGGAAGAUAAUCUAGGCCAUUUGGAAGCUGCACUUUAGAGUACGAAAGUUGCUCUUCAAUGCUCAUACUUAGAAGCUUUUCAAUCUCAUACUUAGGUACAUAAAAUUUGAGCAAUCUCAGAUUAGACAUAUUUGUGAAGGCUCCGGGGUCUAAAUUGAUGCCUUUUAUUUUGGACAAAUCCAAAAAUAUGCCUUCAAUUGCAUCGGUCCCCUUAUUAAAAAAAAAAAAAAAACAAAGAAUGGGUAAGCCUAAAACAGAAAAGAAACAUUCGUAAACUUUAUUAACUAAGAGCUCCUAAAACAAAACAAAUUCUACGAUCUUUGAUCUUAUUUUUUUAAUAUAUUAAAUAUCUAUAUGCGAGAAAAGAAAAUUUUGGGAACCAUUGCAAAAUUAAACUAACCGAAAAAAAAAAUCAAAAUUUCUCUAAUUUACAAACCUGUUAUCUUACUAUCUAGAAGUUGAGAAGACAGGGCCUAUUUGAUUGGUAUAAGAUUUCGAUUUUUUUUUUAGUCCAUAGAAUCCAAAAUGUUAGUUCAAAAUUAGGGAAAAAAAUGAAAGUUAUUUUUUUUCCACUAGUUGUAAUUGUAUCCAAGUCAAAUUGAGAUAUGACCCUUUUCGAAAGGAUUUAAUCAUCUUAUAGCCUCCUUAAAGGAGUGAUUGGAGGCCUAACUAGGUAGGCCAAUCAGUCCAUUUUAUUAGCGACUAUUGCUUAAAAACAUUUAUACUCUAAAACACACUUACUUUUUUGAAAAAAAAAUAUAAUUAUAUUGAAGUAGAACCAGGUGGGCCAAUCCUCAUGGCACUCACUUUGUUCUGACACUCUUCACUAAAUUUGAAAAAAAAUAAAAUUAUACUCUUCACACUCUUAUUCAACAUUCCAAAAUUGAUAAAAUCUGGAGUUUUCAUUAAAAAUUUAAAAUUUGAAGACUUGUUCUCUUGACACCCUCAGUCAUUAAUUUUACCUAAUUAUGGUUUUUAUGAUUUUGGUUGUUUUGUUCAUAAAAAUGAUUUUACUAAAGGAUGUUCUGGUAAUAAUAAAAUUUAUAAAAAAAAACAUGGUUGUGCUGGUAUGAUUGGAAAAAUAUGAGUGCAUAACUCCAAACAAAUAAAAGAUAUAUAAAAAAAAAUGGAGGAUUCUUACCAUAUUAUGCUUUAGUACGCGGCGGAUUUCCUUAGGAUCCCACAACCUCUUGCGUUUGCCUGGCUCUUUCUCAGAUUCUUGGCGUCGCCCCAUUUCUUGCAAUAUAUCAUGCAUUUGCAAGCGGUUAUAUGACACUGUUAUGAGUGACUUAUCAACAAGGACAUCCAGUCCAACAGACUCAGAAUCAUCAAGAAUCCUUGCCACAAAAUCUUUAUCCUCUCCCUCAAAGAAACACGCAAUAUCUAGAAAUAUGCUCUGCACCCUGGGCGUUAAUUCAUCAAAACUAAUCUUUAAUUUCUUAUAAAUAGCAUGAAUAUCAGAUUCACAAAUCCGAUUUAAGUCGUGCAAUACUUUUCCCCAAUGGCUUUUCCCCUUGAGGGAGGAACCCAACACUUUAAGAACUAAUGGAUUGCCAUCAGCAUACUUUACAACUCUCCGUGAGUCAGGUUUGAAAUCUUCAGGACAAUGCUUUUCUUUAAAAGCGAAGUUACAAAAAUGCUCGAAAGCCUCAUGAAAAUCCAUUCCAUUAACCCUAUAUAUUUUCUUCUCCUCCACUCCAAAUUUUUCGAGGACUCCUUUAUCCCUAGUGGUUACAACAAUUCUACUUCCUGGAACAAAUUGAUCAAGCUCUCCAAUCAGACCCUCUAAUUGUCCAACUUCAUUCACAUCAUCGAGUACUAUCAACACCUUCAUACGCCGGACCCUCUCUUUAGUAAAAUGUGGAAUAUUGGCACCAGCUACUUCAAGUUUUUCGCUUAAUAUUGUUGAAAGCAUUUCCUUUUGUAGGUCUUCUAGGCCACCCUCUGUUUCUGAUUUUCUCCUAACAUUUUUUGCAAAGUAUUUACCAUCAAACUCACCAGAGAAUUGAUUGAAAAUAGCUUCAGCAAGGGUGGUUUUGCCGAUACCACCCAUGCCCCAAAUUCCAACAAUUUGGACAGUAUCCGACAAAUCCAUACACAAAAAUGGUUUAAUCUGCUCAAUUCGUGAAUUUAAUCCAACUAGGCCGUUGGAUGAGUCCGUUGAGACUGUUAUUUUUUCCAACUUCUUCAAAACAUCUUCGACAAUUUUGUUUACAAGUUCCGCAUCGUGCCUAAUAUAAAGGUGCAAAGAUGCAAAAACAUUGAGUCAAAUCGGGCCAACACAGAAACAGAGAUAAGAUGAAUUAGGAAAGAGAGUUACCUGAAUUUCGUGGAUUCGUGGCCAGCAAGACCGGAUGUUUCUCUCAGUGCAUCCCUCCACCUCUGAACCAUUUCUGGCUUCUCUUUGAACUGUUGUUCGAGCUUACCAAAGCCGACCCCAAAAAUCCCAGUUUGAUGCCGCACAUCGGACGGACUUACGCCAUAGAAAACCGGAAUAAUGAUUUGGCCGUUUGUGUGCUUGCAUUCAAGAAUCUCGACAAGUUCAUACAGGCACCAUUUUGAAGAAGCGUAGUCCGUUGAGAAAAUGACCACCGAAAUUUUUGAACCUUGGAUUGCGUUCAAAAGGGCAGGUGAAAUCUCAUCUCCGCGCCUAAGCUCUUCAUCAUCAAUAAAUGUUCUGAUUUUCUUUCUUUUAGACAAAGCAUCAUAGAGAUGGCAAGUAAAGAUCGCACGAGUGUCCUCCCCUCUAAAAUUGAGGAAGACUUCAUAAAUGCAAGGAGAAGAAGCCAUGAAGGAAAUAUUAGAAAUUUGGUGACAGAAACAGAGAAUUAAUCUUGAGAGCUGAGAGAGGAGAUGUAAGAAUGAACAUGUGUGAAUAUUCUUGCGAGUACAUAGUAAAUAAUUGAAUGGCUCGAGCUUUCUUAGUUUCCUGGAAAUUUCCUGGAGCUUUCGUAUACAUGAUUUGUCAAGUCAAGAAACAUAGUCAUGAUAAUGGGGCAGACCAGGAAGAAAAGGAAAUUGGAAUUUUGUACAAUUUCUCCAGCGAGGAACUUUCACUGUCAUUACCUCACCGUUACAGUUUGGAUUAGGGUAAUUUUUACCCCGCACCCAAAUGUUUUGACAUACAGCACAACGCACCCAAUUCUUUUGCCCAUGAGCACCGCGCACCCAUUUCCGUUUAUUUUUCAGUUAACUGUAACAGAUCAGGGUAAAAUUGGAAUAACGCAUCAAAAUUUAAAAAUAAAAAAAUAGGUAAACUCGAUGUUUGCGCCAAAAUAAUUUCACAUCACUGUGCUUAUGUUCACUGCGUUUGCGUGUGAGACCAAGAAGCAUGGCCACACCUCCAUUGAUGCCAAAAUCGAGGAGGUGGGUGAAGAAGAAUUGGCGCCAAAAUCAUUCACAUAUGAUGUGCAAGGAAAUUAUUUCAGCCUUUAAAUACUUUUUUAUUACAGCAGCAUCAGCUAUUGCUCUGUUUCGAAGAUCUGCUCAAUUUCUAAGACAAUAGUUGGUUUGAGAGUUUAAGGGAAGUGAAUCCACUGAGCGUGCUAUUGAAGAAGUGGAGGUCAGUUUCAUUUCUUGCUCAAUUGUUUUAAUUUAUUCCAUUUUGUUUGCAUGUCAAUUAUUUACACAUUUUUAGCUGGAUUUUGCUUAUCUAUAAAACUUGAAUCAUUGUUAAUCAAAUCAGCUAUAAUUUACGCCUCAAUGUGGUUUGUAAGUUUAAGUUAUGUUGGAUUAUACCUGAAUAAUGUGGUGUUUGCGUUAUUGAUUUCAAUUUCUAUUGAUGAUUUUGAGUAUACAUAUUAGUGGAUGAAAGUUUUUAAUUAGGAUGAUUGGUCACGCAUAUAUGUCAUAGCAACUGUGUUUUUUUGGGUUAUGGUUGUACUGUAGAUCAGUAGUAGUAGUGAUUUGGAUAUAAACGCUAGUGCUUUUAUUGUAAAUGAUAGUGAUGAAGAUCCAGUGUUACAGAAUUUGAUGUAAAAGUUAUUGGUUUUUGGCUAAAUAUCUUAGAUAAAUAUGAUGCUCAUGCAAUCAAAUCCAAUGCUUAUGCAAUUUACACCAUGUUUAUGAUAAGUAAUUAAAAAAAUAAAUGACUAUUCCAGGUGAAAAUGGAUGAUGAUGAUAUUACAACUGUUCUUUGUACAUUCAAGGGCAAGACAUAUAAUGUUGGUGUAAUUGAUCCAGAUAAGUUUAGUAGAGUUUCUGUAAUUAACAAGGUUUUAGUUAGAGUCUAUGGAAGAAAGAUGAGGCCUGAUGAGAAGUUUACACUAAGUGUUUGGGUACCAUGGGUCUAUAAGGAAGUAGAGAUUAUGUCUGAUCAUGACUUAAUAUUCCAGCUGAGAGAGCAUAAUAAGAUGUUGUUCUACUGCAUGCAAUUGUAUAUUGAAGAAAUCCAUGUACCUCAUGAGUUUGUACCUAGAAGGGCUUUGUUUCAGCACUCAGCAGAAGAAAGCUUACAAGGGUAUGCUGAAACAAACUUUCCAGCCACUACUGACCUGCACAAACCUUAUACACAUGCUACAUCCACCAACACAAAUCCUUAUGAAAAUGACAGUAAUGACCAUUCGAACCAUGAACCCCCUGUCAAGAACUCCAGCAGCAUAAUGAUGCAUAAUGUUGCACUUGAUAGCAUCCAAUCACAGACCAAACCAGAUACCAACCCUGACCUAUAUCAAGACUUUUUGGAUACCUAUUUCAGAUCAUCACCACAACAGAAAACACCAUCAGCUGCCCAAACUAAUGCCGAAAAUAGUGAUAGUGAUAACACAUCUUCAUUUGGUACAAAUAAGACUCCUACUGAGCAGCUUCAACAAAACUUUGCCAUCUCUUCUGAGUUGUCCCCUUUAUUGCAGCAACAUGGACAUCAUGCAUCCCAAAAUGAACCUAUACCUUUUCACCAACCUGAGUUCUCAUCUCAACCAAUAACUCAAAACCCUCAGUCACAAGUUGUACAAGCAGAAAACUUCCAGCAACCAGAAGCCACUACACCAGCACUAGUAGAUUAUAACUCAGAUGAUAGCCAUUAUAGUGUAACUGAUAGUGAGGAAGAUCCAGAUCAUCCAUUAGGUGCUCCAAACAUUAAUAAUACUCCUAGGAAACCUUCUGUUAAUGUUGACUUAGGCUCUAUGCCUUCUGAUGAUAGUGAUGAAGAUUGUAUGCUAUCUGAUUGUGAGAGUGAUGACAAUGAGUUUGGGGAAGAAUCUGAUGAAGAGAUUGAUCAAGUGCUGGUCAGAAUGGAUGCUGUUAUGAGAGAGAACAUGUACAUUCCUAGUGAUACACCUGUUCAAUUCUUUAUUGGGCAGUGUUUUAGGAACUUCAGGCAGCUGGCAUGGGCAAUAAGGACUUAUGCUGUGGAAAACAAGUUCAAGGUUUAUAAGCACAAGUUUGAAAAAUCCAGAGUAACUGUUGGAUGUAAUUAUUUCAGGUGCCCAUGGUUUUUACAUGUUGCAAAAACUAGAUUUGGACAAACCUUUAUUGUUAGGAGGCUUCACAACGUACAUACAUGUCAGAGAGACUUAAAGAAUCCUGAAUGCACUGCAGAGUUCAUUGUUGCCAAGUUUGCUGCAACUAUAAUUGAGCAUCCAGAUACAAAGGUUGGGUGGAUUCAAAGUGAACUUAGAAGGAUGUAUGGAGCUAAGAUACACAAGUAUAAAAUUUAUAGAGCAAAGAAGAAGGUUUUACAGAGACAAUGAGCUGAUUAUGAGUCUAGUUACAUGUUGAUCAGAAAUUAUGCUCAGGCCAUACUUACUAAGAUGCCACAGGCCUUGGCAUUGGUUAAGGUUUUCAGGAUGCAUGGUCAACAACCUCAAACUCACUUUGACAGCACUGUUAUAUCUUUCCAUGCCCUCAGAGAUGGCUUCAACCAAGGUUGUAGACCCUUCAUUGGUAUUGAUGGAUGCCAUUUGAAGGGUCCAUAUAAGGGUGUUCUUUUAUCAGCAGUUGCUAUUGAUGCCAACAAUGGAAUCUUCCCACUUGCAUUUUGUGUAUGUAGUGUCGAGAGUACAACCAGCUGGACAUGGUUUCUAAGCCACUUUAGGGAAUUUUUACAAGAUACAAGACAACUGACCUUUAUGUGUGAUAGGCAGAAAGGAAUUCAGAAUGCUCUUGCCUUAGAGUUUCCUAAUGCACAUGUUAGAUUCUGUGCUAGACACAUCUUAGCAAAUAUUAAGUUAAAACAUCCUCAAUCUGACUUUAAAGCAUAUUUCUGGGCAGCAGCAAGAGCAUCAAACAGAAGGGCAUUUGAUGAUGCUAUGCAAAACAUAAGAGCAGCACAUGAGGGUGUAUAUGAGACUCUUAGGAGGAUACCACCAAAUUUCUGGUCAAGGCAUGCCUUUGACAAUAAUUGCAAGUCUGAUCAUUGCACUAACAACGUAACUGAAUCUUUUAAUGCAUGGAUUGGGAUUCAAAGAAAGUUGCCAAUAAUCUCAAUGCUGGAGUGGAUUAGGAAGAAGCUGAUGAAAAGAAUGAUUGGAAGAAGAAAUAAGGCAGAGUCUUGGGACAGUGAUAUACCAAGAAGAAUUUAUGCACAAAUGAUGAAGAAUUUACAGAUUGGCAGUGCAAACCCUAUCUGUAGAGCUAGUAAAUGGCUUUAUGAAGUGGAUGAAAAUACCAAGACUUAUAUCGUUGAUCUUGAACACCAUAUGUGUGACUGCGGACAAUGGCAAGUUAGUGGGAUUCCAUGUGUACAUGCAAUGCCUUGUAUUGUGAAUAGUCAAAAAGAUCAAGCUCAGUUCAUUAGCCAAUGGUUGAAGAAAGAUACUUACCUAAGGUGUUAUUCUGGAUUGAUUAAACCAAUUCCAGAUAGAACGUCAUGGGUAGAUGCUGGUGGUGAUGAAAUACUGCCCCCUUUAGUGAGAAGACCACCUGGACGACCUAAGAUGACAAGAAGAAGAGAAGCUGAUGAGGUACCAGCACAUAAUAAACGAUACAAGAUGCAAUGCACUAUUUGCAAGGGAUUUGGACACAACAGAAGGGGUUGUCCUGUUAACCCUCAUAAUGCUCACAAGACAACAAGACAAUAUAAGGUGAGUGUGUAUGCUUGUAAGAGAAUAUUCAAUUAUUUUUUGAACCAUGUUCCUCCCAUGUGAUGACAGCUAAUGUGCCUUGUUUGUUUGUGCUUUUUUAUAGAAUAACCUGAAGAAGCACGUGACAAGGACAAAUGGGGAGCAAAGUGAAGGUAUAAGAGUAAUUUACUAAGUUAUAUUACUAUAUUACUUUACAGCUGUAUUAGAUAAUUAUAUAGUUGUGUAUCACCAAACUAUAUUAAAUUAACUUAUUUAUUUAACGUUGCUUUAUUGGUAAUUUAUAAGGCCAAGUUCACGGAAUUACCUCAACUAUUUUGGAAAGCCAAGACAAUGACAUGGUCCAAGUAACUGUCUCAGGCCAAAACAUAACAAAGAACCAGCAGACUGCAUCUAACAAACGCAAGAUUGGCAAUCAAGCAGGGCCAUCAAAAGCAAAUGAAGUCAUUGGCAAGAGCAUGAAUGGGGUCAUAUCUGUAGCUCCAUGGGUAGGUGAACAGGGAAGAAAAGUAAUGUCAGCCGCUGGAUUAACCUUCAGCAAAGAGGAUGAAGUCGGCAACUAUACUGAAAUGAAGCAUUUGGACAAAGGGAAGGCACCAGCCUUCCCUUCGUAAAGGGUAAAACCAUAGUUUUCUAUUGAUAUAAAUUAAUAUUGGUUUUGGAAAUGAUAUUUAUAAUUUGUAACUUGUUUUGUAGUGAUUCUUUGGCUAUGAUGGAGACAUUGGCAGCAAACUUAUUAACAAACAGUGGAGGCAACAUUAUCAUUUUUUGACACCUUCCACAAUGCCACAUCAACCCACCAGGCACAAGGUUAAGGUUAUCUGGAUGCUGAUUUCAUUAGGAUCAAGUGGCCAAGUAAUGACCAGGCAUGUCAUUGUUUUCUUUUUCUUUUUUAUUUUGGAGCUGAAAUUGGUGGAAGUUGUUGGACAUUAAGCUUAAGCAUUAUAGAGCUGGAAGCUGUGAUGACCUACUAUAAGUAUGAUUGGAAGGGUUUAUGGCAUUUUGAAAGUUUUUGGGAUUAAGAUACAUAUAGGACUGAUAUCAACCAAACCAACACUUUUUUUUUUUGUUUUUUGGUCACAUGUAUGUAAACACCAGAUUGGAUGUGACUAACAUUGUAAGUUGCUGCCAAUAUGCAUUUAUAGAUAAAAUAACUUAUUGCUAUUAUUGAUAUCAUAUUUGAUUAAAUGGUAUAUGUCAAGAAACGAAUGCAUUUUAUUGAUCAUAAGAUUUCAUUUUACACAUUGUUCUAGCAUUCCUUACAGUACAAUACAAGCAAUACAAGUAUAGUUAUCACUAUAAUCGUGAUUUGAUACUUCUUAUUUUUAUGAAGUAAACCUUCAAUAUUGAUGAACCUGUUGUGGAAGUCCUCAAUGUUAAAUUGUUGAAUCUCACUUGCCCUGUCUGCAGCUUCUUCUUCAAACCUUUGUAACGCUGCUUCAAUUUCUAUAGCCUCACCUGUAGAUGGUUUCCACCAUCUAAAGAAACCACAAGAUGGGUCAUUAGGGCAUGUGUAAUAUAGUUUGUUGGGGUUUGUUUUUGAUUCUGACACUUUGAUUUCUGCCCUUCUUCGACAGUAGCAUACUGUGUUAUAGAACUUGAUGAUGCCCCCAUUGAUUUUAGGUAAAUCCCUUCUUCUGUUAUAAGUUGAUGAACUUGAUGCAUUCCUUGAAGUGGACAUUUUCUUCAAAUUUCCAAUGUCGUGUCUGUUAUAUUCUUUUUGAAAUACAGCACAACGUAUCUGAACUUCAAGUUGUUGUGCUUGUUUUGUGUGUGAAUGAAGCUGCUGUUGAAGUUGUAUUGUUUCGGUGGGUAAAACCAAAUGUUGUACUACUGUAAGUUGUUGCUGAGUAAAAAAAAUGGUGGAGUUUCCAGGUGAGUCAAUGAAAAUCACUGAGGUGUGAAGAGGGUAGGAAUUUAUAUGUGUUAAACAUCACAGCUUGUGGUGAUGCAUCAGCUCAAAUUUAUCAAUUUCUUUUACUGUUCUUGUAACCAUAUAGCCGUUAUUACUGUUGCUCAGAUUUUAUAGCCGUUGGAUUUUUGAUGCGCAUGGUAAUAAACCAAUAUGCUAAGGGCAAUAUAGUCAAUAUAAUUUAACAGUUAUAGUUGGUCUUCGUGUGUAAAUACACCUUUAAAUAAUGGCCAGUGGUAAAUUCCUUAGUUCAAUGACUCACCUGGAUGCAUUUGAAUUCAACGCAAGGGUAUAUUUGUCAUUUAAUCAAAAUAUAGACUGAUCCGUUACAAUUAACUAAAAAAUAAACAGAAAUGGGUGCGCGGUGCUCAUAGGCAAAAGAAUUGGGUGCGUUGUGCUGUAUGUCAAAACAUUUGGGUGCGGGGUAAAAAUUACCCUUUGGAUUAUGAUUUGAGGGUGCAAGUAUUUACCUAGAGUUUACCUCCGCACUAAAUUCUUAAGUUUUGAAAAUUAUGAGACCUUUAUAUUGGGAGAUAUUGUAAUCGAAUCAAAACUUAAAUUUUUUAUAAUGUUAAUAUUUAAUCUUUUAAAAAACAAUAACCUCGCCGUUACAGUUUGGAUUAAGAUUUGAGUAAGUAUUUACCUAAAUUUUACCUCCGUCUGUAAAUUCUUAAGUUUUGAAAAUUAUGAGACCUUUAUAAUCGAAUCAAAAUUUUGAAUUUCAAUAUUAUUAUUCUUUAAAAAAAAUUUUGAGAUAACAGAGUGAUUGAUAAUAUAGGAGAACUUGUCUAGGCAAGCACAUGUAUACACAGAAACGUGAUGGAUUCAAAAAGAAAUUAAAGUGAUAAUGCGAAAUCGCUUGGUGGCCCAGUAAAAUUACGACUGAAUUUUUUUUUUUUUUUUUACAAAAUUCAAGCUCAUAAAUGACAAAUUUCAUUUCCCUUUCACACGUCAUUAACUUUUGUAACAUGGUGUGUGCAUCGUCAAGUGAGGCAAAAGGGUUUCAAUUACAGUUGGAAAACAUGAACAAGAAUGCAUAAUGAAUAAUUCCUUCGAUAAACCGAAAAUUAAGCACAGAAUAAUCCUAAAAUUUAAACUCUAAUAUCUUAUAAUGUAUUGAUUAAAAAUAAUCCUAAGAGCUCCCAAUUGAAACUUUCAUAAGUAUUUUAAUUGUUUUGGAUAAACAAAUUGCACUAGGAUAAAAAUUUGGCAAAUUCAGAGGAUAAUGGAAAAUAGUUAUGCUUCAAUAGGCCAAAGAUUAGAGAACAAAUAAGAAUUAUUUAUUGAUAUACAAAAGAGAAACACUCCAAAAUUUCAAGCAAAAAUAGUUUCAUAUAUCAUUUCGAUUUUGAAAGGGAUGAGAUUUUGAACUUCAAUAGUUUCCUCUAAAAUUAAAAGGUAGCAAUUAAGCUAAAAAGAGCAAUGAAGACUUAUUGGUACCUUAUUAAAGGUAAACAUUAUGGAACUUUCAAUGUCAUUAUCUCACUGUUCAAUUUUUAUUGAGAUUUGUGUAAGCAUUUACCUAAAUCUUACCUCCGCCUUUAAAUUCAUAAGUUUUGAUUAAUUAUGAGACCUUAUAUUGGGAGAUAUUAUAAUCAAACUAAAACUUAAAAUUUCAAUAUCAUUAUUCUUUAAAAAGAAAUUGAGAUAUCAGAGUAAUAUCACAUAGAAAAACUUGCCCACGGACGGUAAGCCAAAAGUCUAGUCAACCACACGCAUAAAGCUAACUAGAACAAGAGAACAGAGAAACGCGUGGGUCCCUAAAAGAAAAGGCAAGCACAUAAAUAACUUUCAAAAUGCCCAAGCAAAUACCGAUGAAAAUCACUGUUUAAGAAUAAUUUAUUAUGUGGUUGAAGCUUUCUUUUUAUCAAUCUUCUUUCUACCCAUUAAUUUUCCCACGACUUUCCCGUUUCAUUUCUUGAAUCUCCAUGGAUUAACUUUCAAUAAACCAUAAAAUAAACUAAGGAAUCAUUUUCUCGAAUACAGCUAUGAUUUUAAUAAAUGGGCGGACCAUCUAGAAUAGUAUAUAUAAUUCUGUUUAAUUAAUAAGUUGAAAAAACCAUCAAGAGAAAUUCUAAUAUUAUGAGCUUGACACGAAUUCUUCACUAAUUCCAAAACAAGGAGCUGUUUUAUAAGAACUGUGGUUGGAUUAUUAAGUUUUACAAUUUGAAUAUAAAUAAGAAAAUAAAAUCAGUCGCGUUGAUGUUUUCGAUACAUUUCGCUGCUAACUUUUUUUUUUUUUUUAUUACAUGAGACUAUUGCUCAAAUUACAACUCAUAUUACAUGAGAAUAUAACUGAUAUUUACAAAUCAGACUAUAACUGGGACCAAUAUACAUCAAUACUAAUGGAGCGCUGCCCAGAUUUUAACCCUCUCAAAUAUUCAAGGGAUGUCUACACCUCACACUUGGGUAAGGAAACAGACUGUCUUCACUUAAAUUUACUUGAGGAAUGAAGACCCCCACAAUACAUUGUGGGGGUUCACCACUCGACCAAAGGCCGAGUGGCUCAUUUCGCUGCUAACUUAAUUAAUUACUUUACUUCAACUUUAUUUCCUUAGGGGCACUUUAUGGUGGGUCCAAGAUGGGACCUACAAUAAUCAAUCCUAAAAUUUAGUAUGGUUACCAAAUAGCUAGUAGCUAGUGUUAUUUUGUGUUUGGUGGAAGAGAUUGAAUAUUUAGUUUUAACUUAACCAUUCAACUAAUUAGAAAAUAAAUAAAAUUAAAUGAAAUGUUUAGAUAUCAAUUUAAAUAUUAAUAUCGGGGAUAUAAAUUAGUUAUAAUAUAGUUCAUUACAUAAAAUUGAUUAAAUUAAUAAUUACCCGUGAACAUAGAUGUAUAUGCUUUCCAAUUUCCAAAGUGCUCAAAGCACUUUUCUCACCAAACUUUCCUCUGAAUUUCCCGUAGCUGACUCCUUUGUUUGCGUUUUGUGAAAUUUCUAGGAACUUUUUUCGAUUUAGAAUAUUGUACAUUUUUCUUUUCAGCUGAGAUUAAUUUAACUUAUAGAAAAUCUUAUCCUUUUUUAAUAUUAUUUAAAUAAAAUUUGUCUAUCUUUUAUUUUAUUAGUCUACUUUUUACCCAUUAAUUAAGACUUUUCAAUUUCUUUUUUACCUGAGGUUUUCAGUGACUAUCUUUCAAUAAACCAUAAAAAUUACUUAGUCAUUUAUCGAACAAUUAGAUGACCAUAUUUCAAAAUAUCAACUAGAAGUUGUCCUGAAAUAUUUAAUUAAUAGUUGAAGAAUUGUGAUUAGUGUGGGCAUCUACAUAAAAAUUAUAUUAAAACACCGCUAAAAGAUAAAAAUAAAAUAAAAUAGUACAAACAUACACCCAUAGGUUAAAACAAAGAAAAAACACGAACCAAUACACUAAAAUGUUUUAGCUGUAGUUAGUUUUCAGUUUCAUUACUUAAGUCCCACGUGCAUGUCACGUGACUGAGGUCAAAAAAUGAUUGUCACAUUAAAGUUCAAAAUACGGAGCAGGGUAAUUAAGGAGUGGAGCUAUUGGCACCCCUCCAUUAUUCUUACAAAACUCCACUUUAAAUCAAAAUAUAAUUAAGAAUAAUUGAAAAUUAAACACUUAUAGAUUUCUUUACAACAUGUUGAGUGAUAAAAAAGCACCAGUCGGGCAUGUCCCCAUUUCUUACCCGGUGCCGAAUCUCCACGGUCGAAUGGUAUGAGUAGACUCUUGGUGAUGUCUUCUAUGUGGAGCACGUAACAACAGACCAGGAACUAGUACCAACCAAAAACGAGUACUGAUCGAAACAAGCAUGACCAGAAACGCAUACCGACCAGAGACUUGUGGGUCCGUAAAAGAAAAGGCAAGCACACAAAUGAAAAAGCCAUUACAUUUCUAUUUUACAUGUCAUUCCUAAUUUUUGUAACACGAUGUGGCAGCAUAUGCACAAUCAAAUGAGGCAAAAGGGAUUCGACUAUCGUGGCAGAACAUGGACGAGGACGCGUGAUGAAUAAUUCCUUCGAUAAAACGAAAAACAAACGCAGAGAAAAGAAUUUCUUAUAUGACAAGAAAUUAAAGUAAUGUGACGGAACAUGAUGAAGAAAUUGCAGAUCGAUCAAUUAUCCCCAUGGACUCCUAUAAAUUCAACCAAAAUAACAAUUCCAAUAUUACCAAAUUCUUGAGUUAAAUUUAUUCAAUGCUUUUUUUUAAGAGAAAUUUUUUCCAAUGCUACUUUCCCUUUUUUGGGGAAAUUAGAACUGCGGCAUGUAUAGAAGACAUUGAGGUAUAAAGCAACAUUAAUUUCAUGGGUUAUGCGUUAUACGCAUAAUAUAUUUUCAGUCCAAAUUCAACUAUGCAAAGAGGCUUGAGAACUUAAAAUUAAGCACAAACUAAACAGACGAAGUAAAUACAUGAUUAUGCAACAUAACAUUAAUUCUCUUAAUUUAUAACCGUUUUGCCACAUGAAUCUUGCACAGUUAAUCCUAAUUGAAGACUAAAAAAGAACAAUUGGAACAAGGUUUUGAAAUAGAAUGAUAGACAAUCGAUAUGAUCCAUUUCCAGUCGUCAACGCUAAUUAACUGCAGUUUCUAGACUCCUAAUUAUACUAGCCAUAAGAAACUGUUUAGAAAACUGGUGAUCAGAUUAGAUUUUGAAAUGAAAUAAUGUUCAUUUUCCCUUCGUUACCCUUUUAUUUAUUUAUUAUUUUUAUACCAAAGAAUUCUAUCAUGAAACGAAUCAAUUUAAUCACCUUUUCCAGCAGCACAAUUUUUCUUUUAUAAAAUUUGACCACAGAGACAAAGAAGAAUUAUUCAUACCUUCAUCAGUAAGGAAAUACUUUUCGGUAUGGCUAGGGUGAGAAAAGGCUUUCCACAAACACUUGUACUUUGUAUUCCUGUAAAUUUUCUUUAAAGUCAAUAAAAAUCAUAAGUUCUUUACAAUAACCAUCUCUUUGAUAAAAAAAGUGCCGUAUUCCUUUAGAAUUUAAAACCGGCAAAAUCGAAUCAGUGUCUUUGAAGAGACAUAAUGGUCAUAAUUCUUUAAAGAGUUGGCUAUGGAAAUCCUUAUCCAAGAUUCUUUUACGCCAUAUUCUUUCGUAAACCAAAAUUCAUUUUGGAAUACUCUGUUGAGAAUGUCAAAUAAAACGGUAUUGAAGGAAGUUUUCAAAGGCAGAAUCCGCACUUGUCAAAGGGAUGAUCUGCAUUUGUCAGAGACACAAUCUGCGUCGAAUGAAUCGACACAUUUCCUUUUGUAUUCGCAUAUGUAAUUUUUGAAAAAAUGUAGCUUCUGCAUCUAUAAAUAACGCUCAGUGUAUAAUGUUUUAUUCAAAAAAAGAAAACAAGUUUCUUCAUACUCGUCGUCCGAACAUACAGAGACCGUCUCUCAUAACUUCAGCCGAAUACUUAUGAUGAUGAUCAUUUGUGAUUUCAUCAGGCAUAGGGUUGAUGGUGAAAAAUUUUGUAUGUGUGAAGAAUUGAGCUGUGGAUAUAGGGGACUUAAGUGUAAUCGAAAGAGAGUUAUUAGGCCAUAGUGUAGAUUGCAUUCAGUUUAUGAGUCGAUAUGCAAAUAAUUUGUUGACGUGGCGAAAUUUGUUAUGGUCGUUACUAUUGUUUCUGGAAAUUUUCUAGAAACCUCAGCAUAAAAGGGGCUUUUGGAUAGCCUCUGGUGUGCGUGUGAUUUCUCUUUCGUUUCCUCAUCAAAUUCUGUAAUUCUUGCUUUGAUAAAAAGCUUGUAAUCUCUUCUGUAAUUGUGAUCAGUGCGUAAUCAUUUUGAGCGAUAAAAGCUUGUAGGUUUUUCCUUCAAACAAUGUCGUUUUGGUCAGUUUGUUAGUUUGAUCUGUUGGUGGAAUUUUCUUUGGUUAUUUGUUCUCAAAUUUCAACCUUAUAUAAAGUUUGAACUCUAAUGGCUUAUAAUGUAUUGAUUAAGAAUAAUCCUAAGAGUUUCCGAUUGAAAUUUUUAAUGACUAUUUUUAUUGUUUUGGAUGCACAAAUUGCAUUAAGAAAAAAUAUUGUCAAAUUCAGAGGAUAACGGGAAAUAAUUAUGCUUCAAAAGGCCAGAGAUUAGAGAAUAAAGAAGCAUUCAUUACUGAUAUAAAAACUGCUUCUAUUUGGAUUUUGAAAGGGGUGAAGUUUUGAACUUCAGUUGUUCCUCUAAAAUCAAAAGCAAUAAUUAAGCAUUCUCAAUUAGAAAGAGCAAAGAAGACUUAUUGGUACCUUACUGAAGCUAACAUUAUGGCACGGUUGUUCAUAUGUAAUGGCUGCUCUGUUAUGCUAGCUUCUCUGUUUUUGCUUCUAUUUUUGCUUACAGUUUUGAAGAUAAAUUCUUGCUCAAAUAACACAUAAUUAAAUAACACUAAUAUGGCUCAUGAAAUCCUAUAAUAGCUAAUUACGCAACUUUCUCCUCCUCCUCAAUUCUGUCUUCCCCUGCUCGGACACUAACUUCAAAAUUCAAUGCCCCGAAAAACAACACAAGAAAUCUUUGAGUUAGUUCGUGACCAGUUUAUAUAUAGUAGCAAUUGAAAAAAGAAAAAGAAGAAAAGAGUUAAUUAUUUUUCAGACCUUCACUUAUUAGGAAGUUUGUUCUGCUAUUGGGUGAGAUCAAGCUCUCAGCAUAUACUUCCACAUGAUACUUUCUAACAUUUUCUUGAAAGCCAUCAAUCAUUAAAUCUUCAUACUUUUUUCCAUCCUUUGGAUCAAUAAGUACAAAUUUCUCAUCUAAAAAAGACAAAAUAAAAUCACUGUCCUUCAUGGAAUCAGAAUUGAGCUUACAAAAACCGAAGUGGACAGUUCCAUUCAGAUUGGUCGCCCGAGAACAAUGAUGAGAAGACUUAAAAUCAGUUUCAAAGGUUUUCCAAGUAUUGUUCCUCUAAACCACUUGUAUAUUUUACCAGAACUCUUGGUUAAGAAAAUCCUAGUCCAUGGAGUAUGAUAUAUCAAUCAUGCAACAAUGACCUACAACAUCUAUGUGGAUUGAUUUUUGCAAAAUAAAGAACAAUGCUGACUGAGGAAUAAGGUGCAUACCCGAUUAGCAAUAUCUCAGCAAGUAACCAACAAUUUUUUAUCUGAUAAGAAAAAAUUACAAUUUCUUGAAUAUACAUGAAACAUUUUGCAGAAAGAACCAUGUCAUAAUUAUUAGUCCAACUGAAGAAUUAUCAAUACUUAUCACAUGAAACGAAAGAUACCCGAGUUCACUUAAUGAAAUUCUCUUUUUUUUUUCUCUAACAUUGAGAUAAGCAAAAACUUUUAACUAAAGACAAUCAUCUAGUGAUCUCAAACAAAUGAGGUUAGUAUGAAACCAUCAUAAUUUGUUCGCUCAUUGCCUAAUUUUAUUAAUGCAAGAGCCUGGAAGCAACUCAAAAAGAAAAUAACCGACAUAGGAAGUGUCAUCUCAUAUCUCACCAAUGAAUGGGAACAGCUUGAUGUGGCUGAGCAAACUGGCAGAAUUGUCAUUUUAACACACGUUCAAGAAACUCAGCAAAUUCUCAUAUCUGUUUAAAUUCCACAGCAAAGAUAGUUACAAGAAAUCUAAUCAAAAUUUAAAAUGUCAGAAGGCAAAUCUUCCAAUUAGGAUCAAAAGAAGAUAAUUAUAAUUUGUCAUUUCAAUUCUGAAUGUACAAUUUUAUUUUUUUAUGUGUGCAUUAAUUAAGAUUCUACCUUCUCUGCAAAAUUGUGAUGGACUUGGUAAAUAAUGAAUUGUAUCGACUUGAAUUUUAUACAACUUAUUGAGAUAAUAAUACGCCAAAUUCAACACCGUCCAUCCCAAAUCACAACAAGAAACUCAAACUUUUAUCCCCUCAAGUGGGUUCUUGAAACUGAAGCUUUAGUGCCAGUACAAUUUUGAAAGAUUGUGAUCAAACUAAAACAUCAAAUAAAAUAAGACGUAACAAAAACACGUCUUCAGAAAAUUAGUAUAGGAAUAAGAUAAGCUACACAGACCUACUUCAAUGAAUUAGAAAAAUUAUGAUAAACUUGAUGCAUUUCGAAAAACAACAAACAAAUAUUCCCAGGAAAACAAAAAAAAGACAACUUUGUUUAAGCUUAGACAAAAAUAACUAAGGACAUAUGAAUGCAUCAUAAUAGUAUCUCUAUGGGUAAUUUUCAGAAAUCUCCCCUAAGGUAUGGUGUAUUCUUAGUUUGAUAGAAAAUAUCUAAGUAUUCUUAUAGACCUCCCCUACUGUUAGUAUUCCAUUUCGUAUAUGUUAGGUAGAUGAGGGUAAGAUCGUAAUUUGAAUAAGUUAAUGAUAAAAAAUCCAGAAAUUUUAAGAUUUUCACAUUGGCCUCUGGGCUUUAUUCAUCUCUUUCAUCCACCAAAACCAGAAAUACAACUCACCUCUCUCCUCCACCUAAAUCGAAGCAAGGUAGCUCAAAACUCAUUUCAAAAAAUUGAUCAAUUACUUGGGUCACAAACUAGAGACAAUGACGACGAAGUUGAUGACGCCAAUAUCGACGACGAAGCUGAUGACGCCAAUAUCGACGACGAAUGAUUCGCAACUGCCAGGUAAGAGAGUAUAGUAGGUUUCGCCAUCGAACGCCCAAUCAUCCAGUUGUUUUGGAGCCGCGUUAUUUUUAUUAGCUAAAAUUAGAAUUUUUAGUGAAAAAUUGAAAGUGGGUCUCAAAAUUUUUUGAGAGCGUAUAUGUUUCUCCUGAUUUUUCGAUCGAUUCGUGUUAGUUGCAGUUAAAUGAUUAAUCCAAUUCGUGUUGAAGAUAGAGCUAACUCGAAUAUCUCUAUAGUCCUGUAAUUGAUUGAAAAUGGGUCUUGAAAAUUGUUUUAGAUUUCAGCUGUGUGCUUCUGAUUUUUUCCAUGGAUUCAUGAUAGAUGAAAAUGGUUGAUGAAGAUUUGCUUGACAUGUAUAUAGAUGGUAUUUUGUUAAAGGGGUUUUAAUUUUUUCCUUUUUUGGUGGUUUCGAUUGUGGUAUUUACAUGCCUUAGGUUGAGAAAAACGAAAAUGGUUUGUUGCACUCUUUUGUGUUGGAUCAGUGAGUUUAGGCGAUUUGAAAUGGUUUGCGGCAUUCAAUUGAUUGUUUUAUUUAUGUGGUUUGAUAUGGGAAAAGUAUAAUAAAAUUCAAUUGUUCCAUAUGUCAAUUUGGAUGUUUUGAAAUUAUGAACUACAAAAAGUUAAAAUUAAUUUCUUAUUAUAUUUUCAAUUGAAAGUUACUAUUGUCUUCUUUUUAGUACUUAGUAUGCAUUUUUCCCCAUCUUCUAGUGGUGGUGUUGCACCCAUUUUGAAUUUGAUCGGCAUCUUCUUCUGUACAUGCAUGUUUCUUGGACUCCAAUUUUUGUUUCAUAUGAUGAAGCUAAUUUAAUUCCUCCUUUUUAAUAUCAACUUUGUUCAUCUAGGUUUGCGAUUUUGAUCUUUCUCAUUUGAAGGCAAACACAUUUAUGUCAUCAAAAUUUCCAAUAUUUUUUAUUUUAUAGUAUCCAAACUGCUUAUGGCAAUAUGAAAUUGAGAAUAUUUCUUUCAUCAUGUUAACCUAAGUGGAUGGUGGAUGAUGUUUGUGUAAGAGAUUUAAGUUAUUUGUAUUAUAGAAUAUGUCUUAUGUUUUGAUUUGCAAUUUCACCAUUAAAUUGGCUUUGUAAAUGAUUAGAAGCUAAAUGCAUAAAAUGAAAACAAUAGUAACAUUUCUGAGUGGGGUAUAAUCAGAUGCUAACAUGGCGAUCCAUGACUUGUAAUUUCUAUUGUCGUUAUAAUUGGACUAGAUCGAGGUAAACUGACUUUUCUUGUUCUGUUUUUUUUUUCAUUUCUUUGUUCUAGAUUUUUCUUUCUUUGUUUUACUUCUGGUUUCUUCUUCAGCAUAUUCAAUAACUAGCAUGAGCAAAUGGAGAGGAAAAGGGUAGAAUAUGCUUUUAAAAAAAAAGAAAAGAAAAAAAGAGAUAGCUCUAAUUCAAAAAUAAGGAGGAGAAAAGGGCAAUGAUUGAAGUUGUGGAGAAGAAAUUCUUAAUGCAUAGGAGAUGACAACAAAGUGUUGCAACUGGGAGCAGUUUUAAAGUGCUAUUCGAUUGCUUUUGUAAUCAAAUUGUCUUUUGUACCUAUUUAUACACACACAUAUUUGUAUUUGUAAUUUGAAUUUUACAUUUUCUCAAGACAACUAUGUUUAUUUUAAAAAAAAUCUAAAUGUAACUAAAAUAUUAAAGUUUUUGUACUUAUUACUCCAUUUGAUGAUUUUUUUUAUUUUUUUGCUGACGAAUAUUCCAUGUCAAUUUUUUUCCCUUCAGCUCGUUUAAGGUGUUUUAUUGUCUGAUGUGAUAUUUGGUGCUCGGGAGGAAGGGUGUUUUAAGUCUUUUUUGGUGUCAGGGGCAAUUUUGUCUUUACAUCAGUCAACAAAUAGUCAAUGGAUGGAAAUGCAAACAGCAGGGGAGGUGUCUGAUAAUACACGGAUACUUUCUAUCAAACUUAUAAUACACAAAAUCUCAGGGGAGGUUUUUGAAAAUUACCCAACUGUGCAAAAUUAUGAAAAAAAUGAGCUAAACAUAUAUAGCAUUUCAGAGGAGUGCUUACUUGACAAAUCACUAAUACAAAGCUGCGAAUGGGCAUUCGGAAUGUUUUGAGAGACUCGUAUGGAUAAAAUAUGUAGUUAUUUAAGUAAUGACAGAAGGAGAAUCGUGUGGCUUGUCAAAGCCGUUAGCUCCAUCUCAUUUGCCUCGUCCUCUCGUUUUGUUUCUGUGGGGACAUAUUUGAUAUUUUGGAUUUUGUCUAAAAUUCGUCAUGUUUUUGGAUACUAACAUCUGCGCCUCUAGACCAAUAGCCAUUUGAUUAAGUGGGAGAACCCUUACACUAGUGUAAGAAUUUGAACUUUUAUAAAAUUAUUUAUGAGAUUAUUUAUAAUUUUUUUUAAUUAUCAAAUAAUUGAGUAGAGUCAGUUUAAUCCUUACGAAAUAUUUACUAUUCAUAAAUAUCUUUUUUUUUCUCUAUCUUACAAUUGAAUAUUCUCUCUCUACUCCAACAUUAUGUAACCUAAAUAUUUAAUUUCACUCUUUUUUAAUUUAUUUUUUUGUCUUUUCUUAGUAUAUUAUAAUCUUUAUUUCAUGUUUUCUAUAUAUAAGAAUUUUUUUAUAUCUAUUAAAUUUUGUGUUUAGUGAAAAUUAAUUUCUUGAUAUUUUUAAUUUUUAUAAUUGAUAAAAAUAUAUCAAUGUUCAUUUUUAAAUGAUGGGUUUUGUUCAUUUUAGUUUGUUAUAUUAAUUUUUUGUAGGUAAAAGAAUAUAUUUGAAUGAAUUGAAGGAAAAUUGUGAAAUUGAGAAGAGAAAGAGAAGAAAAAGUUAAUUAAAUAAUUUUUUCAAAAAUUAUUUAAAUAAUAAAAUUCUUAAUUAAAAACAAAGAUGGAGAGAGAAAUUUAGUGGGUUCAAAAUACUUAUUUUAAAUCCAAAAAAGAACCAAUAAAAGAAAUCAAAAGAUGAUUCUUUUCUUUCUGACAUAUUUCUCUGUACUUUUCUCUCUCUACUGAUUCACAAUUUUUCAUACUUCUAACUAUCAUUUUAUUCAAGUAUUUUGUAUUUUUAAUGACAAUUAUUUAAUUUUUAGUUAGUUUUGAUAUUGAUUAGAGAUUUAAAGUGUAUUUUAGAAGACUUCCGGUCUCUUGAAAAAAGGAAAAAUGGAGAAGAAGAAGUGUUCUUGAUUUUUUGUAGGCGUUAAAGUUAAAUGGUUUGAAAUGAUAUUCUUUUUUAAUUUCACUCAUUAAUCUCAUUCAAGAUAAAAUUAUAAAUGCAAAUAAAUGGGGUUUCAUAAGUAUUUUUAAUAGUGUUAAAAGGUCUACUCACUAAAUAAACAUGUUUAACCCAAACCAAUGCGAUUAGUAAGUUAUUGGGUUGGGUUAAUCAGGUUAAAAAUCAAAAUUAAAAAUUAAAUAAAUAAAAAAGGUAUAAAAACUAUCUGUUACUUGAAAAUAAAAAGAAUUUCUAAUUGUUAGUUCUAAUGUCCCAUAUCCAAAACAUGCAUAUUAAAUAAAUAUUAUAAGUUAGAAAUACAAUAUCCAAGAAAGAAUGAAUGAAAUACCAUAUUUUUGUUGAGAAUUAAGAGUGUGAUUUUAAUUUUGAUAUUGGAGUCUAAAGUGCCACGUUUAAAUAUUCUCUUUUAUAAAAUAAUAAAAAGAGGUUAAAAAUUAGGUUAGCAAUUUAGCCAUUUAGGGUUUAGCAAUUAAGGAUGAACAUAUUAUUGUUGUUGUUGUUAUUAUUAUUAUUAUUUAUAUGUUUACUAAUCCAAUCCAAUCCAAUUAUUAACGAAUUUGAAAAAAUUGAUUCAAUCAAGCCAUAAUAAUUCAUUCAACUCGUCUAAAUUGGAUUAGGUUGAAUUUGGUUUGCCACCCUUGUUUUGAGCAACAAACCUCAAUGUGAUUCCAUGAGCUCUUUGAUUGUUUAUAAAAUUGUUUAUGAAAGUGCAAAAUAAAUUAUUGUAUACAUUAAAAUGUGCAAAACAAUGAAUUAUAUGUACGAACGAGUGCAAACACAUUUUUCAAUAAGAAGUUAAAAGAUAUUUAUGCAUGAAAAAGCCUACGUUUGUAGUUAUUCUAAAUUUUAAAAACAAAAUUUACAUUUAGAUCCCUAAAAUUUACGUAUAAGUACAAAAGUUUCAAAUAUUGUCUAUUAUUUUUUUAACAUGCCUAUUCCUUGUGGAUAAUUCUAUCUCAUCACUAAUGUUGUUUCUUGCUUACAAUUUGUAUAGUGUCUCAAAAUAGACAAUAGGGGGAUUUUGAAUUUUUUAAGUCUCAAUAUAGUCUCUAAUCUUGUGAGAAAGAUUUUCUUUCAAUAAUUUGGAGGUAAACAUAACAUAACUUUUUGGACUAAAGCCUAACUCUGCUGGUUAUGGUGGUAUCCUUUUCAAGACCUGCGUCUUUAGAUUCGAGUUUUAUAGUGUGCAUGCGUAUUUAAUUAAUAAUUUUUUAAAACAAUACAUCAAAUAUUAAUAUCCAUGACAUAAUUUAGUUCUUAAUUUUUUUUUUAAAUACAUCAAAAACAUAAUUUUUUUAACAACUUAUAGGCAUGACAAAUUUCAAGAUAUAAAUAUCAGUCAAAAUAAGUGAAAGAAAUAAUGGUGCCAAUUCUAAUUUCUUAACUAAAUUAAUUAGUGCAUGAGCCCCGAAUACGACACGAGAGUUUGAUGGGCUAACAUGGCACAAGAACCUGAAUAAAUAAUUGAUUUAAGAAAUAAUUCAAUGAAAAAUAUAAUUGAUAAGAAUUCAGUAUUGAAAUGAGUUUUUUAUGAAACACUGAAUUAAUGAUUAUUAAGCAAGAACAAUAAAAAAUAAAUAUUAAUCAUUGAUAAGUUUCAACAAAAGCUUAACACAAUCCUCAAUCCUAAUUCAAAUUAUAAAUGUCAUUCAUAUAUUCAUUAUAAUCAACAACAAAGGUUAUAAAUGUUUAGAAAUUCUAGAGGGAAGGAAGCUAUCGCUGGGCAAUCAACAACUAAAUUUGAUGUAAUUGUGGCACGAGAUGGAAUAUGGAAACUACACCAUAAUUUCAAAUGCCGCCAUAGACAUUGACUUAUCUACAAUAACAAUGAUCUAAUUAAAAUAAAAAUAGAGUUUAUGGGCAUUUAUUAAAAUAAAAAUAGGAGUGAAGUAAAAACAUUUAGAUUUUAAUGUAUGUACGGAAAAAUUUAUCUUUAAAAAUACUUUCUUAAUGUGUGUGUGCAUAUUGAAAUACUCAAACCAAUUUUGGUUAUAUAUAAUUCAACAAAAUUUAAAAUAUGAAAAAUAUAAUGUAGUUAUAGUGGAUAAGCAAUAAGUGAGCACAAUAUAAUUAAUCAAAUACUAUGCUAUCAAAAGUUAAUUUUAGAAAUUCCAAAUCCAAUAGCUAACACAAUUCUUUAAAGAAAUAACAAGGGGCAUUGGGCAAGAGUAAUGAAUGCUUAGUGGGUGCAUUUGAUUGAUAGAUAUAUAAAGGGCCGAAACUUGAUAUUAUAUUACUUUUACAAAAUUUAAUCCAAUCACAUAUUUAAUGAAAACAAAAUGAGUUAGGAUUGUUUAUUUAGAACCCACAUUUUAAUAAGGCUUCAUUUGAUGUAGUUUUUCAAACAUUGAUUAUUUGAGUAAUUACAAAGUACAAUACGUACCAAGUUUGGUAACUUAAUUGACAUCUUCUCAUAUAACCUUCGAUCAAGUCGAUUCUGACCUGACGACUAAUUGGUACAUCACCGUUGUUCUCUAUACUCGCAUGCAUCCGAUCACAAAUCUCACUCCAAUUGUCGUCUUUCUUCGGCGUUUUAGCGCAUCCUUCUUGAAUUUCCCGCAUUUCGUUCCCUCCUGUUACAAGUCUCCGGUCAGGUCAGUUCACUUGACGAUUAAUUCGGCAAAUCUCGAAUCUCUUCUCUAUCCCUCUCGUUUUCUCGUGUCUCCUUUCAGUUUAAGUGAUUGAAUCAAUUUUAUCGCAGUCUUAAGAGAAAUUAAGUAAUGCUCUUGGAUUUAAAAUUUUUUUGCUUUCGACUUUAGAUCUCGAAAGUCAAACUCUGCUACGAAUCCAUAGAUUCUCAAUGUUUAUAAUCUUAUUUGUGUUUGACCAGGUAACUGGAUCGUGAAAUUCGUCGUUUUGUAUCAAUUCAAGCUUUCGCGAGCUCAUGGAAUCCCCUGGUGAGUUGUGGUGAAACGUUAUCGUUUCAAUUUUCGCUUAAUUCUUUAUUGCAUAUUUUUUUCUCUCUAAUAUUUCAGUUUAAUUUAGAAAAGAAAGAGGACCCAAAAAGAGAGAGAGAGAGAGAGAGACUCUACCAUACUCAAUUCCUUGCUCAUUCUGAUUUGGCCUGAAUGUUGGCAUUGACUAUUAUUUGUUUUCAUUUCGAUUUAAUUCUCAUUUAGACAGUCUUUUUUAACUAGCAAUAAUCUUUUUAAGGAAAAUGAUAAUAGGGAUUCUGCAAUAAUCUUUUUAAGGAAAAUGAUAAUAGGGAUUCUGCAAUAAUCUUUCUGCAUUGUUCAAGUUAGUAGACAAUGAAUAGGGUGUUUAUGUUUACCUCAUUUUGAACCCUGAGGGCUUCGUUGAGUAGUUGAUCCAACAUAUCCAGCACCGGUUGAUGUGAGAACAGGAUGCCAUUUAGAUAGGCUUAAACUGAUUUUGGAGGUUUGUAUUCAUUCUAUUGUAUGUCUUGCUUACAAAUUUUUUAUUUUUUAUUUUUAAUUUUGUAUAAUAUGCUCUUUGUUGGUAAAUCUCAUUUGACUUAGAAGAGAUAGUUUUAUCCCAACAGUGGGAUAAAUCAUUGAGAUGCAUGGCAGUGUGAAUAUAGUAGACAAAAUCAUUGAGACAGAUGGUGGUGUGAACAUAGUAAACUUUGUCAAACACAGCUAAGAUAAACAAAUUGUUUCAUUAGCCUUUAUCUUAUCUGCUGUGAUGAUUCAAAUUAAUGCUGUUUGGUAGGUUGCAAAAAACGAAAUGAGCUGACUGUUCAUAUUAUUUAGUCAGAUCUAUUGCAAUAAGUUGAAGUUCACUGUCACAUGGGUUGGGAGUAGCGUGGGCUGUGAGUAGUAGAAUGGAUUUAUGGAGUUGAUACAAGUGCCCAUAAUCUAUCAUGUCAUUCUAGGAUUAAAUGGAUUGCACAUUACUGUAAAGAUGGAGGUUAAAUUUAUAUAAUUCGGAUUGAUUGUAAAAUGGGAGGCAGAGAUGAGUUAGAAAAAAAAUGACCUGUGUCCUUUUUGAGCUGUUUCUAAAUCUCCCUGGUGUGCUUCAUGCUUAACACGUGUCUGUCCAAAUAAUUUUGCUUAACCUGUGCUUGUCUACUUCUUGUGCUAUUCUGUGCCUGGUCCUGAGCUGUGUUGGUAGAUUGACAUAAUUUUGCUCUGCUAAAUGUAUAACUUAUUAAUCAGAGUCCUGUUAUUAUGGUUUGACACUACUGACAUGUUGUGUUGGUAUUUAUUUGUACUUCCCUUGGUUGAAUUAUUUGCUGUCUCCAUGCCAUUCGAUAUGGUGCUACUUGGUUUUUGAUCAUCCAUGACGCUAUAUAUAUGUAAAGGAUGAAUUGAUUGUUUUGGCUUGUAUUCUCACAUUUUAUGAUUGAUCGAUGGAAAGGUCUUCAUGUAUUAAAUUCAACCUCACAAGCGUAAGAUUGACAGAUUGUGGGAAAAUUUUCAGGAAAAGAAACUAGACUUCAUGGAAGCAAUGAAGCUUGAAAUUGAACGUCUGCAGCUGCAUCUUUCUGCAGCUGAAAGGGAUAGAGCUUUAUUGUCAAUUGAAACUGAUCCUGCCUCUAUAAAUCCAAAUGUAUUGCUUGAUGAAUCUUACAUGGGAAGACUGUCGAGUAGCAACCACUCUUGCAUUACUUGGCCAAACUUCCCUAGAAGACAAAAUUGUUGGUGCAAUUGGCCUUGAGAAUAGUGAUGAUAGUGUUUUAGACUUCUGGAAUAUUACUAGAAUCGGAGAGAGUUGUUCUGGUGGCGGGUGCAAGGUUUGUGCAGAAACUAAGGUGCCUGCUCUUGCUUCCUCAACUGCAACAUCUGUUGGAGCUUCACAAUCCCCUUUGUUGUGUUCUCAAUGUGAAAGAAAAGUUUGCAAAGUUUGUUGUGCAGGAAGAGGAGCUCUACUGUUUUCAAAUUAUAAAUCAAGGGAUGUGACCAACUACAAUGGCUUCUCAAGUCAGAGUGGAUGAAGCCAUGGAAGCCAAGUUGAUGUAUCUACCAGUCGUUCACUAACACUGGAUGGCGUUAUCUGUAAACACUGCUGCCAUGAGAUUGUGCCUGAUGCAUUGAUGUUGGACCAUGUUAGGGUCUUGAUUAGCUUGCGAAGAAGUUCCUGUGCAGACAACGCAGUCAUACAAUGCUUUGAAUGAGGUUGUUGGAUCCUGCUUAAAGGAUAGUGUUUCUGAAAGGAUUCAGUCUUCCGAUAACGUGCAAGCUGCUGAAGUCCUUCACCAAUUAUGUGGUGGACAGGAAUCACUUGCUGAAUUUCCAUUUGCUAGCUGUUUGCACUAGGUAUGUUCUUGGUUUGUAUUCAGUUCUCAUCAUGUUAUGUUUUCCUUUUAAAUUUCUUUUCUUGAUUAAAAUUUUUAGAAAUAUGUUUUAGUAUUUGUUCUUAUGAUAUAUGCCCAGAACAUUCAUCCCACUUAUCCAUGAGAAUCCUUGUCUGGUUUGAUUUUCAAUUGAGACAUUUUUGGGAACCCUGAGCAGGUUCCAUAUGCUAAUAAUCUUUGAGGUAAGGUGUUGUAGGAUGCCUUGAGAAGCUAAAAACCUAUUACAAGGAAAAGCUCUUGCAUUGUUUUGUGGAAUCUGUGUUGUGAAAAUAGGUAGAGAAAAAGUUUAUGGAAUAAUUCUCUUAUUUCAUAUGUUCAUGAGACUGUACACAGUCUUUAUAUAGGGAUACAAGAGACUAAGAAAGGAAAGAAAAAAUUAAAGCAGAAUAUUACACACUGAUUUCUAGGAAGCAAUAACUCUAUAUUUACACCAAAUAUACACCUAAAUAUAUAAGGAAAACCAAAUCAAUUUGAUUUGGUCAACCUUUCAACACUCCCCCUCAAGCUGGUCUAAAAAUGUCUUUCAUGGCCAGCUUGCAAACCAAUUUCUCAAAAUGUUUCUUAGGUAGUCCCUUGGUGAGUAUAUCAGCAAUCUGCUCAUUUGUAGGAAUGUAGGGCAUGCAGACCAAACCACUGUCCAGUUUUUCUUUUAUGAAAUGUUUGUCCACUUCAACAUGUUUAGUUCGGUUGUGGAGUACUGGAUUAUGUGCUAUUGCAAUGGCAGAUUUGUUGUCACAAUAUACUUUCAUAGGUAGAGAAUUAUUUGCCUUAAGUUCUUCAAGAACUUUUUUGAUCCAAAAAACCUCACAAAUUCCUAGAGCUACUGCUCUAUAUUCUGCCUCUGCACUACUUCUUGCUACCACAGUUUGUUUCUUGCUGCGCUAAGUGACCAAAUUUCCUCCGACAAAGGUGCAGUAACCCGAAGUGGAUCUUCUAUCGGUUACACUACCAGCCCAGUCAGCAUCAGUGUAGACUUCUACUUGUAGGUGCCCGUUUUUUCUAAACAAAAGACCUUUACCCGGAGAUCCUUUUAAGUAUCUAAGGAUUCUAUAUACAGUUUCAAAGUGUUCUGGUCCUGGAGCAUGCAUAAACUGGCUGACUAAGCUCACUGCAAAGGCUAUGUCCGGGCGUGUAUGUGAAAGGUAGAUUAAUCUACCUACAAGGCGUUGGUACCGAUCUAUGUUGGUCACAUCUUCAAUAUUAGCUGGCUGUAAUUUCAUAUUAGGAUCUAUGGGUGUCUCGGCUGCUUUACAUCCGAGUAAACCUGUCUCUUCAAGCAAAUCAAGAACAUACUUGCGUUGAGACACAACAAUCCCAUCUUUUGAUCUAGCAAACUCCAUGCCCAAAAAAUACUUCAGGUUGCCUAAGUCUUUGAUUUCAAAGUCACGUGCAAGCACUUUCUUUAAUCUGCAAAUCUCAACUAAGUCAUCACCAGUCAAAAUUAUAUCAUCUACAUAUACAAUUAACACGACUAAUUUCCCUUCAAUAGAAUGUUUGUAAAACAUUGUAUGAUCUGCCUGACUUUGGGAGUAGCCGUGUCCCUUUAUAACAUUACCAAAGCGUUCAAACCAUGCUCUAGGAGACUGUUUGAGCCCAUACAAAGACUUAUGUAGUUUACACACUUUACUGUUGCCAUGAUUUCCCUCAAAACCUAGUGGUAAAUCCAUAAAGACUUCUUCUUCUAGCUCCCCAUUCAGAAAAGCAUUUUUAACAUCUAACUGGUAUAGAUUCCAAUCAGAAUGUACAGCCAAUGAGAUAAGGACCCGGAUGGAAUUUAUCUUUGCAACGGGGGCAAAAGUUUCUUGAUAAUCAAUUCCGUAGGUUUGAGUGAAUCCUUUUGCUACAAGCCUUGCCUUAUAUCUCUCAACACUCCCAUCAGCAUUACAUUUAAGUGUAAACACCCACUUUCAACCCACAGUUUUCUUUUCUUUUGGUAAAUCCACAAUCUCCCACGUACCAUUCUUCUUUAGAGCAUUCAUUUCCUCUAAAACUGCUAACUUCCAAUCUGGGUGGUCUAGGGCUUCUUUUAUGGUUUUAGGAAUUGGUAUUUGAGAGAUUUUUGUGGUAAAGGCUCUUUGUUUAUUGGACAACUUUUCAUAGGAAACAUAUCUAGCAAUGGGGUGCUUAGUACAGGUUCGGGUUCCUUUCCUAUGUGCUAUGGGUAAGUCAAGAUCAGGAAAAAAAGUGCUGAAAUGUUUAGGAGAAGAAAUGUUACCUGAAUUUUCUGAGGAAUCAGUGCUUGGAGGCAACGAUUGAGGCUGUAUCGAGUUUAUGAGAGGGUCUUUACUGUUGUGAUGAUACUUUCGAGUAUAAACACGCAGCUCUGGUGGUGGAAUUUUAUCUUGUAGUAUUUCUCCCCCUGUCUCUGGUACAUUAACACUUGGUUCCUGUAGUUCAAGGUUUCCUAGGUUUUCAUUAUUAGAAAUAUCAGUUUUUUGAGUUUGAGUUGGAGUGCCCAGAUCAGGUAAAAACUGAUUAGGCAUAGGUGUAGAAGUAUGCCAAAAAUGAUCUUCACUAUUUUCUUUCUCCCCCUGAAGAGAAUUUUGGCCAAAAAAAGGUUGAUUUUCGAGAAAUAUAACAUCCAUACUGACAUGGAAUUUCUUUGUUUGAGGAUUGAAACAUUUGUAACCUUUUUUAUUAGGUGCAUAGCCCAAGAAAACACAUUUUUCAGAUCUAGGAUCCAAUUUAGAUCUAAGAUGGUUAGGAACAUGAACAAAUACAGUGCACCCAAAGACUCUUAACUGAAUAUUGGAGGUAAUCCUACUAGAAGGAUAUAUAAGUGUGAAGUAUUCUAAAGGUGAUUGAUACUUUAAAACACGGGUAGGCAUCCUAUUAAUCAAAUAACAUGCUGUUAAAACAGCAUCACCCCACAAAUAUUUAGGAACAUGCAUAGAGAGCAUGAUAGCCGACUAACUUCAAGUAAAUGGCGGUUUUUUCGUUCCGCAAUUCCAUUUUGUUGUGGAGUAUCACGACAAGUGGAUGUGUGAAUUAUACCCUUUUCCUUACAAAACACCUCUAGAUAAUUAUUAAAAUAUUCAGUACCAUUAUCUGUAUGGAGUAGACUUAUUUUUGUUUGAAAUUGAUUUUCAACCAUGUUAUAAAAAUCUUUGAAUAACCCCUCAACUUCAGAUUUUUCUCUCAUUAAAUAAACCCAACAAAGCCGAGUAUGAUCAUCUAUGAAUGUUACAAACCAUUUUUUUCCAGUUAAAGUGUUGAUUUUUGAGGGUCCCCAAACAUCACUAUGAAUUAAAUAAAAAGGUUUUGAGGCACGAUAAAUAAGUGCUUUAUAUGAAACUCGAUGACUUUUAGAUAAAAAACAACUUUCACACUGAAAAGUAGUACAAUCAACAUUUUUAAAUAAAUUUGGAAACAAAUAUUUCAAAUAAGGAAAGCUAGGGUGUCCUAGUCUAAGGUGCCAAAGCAUUAUUUGAUCCCUAGCAGAGUUUGAACUAAUACUACUGCUCAAACCUUGAGUUUGUUUAUUCCUUGAUAAGUAGUCAUCAAAAUAGUAAAGACCUUCUCGCAAACUAGCACUGCCAAUCAUCGUCCCCAAGUCCCUGUCCUGAAAUUCACAAUGGGAGUCAAAAAAGACAGCACAACAAUUAGAAUCUUUGGUUAAUUUACUGACAGAUAACAGAUUGCAAGAAAGUUUAGGGACAUGUAGCACAUUUUUAAGCUCAAUGGUUCCAGAGAUUUUUAUUGAUCCUUUUCCAGCUAUGGAAGAUAAGCUUCCAUCAGCAACUCUUACCUUUUUGUUACCAGGGCAAGGAUAAUAGGAAUCAAAUAAACUAGAAAUGCUAGUCAUAUGAUCAGAAGCACCCGAAUCAAUAAUCCAUGGUGCAGUAGUUGAGUGGCUAAAUAGAGCAUUAAUAAUACUACCUGUUUGGGCUAGUGAACCACUAGGAGUACUAGGUGGAGGAUUAGAAGUCAGCAGCUUUAUGAGAUGGUCAAUUUGCUCCUUGCUGAGAUUUUUUUCUAGAUUCUCCACUUCAUUGGCAGACGCACGGCUAUGCUUGCUGUUUUUCCAAUCUGCAGGCUUUCCGUGGAGUUUCCAGCAAGCCUCCCGAGUAUGGCGUGGUUUAUUACAGUAAUCACACCAUACUCGAGGUUUUUGUUGCUGUUGAGUGAUGGAGCGGGUAGCAUUAUCUGCUGUAACAAGGGCAGAUUUUUCCACAGAGACAACGGAGUUCUUUUUUCCCAACAUAACACCUCGACGACUUUCUUCUCUCCUUACUUAAGAGAAAACAUCCUCAAGAGUAGGAAGUGGCUUUCUCCCAAUAAUUCUUCCUCUUACCUCAUCAAAUUCAACAUUGAGCCCAGCCAGGAACUUGAAGAUUCGCUCAUUAUUGACAGUUUGUUUGUGGUGUUUAAAAUCUUCCAUGCUCUCCCACUCGUAGUCGUUGAAUAAGUCCAGAUCUUGCCACAAUCUCUUUAGAGUAUUGAAGUAUUUUGUUAUACUAUAAUCUCCUUGACGGAUAUCUCCAAGAGCAAGCUGCAACUCAUAGAUCUGGGACUGAUUUCCAUAGUCAGAGUACAUCUGACUCACAUUAUCCCAGAGUUCUUUUGCAGUAGAGUAGCACAUAUAAUUUGCACCAAUGUCUUCAUCCAUGGAGUUGACUAACCAUGCCAUAAUCAUGGAGUUUUCGGCAUCCCAAACACCAUAAGAGGGAUCAGAUAUUUCAGGAGCCUUAACAUCUCCGGUAAGAUAACCAAUCUUCCCUCUUCCCCUAAUAUACAUUCUAACCGACUGAGACCAUCUUUGAAAAUUUCCUUCAUUCAGCCGGAUAGUUGUAAUCUGGACAGAAUGAGAUUCAGAAUGGGAAAUUUUUGGUUCUAGUCUUUUUGAGGUGACUGUGGUUUCAGAAGAUUGGUCAGACAUGGUAGGGAAGAGAUCAGAAAGAAAGGGAGCCUAGCUCUGAUACCAUGUGAAAAUAGGUAGAGAAAAAGUUUAUGGAAUAAUUCUCUUAUUUCAUAUGUUCAUGAGACUGUACACAGUCUUUAUAUAGGGAUACAAGAGACUAAGAAAGGAAAGAAAAAAUUAAAGCAGAAUAUUACACAUUGAUUUUUAGGAAGCAAUAACUCUAUAUUUACACCAAAUAUACACCUAAAUAUAUAAGGAAAACCAAAUCAAUUUGAUUUGGUCAACCUUUCAACAUGUGUGCUAGCAAGUCAUGUCUCUAAUAAUUUCAUAGUUUGCUUGAUUGGAAUUUUUUAUCUUGAUAUGGAUUGUUUAUUCUAGAUUCCUUGGUGCUGUAGGUUGAAACAGCAAAAGAUUCAGCACCGAUUUUGUCACUGCUUGCUCCAUUAAAUUCUGGAUCAAGGCACUCAUAUUGGAGAGCUCCACCUUGUACUACUUCUGUUGAAUUUGUUAUUGUUCUCUGUUCUGUUUCUGAUGUCAGUGGGGUUAUCUUGCUUGUUAGUCCUUGCGGCUAUUCUGUGGGUGACACUCCGAUGGUAAGUGCCAUAUUUAUUCCCUUAUUUCCUUGUUGUUCAAUAAAUUUGGUGAUAAGCCAAGUGGCCUUAAUAAUGAAGCCCAGUACCAGGGGUGGUGGGUAAUCGAUAUUCAACUUGUGAAUAUUCCUAAGCAAGCACUGAAUCAACAUAGACCUCGGCAAAAGUUCUCCAUGCUAUUAUAACGAAAGUCAUAUUUUGAAAUGAUUAAAAGAGUCCCUGUGUAGUGCUAUUUCCAAAGAAAUUGCAGCUGGAGGUUUAGUUUCAUGUAGGUUAGUUUCCGAUAAUAAACUUUCCAUUUCAUUAAUUGCUGAUGAAAAAACCAAGUAAGAACAGUUUUGUUGCUCGUCAUUUAUGUAUAUUUUGGUAAACUGUAAUUUUAAAUUCUCAACGAUCUUCCCUUUGUAGGUAAGAAGAUGGUCCACUCACUUGAUAUUUAUGAUUGUAGAUCAGGUUUCUAUUGGUUUGCCUUUAUCAUUCGGAACCCAAGUUUGAUAUUAACAGAGAUCACGUCAAUAAUAUCCUAUUUGGGUAGAUGUGGGUGAGGAUUUAAAAUCAAAUUUGAAAUUGAGGGCAAAGAAGAGAAAAGAAACCGCAAUAAUUAAACAAAAUAUUAGGAACUAUUCUGAUGAGUUUUAAUCUCGAGAGGAACAAUUUUCAAAUGCAAAAUUUAACUGCUAGAGAAAUUGUAGCUUUUUGUCAUUAGUUAAGAGGAAAGAGAAUAAGAACUAUCUGGCCCUUUCCUUCAUGAAUGUGUGUUGAGGUUGCUGUAUUAUUUAGUCAGUAUUUGUAAUUUUCUUCCCUGCAGUGCUCUCUGCCUCCUGAAUUUGCUACUGAGUCCAUAUUUUUCUUUGAGCUGUUGCUUCCUAUUGCUGUUACAGGUACAAAUCUGGGCAAGCAAUAAGAUACACCGGGAGGACAGGUCAUCAAUGGGAAAAUGGGAUGUCCAAUCCCUCAUCACAUCUUCUUCAGAUUUGUAUGGUCCAGAAAAGUCUGCUAGUGUUGAAAAAUUACCUAGGCAUGUAAAAUUUACUUUUAAGAAUCCUGUUAGGUGCCGCAUUGUUUGGAUCACAUUACGUCUUCAGAGACCUGGUUCGGCUUCAGUUAAUUUCGGGAAUGACUUCAGUCUUUUGUCUCUUGAUGAAGAUGAAAACCCCUUUGCACAAGUAGACAGACGUGCUUCAUUUGGAGGAGCAGUUGAAAAUGAACCAUGUAUUCAUGCCAAAAGAAUUCUUGUAGUCGGAAGCCCAGUAAAAAGGGAGGGGCUUACCACAUCACAGAGCUCUGAGCAGCUAAGUAUUAGAAACUGGUUGGAUAGAGCUCCACAAAUGAGUAGAUUCAAGGUAUUAGUUGCUUUCACUCUUUGUUCAUUCAUAAUUCCAGCUUUCUGCUUGAUGCCUUGCCUCUGAUAAACCUCUUUUUUCUCUUCAGGUCCCAAUUGAGGCCGAGAGAUUGAUGGACUACGAUCUCGUCUUGGAACAGUAUCUACCUCCAGCGUCACCUUCGCUUGCCGGAUUCCGUCUAGAUGCUUUCAGUGCAAUAAAACCUAGGGUUACCCAUUCACCUUCCUCAGAUUCAGAUAUCUGGGACAAAUCAGUAACAUUUUUAGAAGACAGGUACAUCUCUCAAGCUGUGUUGUAUUUACAAGUAUCCGCACUCCAGGAACCACAUAACAUGGUAACUAUUGCGGAAUAUCGACUGCCGGAGGCUAGAGCCGGAACGCCAAUGUACUUUGAUUUCCCACGACCGAUACAGUCCCGACGAGUUUCAUUCAAGCUUCUUGGAGAUGUUACAGCAUUUGCAGAUGAACCUUCAGAACAAGAUGAUUCAGGAUUGAGAGCUCCACUUGUGGCCACAGGUUUGUCUUUGUCAAACAGAAUCAAGUUAUAUUAUUAUUGUGAUCCUUAUGAGCUCGGAAAAUGGGCAAGCCUUUCUGGAGUUUGAUCGUUAUUUAUAUGUCAGAGAAAGGGUUUUGGGUUUGAUUUUGAUUUUGAUUUGUAAUUUUUGUCAGUUUAUUGAAAUUUUUUGUUGUAUAAAAGCAGAAUGUAAAGGUAUAAAAAUUCAUUGAUGCUGCAAUGUCUGUGCUUUUGAGAAAGAAAGAAUUCUAUGGCUUUUCUAUGCCAUUGGAUUUUCCACUGCCUGUAAACUUGGGCUGUCGAAUGCUCUGUGAACCUUAAGGGCUAUAAAGUAAUUUUCAAGACUGAAGGAUUUAUUAAUCGAGUUCAAAAGAUUGCAAGUUGGUGAGCGUUGGCAUUUAAAAAAUCAAUUGUUAUUCUCUCAAUAAUCUCUGUCUUCUGCCGACACCCCAUGCUCAGAAACCCAUUGUUCCGACGGACGUGUAACACUUCUAGAAAUUGUUUUGAUCUCUCCUCGUGAAGUGUUUUCUUUUUCGAGUGAAGGUGGUUUUCUACUUGCAUACGUCGGGGGUCUUAUGAUAUGUAAUGUGUGAAAUUUCUUUCUCAUUUUACCAUAAAGAAAAAUGUUGUAAUAAUCUAAAGCUCGAGUCUUAAAUUAUCUUAAAUUUAUAUUUAGAGUGGAGCUAUUCGCAAUCCUACAUUAAAAUUACAAAUAAAAAUAAUUGAAAAUUAAACACUUAUAGAUUUUUUUUACAACAAAUUAUUUAAUUCAUAAUCAAUCCUUUAAAAAAAAAAAUCCAUAUGUUACUUGCUAUCUAACUAAAAUAAAUUUUACAAAUUUAGAAUAAUCUAUUGAUUUCUUUUGAUUUCUUAUUAAUUAAAUAUUUUUAUACAUAAAAUUGCUUUGAAAUUAUAAUUUGAAAUAUGUGUUAUUUCAGCCAAUGAUUAACACUAAAAAACUUAUCACCCAUAUAACUUUUUAAUUUGUGUGUAGGGUAAUAAUAAAAUCAAAAAUAAUUAAAAAAAUAGUACAAUAAUGAGUUUUAACAAUAAAACAAAUCAAAUGAAAAUUGAAAAUUUAGAAAAAAUGUAUCUAAAAAAGGGAACGUUUUUUAAAAUAAAAUGAAUAUAACUAAAAAGGGGUUUUAUGAGAAGAGCAGAGGGGUGCCAAUAGUCCAACUUGUAAUUAAGAAUCUCCCAUUAUAUUGUCAACCAAAAAGACACUUGAAUAAGAAGAAGAAUUUAUCAGUUUGAUUUUAUUUAUAGAUCCAACAUUUCUCAUAUCCUAAACGCCUUUCCGUAUCAAAUUAAAACAGUAGUCGCAAAAUCGUAGUAUUAAAAUCGUAGUGCACAUUCAAUUAACCAACUAAUAGUCUUUGGUAUAAGAUUUUAUAUUAGCUAGCCAAGUAGGUUGUCCAUCCCACUCAGACAUGAACGAAAGCUAAAUUCAUCAAAUGGUGUUAUACUAUUAAAUAUUUUUAUAUUUAAAAUUACUUUGAAAUUAUAAUUUCAAAUUAAAAUAGUAGUAGCAAAAUCGUAGUGCACAUUCAAUUAACCAACUAAUAGUCUAAGAAGCAAAGAGAGGAUUACAAGUUCACAACACCAUUACAAAGGAUUCAAAAUUCCCACACGAAAACAUCAAUGUACAGAUUAUAAACAAUCCGAAUUGGACACAAGAAAAAGCCCUUCAAUGGAUUGCUUUCCUUCCCAAUGCUAUAUACUGUGCAAACUCCGCACUGGCCAAGAAAAUGUUUUCAAUUUAGUGUAUUUUCAAAUUGCUUAUUUUCUCAUAAUAUAAAAAAUAAAAAAGAAUCCUUACAUGUUUCAUCAGCAUGAUUAAAAUCAAAGAAGAAAGCGAAGACGUAAUGUCUCUGACAUAAUAAAAUUACAAAAAUUUCAAGGAAAAAAAAAAGGUUAAAACAUGUAAUCUUCAGAAGCAUAUAAUAAAAGAACACUUCCACAAAUUACUACAAUUUCAUGCAGUAGAGAUUGAAGAGUUGAAUUCCACUAAUUUUAAUAAUGAAAACAACAACAGAGGAUUAACUGAUGCUUUGACUUAUUAGCAGGUUGCUUUGACUUAUUAGUUCUGCAGCUAAGUUAAAUAAAAUAAGCUAUUUUCAAAAGCAAAAUGGAAUACAUAGAUAAAAACAUCAUCUUAAACAAAUCACAAUCUAGAAUUAGAGCAUUUUCGACAUACCUAAGGAACACGAAUACGUGAAAACGGGUGAUUUAUUUGUUAAGGAGUGUUGAUUUGGUCGUCUCUGCAAAUUCUUUAGGGACUCGGUUCCAAUUCCUCUUCAUCAAAACUGUAAUAUAAUUCCCCUUCAUCAGAACUCGAAUCGAUGCAAUAUAAUUCCCCUUCAUCAGAACUCGAAUCAAAUUCACUUGCAGCAGUUCCACUCGCGCUUGGCAAAUCAUCCAAUUUCCAAACUUCGGUAACAAAAUUGAGAGUAAAAGUGUUGGCUUUGAUCUCGCUGGGAUUUGCAUAUACUGGACAUACUCCGCAACGUUUUAUCUUCUGACCCUUUUGGACCUUUAUUAUGUUUCGGUGACACUCAUUGAAGAACUUAAAUGUGGCAGUUGAAUGAUGGUCACCAUCAGGAAAGCCAACAUUCAAGCAAGGUUUAAAACCAAGUAUGACAUGAUCUGAAUCAUGGGGGUCUUGAAUUGAGUGCAAAUUGUAACCCAGAUGAACAUGUUUGGUUUCAGAGAGAGUCUUUAUUUCUAAGUCGGAUCGACAGUAAACGUAAAAAUAACGAAAACGAUCAGAAUAAAGUUGCUUAAAAUCAAGAACAGCACAAAAAGCAAACCCGAUUAAGUUUCUGCAAAAAGAGUGCGGUGGCAGUUGAAUACGUAUCGAAGAUCCUGAACUUUGAUUGCUGAACCAGUCAGGAAUUUCGCUCCCAGGUAAAACAAUUUGGGAUCCCCUGAGUUCAGAAAGUUUCUGCGAAACGACAUUUAAAAAAAGAAAAUUGUAAAAUGAAAACCAUGAUUUCAGAUAUAACAAAGAGGGACAGAGUAAACAAGAGAGGGAAUUUGAUACCUCGUUGUAUGCAUUUUCAUAGCCCAGUCUCAGUGAUGCUGCAAUUGCCAUACGUAGUGAAUCUGCCAAAAUCUUGUUGUUUGCUUUUCCAUCAAGUUUCAAGCAGUUAGUAAACUCAAAACAAAUUGGUUGUGGCGUCACAUAUUCCGGAUGCCAUUCACGAAGGUCAGGAGAGGGUUUGGAUAGCUUUUCGAGUACGGAUGCAUCUAGUUCUUGUACACAUGACGGAAUCUCUGGCAAAGAUUGAAGCCGGUUGCAGUUCAUUGCUUUUAGUGACUGUAGACACAAUGGAAGUUCUGGUAAUGACCGAAGCAUGUUACAAUCCUCCAAGUGAAGAGUUUCUAGACCCAAUGGAAGUGCUGGUAAUGACUGAAGCAUGUUACAACGCCUCAAGUAAAGAGAUUUUAGACACAAUGGAAGUUCUGGUAAUGACUGAAGUAUCUUACAAUCCCUCAAUUCAAGAUAUUUUAGACACAAUGGAAGUUCUGGUAAUGACUGAAGCAUAUUACAAUCCUCCAAGUUAAGAUAACUUAGCCACGACAGUUGCUUGAUACUUGCAGGUAAACUCUCAAAGUUAUUUCCACUUAAAUUGCCAAUGUUAUCCGGCAACUUGUCAAGUAUAGAGCAACCACUUACGGACAAAAAUGAAAGCCCCGGUAGAUUUUCAAAUGGCGAUGGCAGCUCUGUAAUUGCCGUCCAGACUAAAUAGAUGCAAUUUAAAUGUUCCAUUUUCUCCAAGAUUUCUGGGAAACGCUCAAGGUUCAAGCAGCCAAAAAGAAAAAGAUCAACCAAAGAUCUCAAUUUACAGAACCUAGUUGAAAUCCUCUUCAGCCGUUUGCAAUGCCCCAAAUCCAACACUUCAAGAUCAGUUAGGCACUCUAUUGAUGAUGGAACUUCUUCUAUUGCAGACUGGCCUAAGGAUAGCUCUGUGAUUUUCCCAGAAAUCCGUGGAAACUCUUUGAGAUUAACACAAUAGGAGAAAUUAAUAGUUACUGGACAAACAAAAUGAAGAUUGCUUGGAAAAGACCUAAGACUUUUGCAGCCCUCAAAAGACAACGCACUGAGAUACUUGAAAUUCUGGAUAGAUGAGGGAACACAAGCCAAGUUUGUAUAAUCCAAAAGAUUUGUUUCAACAUUUGGGGUUUCUAAUGGGCCUGGCAUCUUAAUGAAAUGUCGAGAAUGAUUGAGGUUAAUAGAUUUUAACUUGAAAGCUUCCUGCAAUAACAGAUAUAUAAAGACUAUAUUAAUUAAAAAGCAACAUUGAAUUCAACAAUUAAUUGCACGUAUGUUUAAAGAAAGAAAAAAAUUAAUGUUUUAGUUUUAGUACAAAACUUACCUUUUCUCCUUCCCAAAGUUGCUCAACUUUACUAAAACGCAAAUUCAGUUCAACAAGGUUCAUUGGCUUGAAAUUUGAUGGCAGUGUCCUUAAUGGAUAUGUGUCCCAAUGAAGAUAUCUCAAUUUUUUAGGAAGAUAAUCUAGGCCAUUUGGAAGCUGCACUUUAGAGUAUGAAAGUUGCUCUUCAAUGCUCAUACUUAGAAACCUUUCAAUCUCAGGUACAUAAAAUUUGAGCAAUCUUAGAUUAGACAUUUUUGUGAAGGCUCCUGGGUCUAAAUUGAUGCCUUUUAUUUUGGACAAAUCCAGAAAUAUGCCUUCAAUUGCAUCGGUCCCCUUAUUAAAAAAAAAAAAAACAAAGAAUGAGUAACCCUAAAACAGAAAAGAAACAUUCGUAAACUUUAUUAACUAAGAGCUUCUUAAACAAAAACAAAUUCUGCAAUCUUUGAUUUUAUUUUUUUAAUAUAUUAAAUAUCUAUAUACGAGAAAAGAAAAUUUUGGGGACCAUUGCAAAAUUAAACUAACCGAAAAAAAAUUCAAAAUUUCUCUAAUUUACAAACCUGUUAUCUUAAUAACUAGAAGUUGAGAAGACAAGGCCUAUUUGAUUGGUAUAAGAUUUCGAUUUGUUUUUUAGUCCAUAGAAUCCAAAAUGUUAGUUCAAAAUUAGGGAAAAAAAAUGAAAGUUAUUUUUUUUCCACUAGUUGUAAUUGUUUCCAAGUCAAAUUGAGAUACGACCCUUUUCGAAAGGAUUUAAUCAUCUUAUAGCCUCCUUAAGAUACAUUUAAGCUAAAAGGAGUGAUUGGAGGCAGAACUAGGUGGGCCAAUCAGUCCCUUUUAUUAGUGACUGUUGCUUAAAAAAAAUUAUACUCUAAAACACACUUACUUUUUUGAAAAAAAAUAUAAUUAUAUUGAAGUAGAACCAGGUGGGCCAAUCCUCAUGGCACUCACUUUGUUCUGACACUCUUCACUAAAUUUGAAGAAAAAUAAAAUUAUACUCUUCACACUCUUAUUCAACAUUCCAAAAUUGAUAAAAUCUAGAGUUUUCUUUAAAAAUUUAAAAUUUGAAGACUUGUUCUCUUGACAUCCUCAGUCAUUAAUUUCACCUAAUUAUGGUUUUUAUGAUUUUGGUUGUUUUGUUCAUAAAACAAUUUUACUAAAGGAUGUUCUCGUAAUAAUAAAAAUUAUAAAAAAAACAUGGGUGUGCUGGUAUGGUUGGGAAAAUACGAGUACAGAACUCCAAACAAAUAAAAGAUUUAUAUAAAAAAAAAUGGAGGAUUCUUACCAUAUUAUGCUUUAGUACGCGGCGGAUUUCCUUAGGAUCCCACAACCUACUACGUCUGCCUGGCACUUCCUCAGAUUCUUGGCGAACAGUCUCUUGGCCCAUUUCUUGCAAUAAAUCAUGCAUUUGCAAGCGGUUAUCUGACACAGUUAUGAGUGACUUGUCGACGAGGACAUCCAGUCUGUGAGACCCAGAAUCAUCAAGUAUCCUUAACACAAAAUCUUUAUCCUCUCCCUCAAGGAAACACGCAAUAUCUAGAAACAUACUCUUCACCCUGGGCGUUAAUUCUUUAAAACUAAUCUUUAAUGUAUCAUAAAUACCAUGAAUAUCAGAUUCACAAAUCCGAUUUAAGUCGUGCAAUACAUUUUCCCAAUGGCUUUUCCUCUUGAGAUACAGGGAGGAACCCAACACUUUAAGAACUAAUGGAUUGCCAUCAGCAUACUCUACAACUCUCCACGAGUCACGUUUGAAAUCUUCAGGACGAUGCUUUUCUUUAAAAGCGAAGUUACAAAAGUGCUCGAAAGCCUCAUCAAAUUUCAAUCCAUUGACCCUAUAUAUUUUCUCCACUCCAAAUUUUUCGAGGACUCGUUUAUCCCUGGUGGUUACAACAAUUCUACUUCCUGGACCAUAUUGAUCAAGCCCUCCAAUCAAACCCUCUAAUUGUUCAUCUUUAUUCACAUCAUCGAGUACAAUCAACACCUUCAUGCGUCGGACCCUCCCUUUAGUAAAUUGUGGAAUAUUGGGACCAGCUACUUCAAGUUUUUCACUUAAUAUUGUCGAAAGCAUUUCCUUUUGUAGGUCUUCUAGGCCACCCUCUGUUUCUGAUUUUCUCCUAACAUUUUUUGCAAAGUAUUUACCAUCAAACUCACCAGCGAAUUGAUCGAAAAUAGCUUCAGCAAGGGUAGUUUUGCCUAUACCGCCCAUACCCCAAAUUCCAACAAUUUGGACAGUAUCCGACAAAUCCAUACACAAAAAUGGUUUAAUCUGCUCAAUUCGUGAAUUUAAUCCAACUAGGCCGUUGGAUGAGUCCGUUGAGACUGUUAUUUUUUCCAACUUCUUCAAAACAUCUUCGACAAUUUUGUUUACAAGUUGCGCAUCAAGCCUAAUAUGAAGGUGCAAAGAUGCAAAAACAUUGAGUCAAAUCGGGCCAAGACAGAAACAGAGAAAAGAUGAAUUAGGAAAGAGAGUUACCUGAAUUUCGUGGAUUCAUGGCCGGCUAGAUGGGAUGUUUCUGUCAGUGCAUCCCUCCACUUCUGAACCAUUUCUUGUUUAUCUUUGAACUGUUUUUUGAGCUCAUCAAAACGGUCUCCAAAUGUUCCGUUUUGAUGCCGCACAUCAGAUGGACUUACUCCAUAGAAGAAUGGAAUAAUAAUUUGGCCGUUUGUGUUCUUGCAUUCAAGAAUCUUGACAAGUUCAUUCAGGCACCAUUUUGAAGAAGCGUAGUCCUUCGAGAAAAUGACCACCGAAAUUUUUGAACCUUGGAUUGCGUUCAAAAGGGCGGGUGAAAUCUCAUCUCCUCGCCUAAGCCCUUCAUCAUCAAUAAAUGUUUUGAUUUUCUUUCCUUCAUACAAUUUAUCAUAGAGAUAGCAAGUAAAGCUCUUACGAGUGUCCUCCCCUCUAAAGUUGAGGAAGACUUCAUAAUUGGCACAAGAAGAAGAGGAAGCCAUGAAGGAAAUUUUAGAAAAUUGGUGACAGAAACAGAGAAUUAAUCUUGAGAGUUGAGAGAGGAGAUGUAAGAAUGAACAUGUGCGAAGAUUCUUGCGAGUACAUAGUAAAUAAUUGAAUGGCUGGAGCUUUCUUAGUUUCCUGGAAAUUUCCUGGAGCUUUCGUAUACAUGAUUUGUCAAGUCAUGAAACAUAAUCAUGAUAAUGGGGCAGACCGAAAAGAAAAGCAACAAUUCAAAUAUUUGAUUCAACCAGUAUAAAAAGGAAGGAAAAGCAAAGAAAGGAAAUGUUGAAAGUAGAGUUAGGGAAUUAUAAAAAGCUGAAGGAAAUUGGAAUUUUGUACAAUUUCUCCAGCGAGGAACUUUCACAGUCGUUACCUCAUUGUUACAGUUUAGAUUAAGAUUUGAGGGUGCAAGCAUUUACCUAGAUUUUACCUCCGCACUAAAUUCUUAAGUUUGAAAAAUUAUGAGACCUUUAUAUUGGAAGAUAUUAUAAUCGAAUCAAAACUUAAAAUUUUAAUAUUGUUAAUCUUUAAUCUUUAAAAAAAAUUACCUUGCCGUUACAAUUUGGAUUAAGAUUUGAAUAAGCAUUUACCUAAAUUUUAUCUCCGCCUGUAAAUUCUUAUGUUUUAAAAAUUAUGAGACCUUUAUAUUGGGAGAUAUUAUAAUCGAAUCAAAAUUUUGAAUUUCAAUAUUAUUAUUCUUUUAAAAAAAAUUUGAGAUAACAGAGUGAUUGAUAAUAGAGAACUUGUCUAGGCAAACACAUGCAUACACAAAAAUGUGAUGGAUUCAAAAAGAAAUUAAAGUGAUAAUGUACGUGGAUCCUUAAAACAAAAAGCGAAAUCGCUUGGUGGCCCAGUAAAAUUAAGACUGAAUAUUUUUUACACGAGAAGUGUAGCUCAUAAAUGGCAAAAGCCAUUUCAUUUCACUUUUACGCGUCAUUGACUUUUGUAACAUGGUGCAUGCAUCGUCAAGUGAGGCAAAAGGGUUUCGAUUACAGUGGGAAAACAUGAACAAGAAUGCAUAAUGAAUAAUUCCUUUGAUAAAGCGAAAAUUAAACACAGAAUAAUCCUAAAAUUUAAACUCUAAUAUCUUAUAAUUUAAUGAUUAAAAAUAAUCCUAAGAGUUCCCAAUUGAAACUUUCAGAGAUAAUAGAAAAUAGCUAUGCUUUAAAAGGCCAAAGAUUAGAGAACAAAGAAGAAUUAGGUAUUGAUAUAAAAAUUAUUAAUUUUUUUGAUUUCAAGCAAAAAUAGUUUCAUAUACCAUUUCGAUUUUGGUAGGGGUGAGGUUUUGAACUUCAAUAGUUUCCUCUAAAAUCAAAAGGUAGUAAUUAAGUUAGAAAGAGCAAAGAAGACUUAUCGGUACCUUAUUGAAGGUAAACAUUAUGGAACUUUCAAUGUCAUUACCCCACUGUUUAAUUUUUAUUGAGAUUUGUGCAAGCAUUUACCUAAAUCUUACCUCUGCCUGUAAAUUCAUAAGUUUUGAAAAUUAUGAGACCUUAUAUCGGGAGAUAUUAUAAUCGAACUAAAACUUAAAAUUUCUUUUCUUUUUUUUUUUUUUUAUCAUAAAAGGGCUCUUAAGAGAGCUAAGGCAACACUAAAUGGGAGUGUGCAACCCCAUGAACAUCAUUAAUCAAUAUGUUUAGCGUAUUUGGAGGAAUAGAUUGAAAGCAAUGUAAACCCAAAGGAAAAGAAAAGCUGUACGAAGUAAGGAAAUCUGCUGCUACAUUGGUUUCUUGGUAGAUAUGAUCCACUUUGAUCAGCCAAUCACGCCGAAGGAGUUCUUCGAUGGCCUGAAUGAGAGUAAAAUGCUCAUUGACGGGAGGGUUUGAGUUAGAGAUUAACUUCAUAACACACAUGCUGUCCACUUCCACGUAAAACUUAAAAUUUCAAUAUUAUUAUUCUUUAAAAAAAAAUUGAGAUAUCAGAGUAAUAUCACAUAGAAAAACUUGCCCACGGACGGUAAGCCAAAAGUCUAGUCAACCACAUGCAUAAAGCUAAGUAGAACAAGAGAACAGAGAAACGCGUGGGUCCCUAAAGAAAAGGCAAGCACAUAAAUGAAAAAGCCAUUACAUAUCUAUUAACACGGUGUGGCAGCAUAUGCACAAUCAAGUGAGGCAAAAGGGAUUCGAUUAUCGUGGCAGAACAUGGACGAGGACGCGUGAUGAAUAAUUCCUUCGUUAAAACCAAAAACAAACGCAGAGAAAACAAUUUCUUAUAUGACAAGAAAUCAAAGUAAUGUGAAGGAACAUGAUGAAGAAAUUGCAGACUGAUCAAUUAUCCCCAUGGACUCCUAUAAAUUCAACCAAAAUAACAAUUCGAAUCUUACCAAAUUCUUGAGUUAAAUUUAUUCAAUGCUUUUAUUUUUUUAGAAAAUUUUUUUCCAAUGCUACUUUUCCUUUUUUGGGGAAAUUAGAACCGCGGCAUGUAUAGAAAACAUUGAGGUGUAAAGCAACAUUAAUUUCAUGGGAUAUGCGUUAUACGCAUAAUAUAUUUUCAGUCCAAAUUCAACUAUACAAAGAGGCUUGAGAACUUAAAAUUAAGCACAAACUAAACAGACGAAGUAAAUACAUGAUUAUGCAACAUAACAUUAAUUCUCUCAAUUGAUAACUGUUUUUGCUACAUGAAUCUUGCACAGUUAAUCCUAAUUGAAGACUAAAAAAGAGCAAUUGGAAGAAGGUUUUGGAAUAGAAUGGUAUACAAUCGAUAUGAUCCUUUUCCAGUAGUCAACGCUAAUUAACUGCAGUUUCUAGACUCCUAAUUAUACUAGCCAUAGCAAACUAUUUAGAAAACUGGUGAUCAAAUUAGAUUUUGAAAGGAAAUAAUGUUCAUUUUCCCUUCGCUGCCUUUUCUUUUCUUUUCUUUUUAUAGCAAAGAAUUAUAUCAUGAAAAGAAUCAAUUUAAUCACCUUUUCCAGCAGCCCAAUUUUUCUUUUAUAAAAUUUGACCACGGAGACAAAGAAGAAUUAUUCAUAACUUCAUCACUAAGGAAAUACUUUUCGGUAUGGCUAGGGUGAGAAAAUGCUUUCCACUAACACUUGUACUUUGUAUUCUUGUAAAUUUUCUUUAAAGUCAAUAAAAACCAUAAGUUCUUUGCAAUAACCAUCUCUUUGAUCAAAAAGUGCCGUAUUCCUUUAGAAUUUAAAACCGGCAAAACCGAAUCAGUGUCUUUGAAGAGACAUAAUGGUCGUAAUUCUUUAAAUGAGUUGGCUAUGGAAAUCCUUAUCCAAGAUUCUUUUAUGCCAUAUUCUUUCGUAAACCAAAAUUCAUUUUGAAAUACUCUAUUGAAAAUGUCAAAUAAAACGGCAUUGAAGGAAGUUUUCAAAGGCAUAAUCCGCACUUGUCAAAGGGAUGAUCUGCACUUGUCAGAGACACGAUCCGCGUCGAACGAAUCGACACAUUUCCUUUCGUAUUCGCAUAUGUAAUCUUUGAAAAAAUGUAGCUUCCGCAUCUAUAAAUAACGCUCAGUGUAUAAUGUUUUAUUCAAGAAAAGAAAACAAAUUUCUUCAUACUCCUUGUCCGAACAUACAGAGACAGUCUCUCAUAACUUCAGCCGAAUACUUAUGAUGAUGAUCAUUUGUGAUUUCAUCAGGCAUAGGGUUGAUGGUGAAAAAUUUUGUAUGUGUGAAGAAUUGAGCUGUGGAUAUAGGGGACUUAAGUGUAAUCGAAAGAGAGUUAUUAGGCCAUAGUGCAGAUUGCAUUCAGUUUAUGGGUCGAUAUGCAAAUAAUUUGUUGACGUGGCGAAAUCUGUUAUGGUCGUUACUAUUGUUUCUGGAAAUUUUCUAGAAACCUCAGCAUAAAAGGGGCUUUUGCAUAGCCUCUGGUGUGCGUGUGAUUUCUCUUUCGUUUCCUCAUCAAAUUCUGUAAUUCUUGCUUUGAUAAAAAGCUUGUAAUCAUUUCUGUAAUGUGUGAUCAGUGCGUAAUCAUUUUGAGCAAUAAAAGCUUGUGGGUUUUUCCUUCAAACAGUGUCGUUUUGGUCAGUUUGUUAGUUUGAUCUGUUGGUGGAAUUUUCUUUGGUUAUUUGUUCUCAAAUUUCAACCGUAUAUAAAGUUUGAACUCUAAUGGCUUAUAAUGUAUUGAUUAAGAAUAAUCCUAAGAGUUCCCGAUUGAAAUUUUUAAUGACUAUUUUUAUUGUUUUGGAUAUACAAAUUGCAUUAAGAAAAAAUAUUGUCAAAUUCAGAGGAUAACGGGAAAUAAUUAUGCUUCAAAAGACCAGAGAUUAGAGAAUAAAGAAGCAUUCAUUACUGACAUACAAAAGAGAAACACUCCAAAAUUGCAAGCAAACUAGUUUCAUAUACUAUUUGGAUUUUGGAAGGGGUGAAGUUUUGAGCUUCAGUUGUUCCUCUAAAUAGCAAAGAAGACUUAUUGGUACCUUACUGAAGCUAACAUUGUGGCACGGUUGUUCAUAUGUAAUGGCUGCUCUGUUAUGGUAGCUUCUCUGUUUUUGCUCACAGUUUUGAACAUGAAUUCUUGCUCAAAUAACCCAUAAUUAAUUAACAUUAAAAUGGCUCGUGAAAUCCCAUAAUAGCUAAUUACGCAACUUUCUCCUCCUCCUCAAUUAUGUCUUCCCCUGCUCGUACAAUAAAUUCAAAAUUCAAUGCCCCGAAAAACAACACAAGAAAUCUUUGAGUUAGUUCGUGACCAGUUUAUAUAUAGUAGCAAUUGAAAAAAGAAAAAGAAGAAAAGAGUUAAUUAUUAUUCAGACCUUCACUUAUUAGGAAGUUUGUUCUGCUAUUGGGUGAGGUCAAGCUCUCAGCAUAUACUUCCACAUGAUACUUUCUAACAUUUUCUUGAAAGCCAUCAAUCAUAAAAUCUUCAUACUUUUUUCCAUCCUUUGGAUCAAUGAGUACAAAUUUCUCAUCUAAAACAGACAAAAUAAAAUCACUGUCCUUCAUGGAACAUAAUGGCUGCAAUGCCUGAACUGAAUUGGCUAAUGAAACAUAGUCUUCUUUUCUUUCUCGACAUGGAACAUAGUCUUCUUUUCUUUCUCGACACAUGUCUCUGUACUUUUCUCUCUCUACUGAUCCACACUUUUUCAUACUUCUAACUAUCAUUUUGUUUUUUUUUUUUGAGUUGUGAUUUAUUCAAUUAUUUUGUAUUUUUAAUGACAAUUAUUUAAUAUUUAGUUAGUGUUGAUAUUGAUUAGUGAUUGAAAGUGUAUUUUAGAAGACUUCCGGUCUCUUGAAAAAAGGAAAAAUGGAGAAGAAGAAGAAGUGUUCUUGAUUUUUUUGUAGGCAUUAAAGUUAAACGGUUUGAAAUGAUAUUUUGUUUUAAUUUCACUCAUUAAUCUCAUUCAGGAUAAAAUUAUAAAUGCAAAUAAAUGGGGUUUCAUAAGUAUUUUUAAUAGUGUUAAAAGGUCUACUAACUAAAUAAACAUGUUUUACCCAAACCAAUCCGAUUAAUAAGUUAUUGGGUUGGGUUGAUCAGGUUAAAAAUCAAAAUUAAAAAUUAAAUAAAUAAAUAAGGCAUAAAAACUAUAUGUUACUUGAAAAUAAAAAGAAUUUCUAAUAGUUAGUUCUAAUGUCCCAUAUCCAAAACAUGCAUAUUAAAUAAAUAUUAUAAGUUAGAAAUAAAAUAUCCAAGAAAUAAUGAAUGAAAUACCAUAUUUUUGUUGAGAAUUAAGAGUGUGAUUUUAAUUUUGAUAUUGGAGUCUAAAGCAAUAGAUAGUACAAUGAAAUCAUGAAUGCUACGUUUAAAUAAUCUCUUUUAUAAAAUAAUAAAAAGAGGUUAAAAAUUAGGUUAGCAUUUAGGGUUUAGCAGUUAAGGAUGAACAUAUUAUUAUUGUUGUUGUUGUUGUUAUUAUUAUUAUUAUUAUUAUUAUUAUUAUUUACAUAUUAAUUAAUCCAACCCAACUCAAUUAUUAACGAAUUUGAAAAAAAAUGACCAAAUUAAUCCACAAUAAUUCAUUCAACUCGUCUAAAUUAGAUUAGAUUGAAUUUGAUUUGCUACACCUACAUUGAGCAACAAACCUCAACGCGAUUCUAUGAGCUCUUUGAUUGUUUAUAAAAUUGAUUUAGAGUACAUAAUGGAGUGUAUCGACAAUGAAAGUGCAAAACAAAUUAUUGUAUACAUUAAAAUCUGCAAAACAAUGAAUUAUAUGUACGAACGAGUGCAAACACAUUUUUCAAUAAGAAGUUAAAAGAUAUUUAUGCAUGAAAAAGCAUACGUUUGUAGUUACUCUAAAUUUUUUAAAAAAAAUUUACAUUUAGAUCCCUAAAAUUUACGUAUAAGUACAAAAGUUUCAAAUAUUGUCUAUUAUUUUUUAACAUAUGCCUAUUCCUUGUGGAUAAUUCUGUCUCAUCACUAAUGUUGUUUCUUGCUUACAAAAAACAAAUGUCAUCUCCUUUUACAAUUUUUAUAGCGUCUCAAAAUAGACAAUGGGGGGAUUUUGAAUUUUUUAAGUCUCAAGAUAGUCUCUAAUCUUGUGAGAAAGAUUUUCUUUCAAUAAUUUGGAGGUAAAGAUAACAUAAUUUUUUGGAUAGUGUGCAUGUGUAUUUAAUUAAUAAUUUUUUAAAAAAAUACAUCAAAUAUUAAUAUCCAUGACAUAAUUUAGUUCUUAAUUUUUUUUAAAUACAUCAAAAACAUAAUUUUUUUUAACAACUUAUAGGCAUGACAAAUUUCAAGAUAUAAAUAUCAGUCAAAAUAAGUGAAAGAAAUAAUGGUGCCAAUUCUAAUUUCUUAACUAAAUUAAUUAGUGCAUGAGCCCCGAAUACGACACGAGAGUUUGAUGGGCUAACUUGGCACAAGAACGUGAAUAAAUAAUUGAUUUAAGAAAUAAUUCAACGAAAAAUAUAAUUGAUAAGAAUUCAGUAUUGAAAUGAGUUUUUUUGUGAAACACUGAAUUAAUGAUUAUUAAGCAAGAACAAUAAAAAAAUAAAUAUUAAUCAUUGAUAAGUUUCAACAAAAACUUAACACAAUCCUCAAUCCUCAUUCAAAUGAUAAAUGUCAUUCAUAUAUUCAUUAUAAAUCAACAACAAAGGUUAUAAAUGUUUAGAAAUUCUAGAGGGAAGGAAGCUAUCGCCGGACAAUCAACAACUAAAUUUGAUGUAAUUGUGGCACGAGAUGGAAUAUGGAAACUACACCAUAAUUUCAAAUGCCGCCAUAGACAUUGACUUAUCAUAAUAACAAUGAUCUAAUUAAAAUAAAAACAAAGUUUAUGGGCAUUUAUUAUUUUGCCAUUCCUCAUUUGCAAAUAGGGAUAUAAUUAUAAUUUUACCUAGUCAAAGCAAUCGGUAGUUUUCUUCAUUAUAGGAGUGAAGUAAAAACAUUUAGAUUUCAAUGUAUGUACGGAAAAAUUUGUCUUUAAAAAUACUUUCUUAAUGUGUGUAUGCAUAUUGAAAUACUCAAACCAAUUUUGGUUAUAUAUAAUUAAACAAAUUUUAAAAUAUGAAAAAUAUAAUGUAGUUAUAGUGGAUAAACAAUAAGUGAGCACAAUAUAAUUAAUCAAAUAUUAUGCCAUCAAAAGUUAAUUUUAGAAAUUCCAAAUCCAAUAGCCAACACAAUUCUUUUUUUUUUAAAAAAGUUGACACAAUUAAUAAAAUUAGCGACAUGAAUUUCACGCCAUUGAUAAUCAGCAAUUAGUAUUACUUUCUAAACUUGCUUCAACUGGUCGUUGAUGUCCGGGUCACCAAAAGUAUAAGCGAUAAUAAGGGGCAUUGGGCAAGAGUGAUGAAUGUUUAGUCGGUGCAUUUGAUUGAUAGAUAUAUAAAGGGCCGAAACUUGAGAUUAUAUUACUUUUACAAAUUUUAAUCCAAUCACAUAUUUACUGAAAACAAAAUGAGUUAGGAUACUUUAUUUAGAACCCACAUUUUAAUAAGGCUUCAUUUGAUGUAGUUUUUCAAACAGUGAUUAUUUGAGUAAAGUUUCCUCAAUAGAGUUUUUAUCAAAUAAAUUUUAUUUAUUUGGUUGUCGAUAAGAACUUUUAUUAAAAAUUAUAAAAUUAUUUAAAUAAACAUAUUUUUUAAAAUUACAUUAUAAAAAGAAUUAAAUAAAGUUAUAAAAGUAAAAUAUAUUUUAGAUAUUUUAAUAUUUAAGAAAAAAAUUUUGAAUCUCUACUUUCAGAAGCUCAAAUUUUUAGUUUUUAGUUGUAGAGACAAAAUAUCUUAUUUAAUCUUUAAAAGUUCUGCUAAAAACAAUCAAAUAACUAUAAAAUUUUUAAUAAGAGUAUAUAAAAUUAAAUAAGCAUUUAUUAAUAAUCACUUUAGUGUACUUAUCUAAUGACCAUAAGUGUUUAUUUAAUCUCAUAAGUUCUUAUUUAAUCUCAUGAGCUCUUUUCAAUUUUUUUUGUUGUUUGCUUUUUUUAGUAGAGUUUUUGAAAAUUAAAUAAACUAUUUUGUCUCUAUUAGGAAAAACUCAAAUUUUAGGUUUUUGUGAGUAAAUGUUUAAAUUUUUUUUAAAAUAUUAAAAUAUUAAAGUAAAAGUUGUAGAGACAAAAUAUCUUAUUUAAUGUUUAAAAGUUCUGCUAAAAAUAAUCAAAUAACUACAAAAAUUUUAAUAAGAGCAUAUAAAAUUAAAUAAGCAUUUAUUAAUAGUCACUUUAGUAUACUUAUCUAAUGACCAUAAGUGUUUAUUUAAUCUAAUGAGCUCUUUUUAAUUUUGUUUGUUUGUUUUUUUAGUAGAGUUUUUGAAAAUUAAAUAAACUAUUUUGUCUCUAUUAGGAAAAACUUAAAAUUUAGGUUUUUGUGAGUAAAUGUUUAAAUUUUUUUUAAAAUAUUAAAAUAUCUUUUCUUUAUUUCAUAAUCUUAUUUCAUUCUUCACAACAUAACUUUAAAUAACUCACCUAUUAAAAUAAUUUCACAAUUUAUAAUAAAAAUUUUAAUUGACAAUCAAAUAACAAAUUUUUUUUUAUAAAAACUCUAAUAAUAAAAAUUCUACUUAAAUAAAUUAUAUUUGAAAAGGUAUACCAAACGAACCUAACAUAAAAACAAAAAUUUUUACAUCCACACAAUUAAGCUUAAAACAAUUUCAAAUGAAUUUUAGACUACUCAAAGUACAAUACGUACCAAGUUUGGUAACUUAUUGGGGUCCGCUUGUAAUACAGCGUCUGUAUCUCAUACAGCCAAAUUUAAUAAUUUAUUAAGAAAAAGGGCAACCAUUAGAUAGAAGUAGAUACAUCCAACGGUUAAAAUGUUUGAUUACUCAUUUUGGCGACCGGAUAUGCCAGUUAUUAUUUCAUCAAUUAACUUACCUAAAAAAUCACAGCCGUUGGAUUGAGAUGCCUCUCUUUCCCUCAAAAUAACAGCCUUCGUAUUCUCUCUGCUAUUGUUUUCUCCUACAUCCAGAAUUUUGGAUGAAUGAACUUGGUAUUCAACAAUAUUCACCACCCAUCACAGCAAAGAGCAAAGAUGUAGUCAAAGGAGUGCCAUUUAUUCAGGCUAACUCGAUCUGUCACUCUCGCUUCAAUUCGUCACUCAUUUUCUCGCGCUCAGCUUCAAUCUAUCACUCUCAGCUUCAGUUCGUCACUCACAGCUUCAAUUUUUCACUGUCGUGAAUCAUCUCUCUUGCUGUAUCUCUCUCUUAUGUCUUCCAAUAAUUUCGGUGAGCUCUCUCUCUAAUUUAAUAUAUGAUUAAAAAUCUUAUCAUCUUAUCAUGUCAUUUAAAUAUGCUUGAAGUUUCAAUUUAGUUUAUGAAUAUUACUUGAAAUUUCAGUUUCAAUAAUUUGAUUUUGCAAUUGAGAAAUUAUUACUUGAAAUAUUGAGAUGAUUUCUAGGGAUUGAUAAUUGAAUGAUAAUUGCUAAGGCUUGUCAUUUUUUGUUUUUGAACAGAUAGAGUUACAAUUAAGUCAUACUGCAAUAUUUUAUCUUGAGAUUCUAUUAUUCACAAAAAGAAAAAAAUCAUAAAUUGAAAAAAAAAAAAAAGAGGUUACGAGCAUCAAGCAACUGCAAGUAAUGGGGUUUGUUUUGAUGAGCUGCGAAUUGGGGCCUGUCAUUUUCUUGAAGUAUCUUCAAUAUAAGUGGAAGGAGAUUUCUUCUCUCCAAAAAAUUAUUGUAUAUUUCCUUUUAAAUUCUAGAUUCGCAUGUAGCUGAUUUUUUAUGUUUGAAGGAUUUUAUUAAAGAAUGUGCUGCUGCUAGUGGCAUGAAUUAAUGUAGUCUCGCUAGUAUUCGUGAUUUGGGGUAAGGAUCGAAUUGAACAAUUAUAUUUCUAUUAUUCUUAUAUUCGAAUCCAGUGAUAUUGUGGUGGUUUUAUGAUAAUAUUCAAUUGUUUUGUGCCUCAAAUCAGCCAAUGAGUUGGGUAUGUGCUGGGUAUAUGCCGUAUGGGCUUGUUGUUGAAUUUGCUUGACCUUGGAUGUGAUUCUUGCCGUGUUUAUAAGAAAUAGACACAGGUCUUUGUGUGGUAAUAGAAUUGUCUAAGGUGCCUUACAAUAAAUUUAAGAGUCUUAAGUAACUAUGCUUUGUAACCUUAAACCUUUAUUUGUACGACUUGGUGUUCUUGGUUGUGAAAGAAUGUUAAAUGUUGACCUAUUUUCAUCGGUGAAGAUAAAUGAAGUUAGGGAAGGUUUGUAAUCACUAUAACCCUGACAAUUUUUUUGGUGGGCCGUGAUAAUUUUAUUCAUGGCAUGUACUUUGUUUUUAUCAGAAGGCCCUGUUUGCUUGUAGUCUCAAAUCUAGGGUAAUAUUUUAAAUAAGUUCUGCAAUAUAUGUUUUGCUAUUUUUCUUUUUUGUUUUUAUUUUAAUUAGUUUUAGUAUUACUUGGAGGGGAAUUCUGAUCUGCUGAAGUUUAUCAAGCUGGUGCAGUGGUGCAGCAAGCAGACCUUUAUCUUAAUCUUAUGAUUGUGCUAAGUGGAAUUUUGUGUAAGUUACAACAAUAUAAUUUUUUAAAGAGCUGACAAGACGCUCUCUCUUUUUUUUGGAAUGUUGAGCAAAACUUUUCUUUCUUAUUAGGUGUUUAUAAUAAUUCAUAGCAUGGGUUUUGUCAUAUUGGUUUCAAUGCAUUGAUUUGAUCUUGGUUACAACCCAUCAGCCCUUACUCCUCAUUCCCAGCAGCUUUUAAUGCCUUUUUUUUAAGCAUUGUACUUUGUUUCAUGAUGAAAUUUGUUUAUAUGACGCAAAGUUGAGGACACGGUAAUAGUCAUUAUUUUAAUUUAUGCAACAAAGAUCAUUAUCCAUUAAAUUUUAUGUUGUUGAAAUAUUUAGAUUUUGUAAAUUUUGUUGUAAGAAAUGAGGGCUCUUGAUCCCAUCCCUUUAUUAUAUACAAUUUUUUUUCACUCUGUCAUUCAUUUAUUGUGUGUUAGAGGUAUUAGUCAUGUGCAAAAGUAAAGAUCUUUAUUUUGUUAUUUUUGUCAUCUUGUGCUUCAUUGGUAUAAAUGAGGAAAAAAAAGAAUAAAAUAAAAUAAAAUUAUAGUUUGUGCAUGAAUUCCACCAUAUAUGAAAUGUUUAAUAGAUUAAAAAGUAAGGAGUACACAGUGACUUUGAAUAGCAGGUGGGGGAACUCAUUUUGUUUUAAAAAAAAUUAAUACAUAUUGAUAGAAUAAUUAUCCUUCACUUAAUUAUUUAAAAAUUUUAUUUUGGAAGAAUACAAAUGGACAGUCACCAAUGAAAGCGUAAACGACUACCAGGGGGCUUACAGAAAAAAUUGCUCCUAUUCUAAAAGUAGAUGGUCAGGACAAAGUUCCAACAACUUCAACUUAUGGAUUUGUCUCUUACUUGUAAGGUAAUCUCUUCUUGUAGGGUGUUUAAUUGAAUUAAAAACAGAAUAUUAUUUGCAUUAUAGAGUACAGGCAUAAAUUCAUUAUCUAUGUCAGUUCAUUCAUGAUUUUACUCCAAAUGGAGUAAUAGAUCACCAUUAAUUUAUUGAUACAUCGUCCAUGUUUGUUUUCGUCUUCAAUUUUUAUAUUACAAUAUCUAAUCUAUUUAGUAUUCGUAAAAAAACAUACGAGAAAAAGUUGGAAAAACACUUUAGGGGUGAUUGUGUACACUUUCGUAUGGCACAAAUAGCGUUAGGCUUUGUUUUUUAAGUGGACGACGUGUCCAUUUUUUGUGUUACAUCUUACUCAUUAAUAUAUUUUUGAGUUUCUUAUGGAAAAAAAAUUGAAAAAACACUUUAAGUGAAAAAAAUUUGUAUUUCAAUUUAUAUGUAACAGUGAAUUGGAAAAUAAAUUCUACCAAUAAUUAAAAGAAUACUUUUCUUUUAAUUAUUAAAAAGAUAAGGUAGUUACUCAUUACCCAUAUAAAUGGACAGUUUUAAUUUGUUCCAUAUCUAUACAACAGAAGAGCUUCAGACACGGUUUGCAGCGUUCCACGAUCACUUCCAUUCUAAGCAGCAGCGUCUUCCGUCUUUUUGCACACCAACAGCAGAUUCUAGAUGGCCAGAAGCUCAUCUGCCGCACUCUCGGGAUUUCGCUGCCAUCCUCAUCUUCAUCUCCACUACCUCCUCAGUGAUUAUCCCCUGGUUUUAUGCUCAGAAAUUAUGAUUAUUAUGUAUCUUGUUUUCAGAUUUGUCAAUACUUGUUAUAUUUUGAUUAUGCAUUAUGGACAUUUUUCAUAAGAUAGCUUAAUUUUGUGGUUUGUGUUGACGAUUUCCAUGUAUGGAUGUUUGGAUAGGUAAUUUCGCCUUCCAUGCAUUCUUCAUUCCUGCAUCCUGUGGGAGAAAAUUGGAAAAAGUGGUUUUUGAUGAGAAACGGGGAGAAGGAUGAGAUAUAUAUUUUUGAAGUGUCACAUUAUUUCAAAAACAAACCCCAAAUUUAAUUUCUCUUACCGAUCAUGAGUUAAAAUAUAAAAAUUAACGUUUACUCAUCACACUGUUAUAAGUAUCAAAGCAUUACUUAUAGAAAAAUUAUCGUCACCUAUCCUACAUUUGUGAUUGAAUAGUGGCACAAUUUUAAUUGGGAUAUUUAACAUUACUCUUUGUAAUUGUUUGGUCUUAUUUGAAGUUUGUAAAUUUUUCAUAACUAUGACUUCAACAGCAUAUUUCAGGUUGCAUUUAAUCGUUGCUAUAAUUAGGUACUUUGAAAUAAUUUAUUGGCCACGAUUACAGUCAUUGUUAUUAGUCACCCCUCUUUUUUCUCUUUUGGCCAACCAGCUCUUGGAUAUUUGGGAACCGAUGACAAUAGUUGGGAAAUUAUGUAAUAUUGGUGUGUUUGCGAAAUAAAUCAAGAGAUUUGCCUUGCCGAAGUUAAAAGAGAUAUUGUGGCCUGAAUUUUUUUUUUUUUUCUCUAGGGGCCAUGGCUCUCAAGGACAAGGCAUGAAUCAUGCAUUAUAAUUGCUCGAAAGGGUUAGUAAAAUAGCAAUCUAAAAUACCCAAGUUGGAUCUGCUGUUGAAUCACAAAAAGAACAUAAUUGGGAUAUGAAGUCAUGGUUGCAAGUGUUGGACCCUUAGGUUACGUUUGGCACGUAGGAUUGGAUUGAACUAAUUACUAAAAUUGGAUUGAAUUAUAUUCGAUUGGAUUAAACUGGAUUAUAUUAUAUAGUUCUAUGGUUAGUACAAUAUCGGAUUAAACUAUGUUAAAUUAUAUUUAAAUAAUAUUAAAUAGCAUUUAAGUUGGUAUUUUAAUAUUAAUAUCAAUUAUUCAUGAAAUUUCAUAAUCAUAAUUAAAAUAAAUUUAAAAAACAAUUACCAGGAAAAUUAAAUAUAUUGUAAAUAAGUUACUGGGUAGUCAUAAUACAGUAAACAAAUGAACAUAGAUAAAAAAAUUAAAUUUUAAAUAAUUUUUAUCAAAUUUUAAAAAAAAAUUAUAUAAAAUCAAUUAUUUAAUGGUAUUAUUAAUUUUCAUGAUUAUUUUUAAUAGUAUAUAACAAUGAUUAUUAAAUUUAAUACAAUCAAAUAAUGCAAUAAAUAAUUAAACAUUUAAUUUUAUCAAUAAAUUACUAAAUAUACAAGUGGUGAAAAUUUAAUCUCCAGAGUUAGUACAAGUAAAGGUAUUAAUUUAAUUAGAUCAUAGAUAAUAAAUAAAAAUAAGUUUUAAGUAAAUCAUAUUAAAAAUUAAUUAAUUAAUUAAUACUAGGUGUAAAUAAAAAAAAUGAUAUAAAUAAAAAUCUCAUAAAUGGACAACUUUUUUCUUUAAUCUUAUCCCAACUAAACCCAUGCGUAAAUUAGGAUUAUCAAUUCCAUGAUUUUAGGAUUAAAUUUAAAUUACUACCCCCUUAAUCCAAUCCAACUAAGCUUGCCAAACAUUGGAUAAAUAUUUAAUUCCAAAAUUAGUCUAAUCCCAUACUUAAUCCUAGAAUCCAAACAUGGCAUUAGCACCUUAUAUAACAAAGUGUCACUGAAAUACAGCAAAACGUUAUAAACAAGAACUUAUUUCUGUACAAAAUGUUAUUUACUUUUUGUGAACUUCCAAAUACCUACUAUAUGAUUUGCAAACCCUACAAAAGUCUACCUUGCAUGCUCUUUCUAACGUGAAAUUUGAUUUUUAUUAAAUUUUUGAUGUGUUCACUAAUAAAUAAUUGGAAUCUAAAAAAAUUAGAAAAAAAUAGAAUUAGAAUGAGCUACAAUAAAAAUGAGGAAUAACAAAAAAAAUGAUAUUUGUUGAGAUGAAUGAAACACAAUUGAAAUACUCUAUAUCGCUCUUAAUAUGUUCACUUUGUGAACAUAAAUUAGAAUUAGUUGUUAUAACUUAGUAAUUUAUCCUCAAUCAAUUAUUAUCAUUAUUACUAUUUGUUAUAAUAAUUGUAAUUAUUAUUUUUGAUAAUUUUAAUACUAAGAAAAUUAUUGUUAGGGGUGGAAACACCAUAUAGAGAAGGAACAAUUAAAUUUAUAAAAUUUAGUGGGGAUAAAAUAGUCACUUAAGACAGCAAGCGUCUCCCAUUCUCACCUCCACGAGCAUGAAAACACUAGUAAUCAUUCUUAAAUUUUGAUGGAAUCUGUUGCUUUUAUUCUAAUAACGAACGCAAAACCUAUGGAAUUAGUUGGAAUAACGAAUGCAAAACCUCUGGAAUUACAAUUGAAAUACGUCAACCCAAAAUGGAGAAAGCACAACUAAAAUUAGAGACCUACAAAACCAAAAAUAAACUUAUAGAAAACAAACCCGGUACCUAAUCUCAAUAAUUGGAAUCUCAACCAGUUAAUGGAAAUAUUCAACUCAAAAUUAGGGAAAAAUUAGAUGAAACACGUGAACCAUUGAGAGAGAAAGUAUGACGAAAAUUAGAAACUCAUUUAACGAAAAAUAAUAUUUACUUGGAAUCUAACCCAUGAUACUGGUACCUAAGGAACUUUAUAGGAAUAUGAAACGCAAAACCAGUGGACCAAUAAGUUGAAACAUGUGAACCAAAAAAUGAAAAACUAUAACCAAAUCUUGAGACUAAUCAAACCAAGCAAAAGUAAUAUUGAUAUUUAACCCAUAUAAUUGGAAUUUUACCAAAUUAGUUGGAAUAACGAAUGUAGAACUUGUGGAAUUACAAUUGAAAUACAUCAACAAAAAAUGGAGAAAGCACAACCAAAAUUAGAGACCUACAAAACCAAAAAUAAAUUUAUAGAAAAUAAAUUUGGUACCUAACCACAAUAAUUGGAAUCUCAACCAGUUAAUGAGAAUUCUCAACGCAAAACUAUAGGAAAAAUUAGCUGAAACACAUGAACCAUUAAGAGAGAAAUUAGAACGAAAACUUGGAACUUAUCCAACGAAGAAUGCUCGUGACUUGGAAUCUAACAACAAAUAUUGGUACUUGACUAAUUUAGUAGGAAUAUCAAAUGCAAAACUCAUUGACCAAUAAGUUGAAACAUGUAAACCAAAAGAUGAAAAAGUAUAACCAAAACCUGAGAAUAAUCAAACCAAGAAAAAGUAAUAUUGAUUUUUAACCCAUAUAAUUGGAAUUUUACCAACUUAAUUGGAAUAACGAAUGCAAAACCUGUGGAUUUACAAUUGAUAUACGUCAACCCAAAAUGGAGAAAGCACAACCAAAAUUAGGGACCUACAAAACCAAAAAUAAAGUUAUAGAAAACAAACCUGGUACCUAACCUCAGUAAUUGGAAUCACAACCAGUUAAUAGGAAUAUUCAAUGCAAAAUUGGGGAAAAAAUUAGAUGAAACACGUGAACCAUUAAGAGAGAAAGAACAACGAAAACUAGGAACUUAUCCAACAAAGAAUGAUAGUUACUUGGAAUCUAACAGUAAAUAUUGGUACUCGACGAAUUUAAUAGGAAUAUCAAACGCAAAAAUAGUGGACCAAUAAGUUGAAACAUGUGAACCUAUAGAUGGAAAAGAAUUACCAAAAUUUGUAACUAAUCAAACCAAAAAAAGUAAUAUAGAUAUCUAACCCAUAUAAUUGGAAUCUCGACAAAUUAGUUGAAAUAUUAAACAAAAAACUAGUGGAAUAAUAGUUGAAACACAUGAACCAAAUGUGGAGAAAGUUUAACCAAAUUUUGAAACUUAUCCAAUGAAGAAUGCUAGUUACGUGGAAUCUAACAACAAAUAUUGGUACUCGACGAAUUUAAUAGGAAUAUCAAACGCAAAAAUAGUGGACCAAUAAGUUGAAACAUGUGAACCUAUAGAUGGAAAAAUAUUACCAAAAUUUGGAACUAAUCAAACCAAAAAAAGUAAUAUCGAUAUCUAACCCAUAUAAUUGGAAUCUUGACAAAUUAGUUGAAAUAUUAAACGAAAAACUAGUAGAAUAAUAGUUGAAACACAUGAACCAAAUGUGGAGAAAGUUUAACCGAAUUUUGAAACUUAUCCAACGAAGAAUGCUAGUUAUUUGGAAUCUAACAACAAAUAUUGGUACUCGAUGAAUUUAGUAGGAAUAUCAAACGCAAAAAUAGUGGACCAAUAAGUUGAAACAUGUGAAUCUAUAGAUGGAAAAGCAUUACCAAAAUUUGGAACUAAUCAAACCAAAAAAAGUAAUAUCGAUAUCUAACCCAUAUAAUUGGAAUCUCGACAAAUUAGUUGAAAUAUUAAACUAAAAAUUAGUGGAAUAAUAGUUGAAACACAUGAACCAAAUAUGGAGAAAGUUUAACCAAAUUUUGAAACUUAUCCAACGGAGAAUGCUAGUUACUUGGAAUCUAACAAAAAAUAUUGGUACUCGACGAAUUUAGUAGGAAUAUCAAACGCAAAAAUAGUGGACCAAUAAGUUGAAACAUGUGAACCUAUUGAUGGAAAAGCAUUGCCAAAAUUUGGAACUAAUAAAACCAAAAAAAGUAAUAUCGAUAUCUAACCCAUAUAAUUGGAAUCUUGACAAAUUAGUUGAAAUAUUAAAUGAAAAACUAGUAGAAUAAUAGUUGAAACACAUGAACCAAAUGUGGAGAAAGUUUAACCGAAUUUUGAAACUUAUCUAACGAAAAAUAAAUUUAAUUGGAAUUUAACCCAAAAUAUUAGUGUUUAACGAGUUUAGUGGGAAUAUUAAACAUAAAACUAGUGGAUCGGAAAAUGGAGAUAAGCAAACCAAUUAGUGAGAAAGUUGAAUCAAAAUUAGGUAUAUGUGAAAUUAACUUGGAAUGUCACCUAAUAUAUUGAUAUUUAACCAAAAGAAUCGAGACAUGCUCAUUUUAAUUUUUUUAAACUUUUGUUGCAAUUAAAAAUAAUUUUUUCACUUAAAUAUUGUUUGUGUUAAAUAUUUACAAAAUUUCCUUAAUUUUUCCUGUUUCAUUUUAUUUUUUCUACAUUAAAAAUAAUUUUUUAAAAAUUAUUAAAUGAACAACCGGUAAAAUACCGGUUGUUCAAGUUUCCUUUUUACUGUUGAAGGGGCUGUAUUUUAUACAGCACUGUACUAUAGGAAGACUCAACUUAUUGACAUCUUCUCAUAUAACCUUCGAUCAAGUCGAUUCUGACCUGACGACUAAUUGGUACAUCACCGUUGUUCUCUAUACUCGCAUGCAUCGGAUCACAAAUCUCACUCCAAUUGUCGUCUUUCUUCGCCGUUUUAGCGCAUACUUCUUGAAUUUCCCGCAUUUCGUUCCCUCCUGUUACAAGUCUCCGGUCAGGUCAGUGAUUGAAUUUCCCGCAUCUCUAUCCCUCCCGUUUUCUCGCGUCGUUUCACUUCAAUUUCUCGUGUCUCCUUUCAGUUUAAGUGAUUGAAUCAAUUUUAUCGCAGUCAUAAGAGAAAUUAAGUAAUGCUCUUGGAUUUAAAAUUUUUUUGCUUUCGACUUUAGAUCUCGAAAGUCAAACUCUGCUACGAAUCCAUAGAUUCUCAAUGCUCAUAAUCUUAUUUGUGUUUGACCAGGUAACUGGAUCGUGAAAUUCGUCGUUUUGUAUCAAUUCAAGCUUUCGCGAGCUCAUGGAAUCACCUGGUGAGUUGUGGUGAAACGUUAUCGUUUCAAUUUUCGCUUAAUUCUUUAUUGCAUAUUUUUUUCUCUAAUGUUUCAGUUUAAUUUAGAAAAGAAAGAGGCCCCAAAAAGAGAGAGAGAGAGAGACUCUACCAUACUCAAUUCCUUGCUCAUUCUGAUUUGGCCUGAAUGUUGGCAUUGACUAUUAUUUGUUUUCAUUUCGAUUUAAUUCUCAUUUAGACAGUCUUUACUAACGGUCAAUAAUAGUUUAAGGAAAAUGAUCAUAGGGAUUCUGCAAUAAUCUUUCUGCAUUGUUCAAGUUAGUAGACAAUGAAUAGGAUGUUUAUGUUUACCUCAUUUUGAACCCUGAGGGCUUCGUUGAGUAGUUGAUUCAACAUAUCCAGCAACGGUUGAUGUGAGAACAGAAUGCCACUUAGAUAGGCUUAAACUGAUUUUGGAGGUUUGUAUUGGUUCUAUUGUACGUCUUGCUUACAAAUUUUUAAUUUUUAAUUUUGUAUAAUAUGCUCUUUGUUGGUAAAUCUCAUUUGACUUAGAAGAGAUAGUUUUAUCCCAACAGUGGGAUAAAUCAUUGAGAUGCAUGGCAGUGUGAAUAUAGUAGACAAAAUCAUUGAGACACAUGGUGGUGUGAACAUAGUAAACUUUGUCAAACACAGCUAAGAUAAACAAAUUGUUUCAUUAGCCUUUACCUUAUCUGCUGUGAUGAUUCAAAUUAAUGCUGUUUGGUAGGUUGCAAAAAACGAAAUGAGCUGUCUGUUCGUAUUAUUUAGUCAGAUCUAUUGCAAUAAGUUGAAGUUCAUUGUCACAUGGGUUGGGAGUAGCGUGGGCUGUGAGUAGUAGAAUGGAUUUAUGGAGUUGAUACAAGUGCCCAUAAUCUAUCAUGUCAUUCUAGGAUUAAAUGGAUUGCACAUUACUGUAAAGAUGGAGGUUAAAUUUAUAUAAUUCGGAUUGAUUGUAAAAUGGGAGGCAGAGAUGAGUUAGAAAAAGAAUGACCUGUGUCCUUUUUGAGCUGUUUCUAAAUCUCCCUGGUGUGCUUCAUGCUUAACACGUGUCUUUCCAAAUAAUUUUGCUUAACCUGUGCUUGUCUACUUCUUGUGCUAUUCUGUGCCUGGUCCUGAGCUGUGUUGGUAGAUUGACAUAAUUUUGCUCUGCUAAAUGUAUAACUUAUUAAUCAGAGUCCUGUUAUUAUGGUUUGACACUACUGACAUAUUGUGUUGGUAUUUAUUUGUACUUCCCUUGGUUGAAUUAUUUGCUGUCUCCAUGCAAUUCGAUAUGGUGCUACUUGGUUUUUGAUCAUCCAUGACGCUAUAUAUAUGUAAAGGAUGAAUUGAUUGUUUUGGCUUGUAUUCUCACAUUUUAUGAUUGAUCGAUGGAAAGGUUUUCAUGCAUUAAAUUCAACCUCACAAGCGUAAGAUUGACAGAUUGUGGGCAAAUUUUCAGGAAAAGAAACUAGACUUCAUGGAAGCAAUGAAGCUUGAAAUUGAACGUCUGCAGCUGAAUCUUUCUGCAGCUGAAAGGGAUAGAACUUUAUUGUCAAUUGGAACUGAUCCUGCCUCUAUAAAUCCAAAUGUAUUGCUUGAUGAAUCUUACAUGGGAAGACUGUGUCGAGUAGCAAACACUCUUGCAUUACUUGGCCAAGCUUCCCUAGAAGAGAAAAUUGUUGGUGCAAUUGGCCUUGAGAAUAGUGGUGAUAGUGUUUUAGACUUCUGGAAUAUUACUAGAAUCGGAGAGAGUUGUUCUGGUGGUGGGUGCGAGGUUUGUGCAGAAACUAAGGUGCCUGCUCUUGCUUCCUCAACUGCAACAUCUGUUGGAUCUUCACAAUCCCCUUUGUUGUGUUCUCAAUGUGAAAGAAAAGUUUGCAAAGUUUGUUGUGCAGGAAGAGGAGCUCUACUGUUUUCAAAUUAUAAAUCAAGGGAUGUGACCAACUACAAUGGCUUCUCAAGUCAGAGUGGAUCAAGCCAUGGAAGCCAAGUUGAUGUAGCUACCAGUCGUUCACUAACACUGGAUGGCGUUAUCUGUAAACACUGUUGCCAUGAGAUGGUGCUUGAUGCAUUGAUGUUGGACUAUGUUAGGGUCUUGAUUAGGUUGCGAAGAAGUUCCUGUGCAGACAACGCAGCAUACAAUGCUUUGAAUGAGGUUGUUGGAUCCUGCUUAAAGGAUAGUCUUUCUGAGAGGAUUCAGUCUUCCGAUAAUGCGCAAGCAGCUAAAGUCCUGCACCAAUUAUGUGGUGGACAGGAAGCACUUGCUGAAUUUCCAUUUGCUAGCUUUUUGCACUCGGUAUGUUCUUGGUUUGUAUUCAGUUCUCAUCAUAUUAUGUUUUCCUUUUAAAUUUCAUUUCUUGAUUAAAAUUUUUAGAAAUGUGUUUUAGCAUUUAUUCUUAUGAUAUAUGCCCGGAACAUUCAUCCCACUUAUCCAUGAGAAUCCUUGUCUGGUUUGAUUUUCAAUUGAGACAUUUUUGGGAACCCUGCGCAGGUUCCAUAUGCUAAUAAUCUUUGAGGUAAGGUGUUGUAGGAUGCCUUGAGAAGCUAAAAACCCAUUACAAGGAAAAGGUCUUGCAUUGUUUUGUGCAAUCUGUGUGCGAGCUAGUCAUGUCUCUAAUAAUUUCAUAGUUUGCUUGAUUGGAAUUUUUUAUCUUGAUAUGGAUUGUUUAUUCUAGAUUCCUUGGUGCCACUGUAGGUUGAAACAGCAAAAGAUUCAGCACCGAUUUUGUCACUGCUUGCUCCAUUAAAUUCUGGAUCAAGGCACUCAUAUUGGAGAGCUCCACCUAGUACUACUUCUGUUGAAUUUGUUAUUGUUCUCGGUUCUGUUUCUGAUGUCAGUGGGGUUAUCUUGCUUGUUAGUCCUUGCGGCUAUUCUGUGGCUGACACUCCGAUGGUAAGUGCCAUAUUUAUUCCCUUAUUUCCUUGUUGUUCAAUAAAUUUGGUGAUAAGCCAAGUGGCCUUAAUAAUGAAGCCCAGUACCAGGGUUGGUGGGUAAUAGAUAUUCAACUUGUGAAUAUUCCUAAGCAAACACUGAAUCAACAUAUACCUCGGCUAAAGUUCUCUAUGCUAUUAUAACAAAAGUCAUAUUUUGAAAUGAUUAAAAGAGUCCCUGUGUAGUGCCAUUUCCAAAGAAAUUGCAGCUGGGGGUUUAGUUUCAUGUAGGUUAGUUUCCGAUAAUAAACUUUCUAUUUCAUUAAUUGCUGAUGAAAAAACCAAGUAAGAACAGUUUUGUUGCUCGUCAUUUUUGUAUAUUUUGGUAAACUGUAAUUUUAAAUUCUCAACGAUCUUCCCUUUGUAGGUAAGAAGAUGGUCCACUCACUUGAUAUUUAUGAUUGUAGAUCAGGUUUCUAUUGGUUUGCCUUUAUCAUUUAGAACCCAUGUUUGAUAUUAACAGAGAUCACGUCAAUAAUAUCCUAUUUGGGUAGAUGUGGGUGAGGAUUUAAAAUCAAAUUUGAAAUUGAGGGGAAAGAAGAGAAAAGGAACCACAAUAAUUAAACAAAAUAAUAGGAACUAUUCUGAUGAGUUUUAAUCUCGAGAGGAACAAUUUUCAAAUGCACUGCUAGAGAAAUUGUAGCUUUUUGUCAUUAGUUAAAAGGAAAAAGAAUAAGAACUAUCCGGCCCUUUCCUUCAUGAAUGUGUGUUGAGGUUGCUGUAUUAUUUAGUCAGUAUUUGUAAUUUUCUUCCCUGCAGUGCUCUCUGCCUCCUGAAUUUGCUUCCUAUUGCUGUUACAGGUGCAAAUCUGGGCAAGCAAUAAGAUACACCAGGAGGAAAGGUCAUCAAUGGGAAAAUGGGAUGUCCAAUCCCUCAUCACAUCUUCUUCAGAUUUGUAUGGUCCAGAAAAGUCUGCUAGUGUUGAAAAAUUACCUAGGCAUGUAAAAUUUACUUUUAAGAAUCCUGUUAGGUGCCGCAUUAUUUGGAUCACAUUACGUCUUCAGAGACCUGGUUCGGCUUCAGUUAAUUUCGGGAAGGACCUCAGUCUUUUGUCUCUUGAUGAAGAUGAAAACCCCUUUGCACAAGUAGACAGACGUGCUUCAUUUGGAGGAGCAGUUGAAAAUGAACCAUGUAUUCAUGCCAAAAGAAUUCUUGUAGUCGGAAGCCCAGUAAAAAGGGAGGGGCUUACCACAUCACAGAGCUCUGAGCAGCUAAGUAUUAGAAACUGGUUGGAUAGAGCUCCACAAAUGAGUAGAUUCAAGGUAUUAGUUGCUUUCACUCUUUGUUCAUUCAUAAUUCCAGCUUUCUGCUUCACUGAUAAACCUCUUUUUUCUCUUCAGGUCCCAAUUGAGGCCGAGAGAUUGAUGGACUACGAUCUCGUCUUGGAACAGUAUCUACCUCCAGCGUCACCUUCGCUUGCCGGAUUCUGUCUAGACGCUUUCAGUGCAAUAAAACCUAGGGUUACCCAUUCACCUUCCUCAGAUUCAGAUAUCUGGGACAAAUCAGUAACAUUUUUAGAAGACAGGUACAUCUCUCAAGCUGUAUUGUAUUUACAAGUAUCCGCACUCCAGGAACCACAUAACAUGGUAACUAUUGCGGAAUAUCGACUGCCGGAGGCUAGAGCCGGAACGCCAAUGUACUUUGAAUUCCCACGACCGAUACAGUCCCGACGAGUUUCAUUCAAGCUUCUUGGAGAUGUUACAGCAUUUGCAGAUGAACCUUCAGAACAAGAUGAUUCAGGAUUGAGAGCUCCACUUGUGGCCACAGGUUUGUCUUUGUCAAACAGAAUCAAGUUAUAUUAUUAUUGUGAUCCUUAUGAGCUUGGAAAAUGGGCAAGCCUUUCUGGAGUUUGAUCGUUAUUUAUAUGUCAGAGAAAGAGUUUUGGGUUUGAUUUUGAUUUUGAUUUGUAAUUUUUGUCAGUUUAUUGAAAUUUUUUUGUUGUAUAAAAGCAGAAUGUAAAGGUAUAAAAAUUCAUUGAUGCUGCAAUGUCUGUGCUUUUGAGAAAGAAGAAUUCAAUGUCUUUUCUAUGCCAUUGGAUUUUCCCACUGCUUGUAAACUUGGGCUGUCGAGUGCUCUGUGAACCUUAAGGGCUAUAAAGUAAUUUUUUAGACUGAAGGAUUUAUUAAUCGAGUUCAAAAGAUUGCAAGUUGGUGAGCGUUGGCAUUUAAAAAUCAAUUGUUAUUCUCUCAAUAAUCUCUCUCUUCUGCCGACACCCCAAGCUCAGAAACCCAUUGUUCCGACGGACGUGUAACACUUCCAGAAAUUAGCCUUUUCUUCUAUAUGAAGGUUGAUCUCUCCUCGUGAAGUGAAGGUGGUUUUCCAAUUACAUACGUCGGGGGUCUUAUGAUAUCUAAUGUGUGAAAUUUCUUUCUCAUUUUACCAUAAAGAAAAGUUCUGUAAUGAUCUAAAGUUGGGAGUCUUAAAUUAUCUUAAAUUUAUAUUUAGAGUGGAGUUAUUGGCACCCUACAUUAUUCUUACAAAAUUCUAUUUUAAAUAAAAUUAUAAUUAAAGACAAUUGAAAAUUAUAGAUUUUUUUACAGCAAAUUACUUAAGUCAUAAUUAAUCCUUAAAAAAAAAUCUAUAUGUUACUUCUUAUUUAAUUAAAAUAAAUUGUACAAAUUUAAAAUAAUUUAUUGUUUUCUUUUGAUUUUUUAUUGAUUAAAUAUUUUUAUACUUAAAAUUACUUUGAAAUUAUAAUUUAAAAUAUGUGUUAUAUGCAAUAGUUCGAUUUACCGAACCACAAAGGGAGCCAAUGUGGUUUUGCCAAAAUCACAUACUGUAGCAUAAUAACAGAUAUUAUUAUUGUAUAAUAGAUGGGUUUAGAAAAAUUGAAGAACCAAGUAAGUUAUUUGAAAAAUGUCGAUUCUCGUACCAAACCCAUGUUUUAUGCCAAUUGUUUUUGGAUUGGAGUGCAGGCAUUAACAAUGAUGGAGAUGGAGGAACUGUAGCAUUAGUCAUAUGAAGAGUACGUGUCAGGUUUGAUUUUCAUGUGAUUUGGUUAGUGACGACGAAAACGACGACGUCGUAGUUGAAAAGCGUUUGAAUUAAUGUUGCGUUAAAAAAAAAAUUUAACUUGUUCCACUAAUUAAGUCAACAUUACUGAUGUCUUAUCACCCUCGGCCAACUUAACAAUUGGUGUCCUUUGGACAAUUAAAUAUGAUUUAUUCAAAAAAAAUAAAACUAUUAAAUAUUAAAAAUUAGGUCCAUUAAUAAUAAUAAUAAUAAUACUAAGAAUUAAGAAGAUCUAAUUACAUAUCAAAAUGACUCAAACAAAUUAAUUAAUUUCAUAUUAGCUAGCCAAGUAGGUUGUCCAUCCCACUCAGACAUGCACGAAAGCUAAAUUCAUCAAAUGAAUUACUUAAGGAGUAUUUGAUAAUUUUGAAAUUAUAAUUUCAAAUUAAAAUAGUAGUAGCAAAAUCGUAGUGCACAUUCAAUUAACCAACUAAUAGUCUAAGAAGCAAAGAGAGGAUUACAAGUUCACAACACCAUUAAAAAGGAUUCAAAAUUCCCACACGAAAACAUCAAUGUACAGAUUAUAAACAAUCCGAAUUGGACACAAGAAAAAACCCUUCAAUGGAUUGCUUGCCUUCCCAAUGCUAUAUACUGUGCAAACUGCGCACUGGCCAAGAAAAUAUUUUCAAUUUAGUGUAUUUUCAAAAUGCUUAUUUUCUCAGAAUAUAAAAAAAAAAAAAACAAAAAAAGAAUUCUUACAUGUUUCAUCAGCAUGAUUAAAAUCAAAGAAGAAAGCGAAGACAUAAUGUCUCUGACAUAAUAAAAUUACAAUUUCAUGCAGCAGAGAUUGAAGAGUUGAAUUCCACUUAUAGACACCGACCUCUUGUUUUGUCUAAUGUUAAUAACGAAAACAACAACAGAGGAUUAACUGAUGCUUUGACUUAUUAUCAGGUUGCAAUGAAUUAUUAACUGAUGCUUUGACUUAUUAGUUCUGCUGCUAAGUUAAAUAAAAUAAGGUAUUUUCAAAAGCAAAAUGGAAUACAUAGAUAAAACAUCAUCUUAAACAAAUCAUAAUCUAGAAUUGGAGACAUACCCAAGGAGAAAGAAUACGUGAAAAUGGGUGAUUCAUUUGUUAAGGAGUGUUGAUUUGGUCGUCUCUGCAAAUUCUUUAGGGACUCGGUUCCAGUUCCUCUUCAUCAAAACUGUAAUAUAAUUCCCCUUCAUCAGAACUCGAAUCGAUGCAAUAAAAUUCCCCUUCAUCAGAACUCGAAUCAAAUUCACUUGCAGCAGUUCCACUCGCGCUUGGCAAAUCAUCCAAUUUCCAAACUUCGGUAGCAAAAUUGAGAGUAAAAGUGUUGGCUUUGGUCUCUCUGGGAUUUGCAUAUACUGGACAUACUCCGCAACGUUUUAGCUUAGUGAAGAACUUAAAUGAGGCAGUUGUAUGAUGGUAACCAUCAGGAAACCCAACAUUCAAGCAAGGUUUAAAACCAAGUAUGACAUGAUCUGAAUCAAGGGAGCCAGUGCACACCAUGAAACCCAGAUCAACAUGUUUGGUUUCAGAGAGAGUCUUUAUUUCUAAGUCGAGUUGAAAGCGGACGUAAAUAUUGCAGCAAUAACAAGAAUGAAGGUGCUUAAAAUCAAGAACAGCACAAAAAGCAAACCCGAUUAAGUUUCUGCAAGAAGACUGCGGUGGCAGUUGAAUACAUAUCGAAGAUCCUGAACUUUGAUUGCUGAACCAGUCAGGAAUUUCGCUUCCAGGUAAAACAAUUAGGGAUCCCCUCAGUUCAGAAAGUUUCUGUGAAAUGACAUUUAAAAAAAAAAAUUGUAAAAUGAAAACCAUGAUUUCAGAUAUAACAAAGAGGGACAGAGUAAACAAGAGAGGGAAUUUGAUACCUCGUUGAUUGCCUUUUCAUAGCCCAGUCUCAGUGAUGCAAUUGCCACAUGCCGAAUUCUUAGUUGUGAAUCUGCCAAAAUCUUGUUGUUUGCUUUUCCAUUCAGUUUCAAGCAGUUAGUAAACCCAAAAUAAAUUGGUUGUGACUCCAGAAGUCCGGUUGCCCAUUGACGAAGGUCAGGAGAGGGUUUCGAUAGCUUUUCUAGUACGGAUGCAUCUAGUUCUUGCAGACAUGACGGAAUCUCUGGCAAAGAUUGAAGCCGGUUGCAGUUCGUUGCAUCUAGUUCUUGUAGACACAAUGGAAGUUCUGGUAAUGACCGAAGCAUGUUACAACCCGUCAAGUGAAGAUAUUUUAGACACAAUGGAAGUGCUGGUAAUGACUGAAGCAUGUUACAACGCCUCAAGUCAAGAGAACACAGCCGCGACAGUUGCUUGAUACUUGCAGGUAAACUCUCAAAGUUAUUUCCACGUAGAUCCAAGCUUUUCAGUGAGGAUAGAUAGGCAAUCUCUUGUGGAAUUUCCAUUACAGCACAGUUCAUUAUGUAUAGAAGUCCCAAAGAAGAUAAACCUAAUAAUAAUGAUCGAGGCAAUGAUACCAAACCUUUGCAGCGAGAGAAAUCAAGAAUUAAAAGUGCGUUUGAAUCUGCAACAGAGGAUGGUAGUUGACUAAUAGCUGAUCCAGCUGCUGAGAUGUGACGCAAAGAUUCUAAAUUGCCAAUGUUAUCCGGCAACUUAUCAAGUUUAGAGCAAUCACUUACGAACAAUUCUUCAAGCCCCGGUAGAUUUUCAAAUGACGAUGGCAGCUCUGUAAUUGCCGUCCCGUCUAAAUUGAUGCGUUUUAAAUGUUCCAUUUUCUCCAAGAUUUCUGGGAAGCGCUCAAGGUUCAAGCAGCCAUUAACAAAAAGAUCAACCAAAGAUCUCAAUUUACAAAACCUAGUUGAAAUCCUCUUCAGCCGUUUGCAAUCCCUCAAAUCCAACACUUCAAGAUCAGUUAGGCACUCUAUUGAUGAUGGAACUUCUUCUAUUGCAGACUGGUCUAAGUAUAGCCGUGUAAUUUUCCCAGAAAUCUGUGGAAACUCUAUGAGAGUAACACAAUAGGAGAAAUUAAUAGUUACUGGACAAACAAAAUGAAGAUUGCUUGGAAAAGACCUAAGACUUUUGCAGCCCUCAAAAGACAGCGCACUGAGAUACUUGAAAUUCUGGAUAGAUGAGGGAACACAAGCCUUUUCUCCUUCCCAAGGUUGCUCAACUUUACUAAAACGCAAAUUCAGUUCAACAAGGUUCUUUGGCUUGAAAUUUGAUGGCAGUAUCCUUAAUGGAUAUGUGUCCCAAUGAAGAUAUCUCAAUUUUUCAGGAAGAUAUUCUAGGCCAUUUGGAAGCUGCACUUCAGAGUAUGAAAGUUGCUCUUCAAUGCUCAUACUUAGAAACCUUUCAAUCUCAUAAAACUUACUUGGAAACCUUUCAAUCUCAUAAAACUUAGGUACAUAAAAUUUGAGCAAUCUCAGAUUAGACAUAUUUGUGAAGGCUCCGGGGUCUAAAUUGAUGCAUUUUAUUUUGGACAAAUCCAGAAAUAUGCCUUCAAUUGCAUCGGUCCCCUUAUAAAAAAAAAAAAACAAAGAAUGAGUAAGCCAAAAAUAAAAAAGCAACAUGCGUAAACUUUAUUAACUAAGAGCUCCUUAAACAAAAACAAAUUCUGCAAUCUUUGAUUUUAUUUUUUUAAUAUAUUAAAUAUCUAUAUGCGAGAAAAGAAAAUUUUGGGGACCAUUGCAAAAUUAAACUAACCGAAAAAAAAUUCAAAAUUUCUCUAAUUUACAAUCCUAUUAUCUUAAUAUCUAGAAGUUGAGAAGAGAGUGCCUAUUUGAUUGGUAUAAGAUUUCGAAAUUUUUUUUUUUUAGUCGAUAGAAUCCAAAAUGUUAGUUCAAAAUUAGGGAAAAAAAUAAAAGUCAUUUUUUUUCCACUAGUUAAAACUGUAUCCAAGUCAAAUUAAGAUACGACCCUUUUUAAAAAGAUUUAACCAUCUUACAGCCUCCUUAAGGUACAUUUAAGCUAAAAGGAGUAAUUUGAGGCAGAACUAGGUGGUCCAAUCAGUCCAUUUUAUUAGUGUCUGUUGCUUAAAAAAUUUAUACUCUAAAACACACUUUUUUGGAAAAAAAAAUAUAAUUACAUUGAAGUAGAAUCAGGUGGGCCAAUCCUCAUGGCACUCACUUUAUUUUGACACUCUUCACUAAAUUUGAAGAAAAAUAAAAUUAUACUCUUCACACUCUUAUUCAACAUUCCAAAAUUGAUAAAAUCUGGAGUUUUCUUUAAAAAUUUAAAAUUUGAAGACUUGUUCUCUUGACACCCUCAGUCAUUAAUUUUACCUAAUUAUGGUUUUUAUGAUUUUGGUUGUUUUGUUCAUAAAAAUGAUUUUACUAAAGGAUGCUCUGGUAAUAAUAAAAUUUAUAAAAAAAAAUGGGUGUGCUGGUAUGAUUGGAAAAAUAUGAGUGCAUAACUCCAAACAAAUAAAAGAUAUAUAAAAUAAAUGGAGGAUUCUUACCUUUUUAUGCUUGAGUACGCGGCGGAUUUCCUUAGGAUCCCACAACCUGCUGCGUUUGCCAGGCUCUUUCUCAGAUUCUUGGCGAACAAUCUGUCGCCCCAUUUCUUGCAAUAAAUCAUGCAUUUGCAAGCAAUUACCUGAUAUUGAUAUGAGUGACUUAUCAAUAAGGACAUCCAGUCCAUCAGACUCAGAAUCAUCAAGAAUCCUUGCCACAAAAUCUUUAUCCUCUCCCUCAAAGAAACACGCAAUAUCUAGAAACAAACUCUUCACCCUAGGAAUUAAUUCAUUAAAACUAAUCUUUAAUAUUUCAUAAAUAUUAUGAAUAUCAGAUUCACAAAUCCGAUUUAAGUCGUGCAAUACAUUUUCCCAAUGGCUUUUCCUCUUGAGGCACAGGGAGGAACCCAACACUUUAAGAACUAAGGGAUUGCCUUUGGCAUACUCUACAACCCUCCGUGAGUGCCAGUUGAGAUUUGUAGGACAAUGAUUUUCUUUAAAAGCGAAGUUACAAAAAUGCUCGAAAGCCUCUUCAAAUUCCAAUCCAUUAACCCUAUGUAUUUUCUUCUCCUCCCCUCUAAAUUUUUCGAGGACUCCUUUAUCCCUGGUGGUUACAACAAUUCUACUUCCUGGACCAAAUUGAUCAAGCUCUCCAAUCAGACCCUCUAAUUGUCCAACUUCAUUCACAUCAUCGAGUACUAUCAACACCUUCAUACGCCAGACCCUCUCUUUAGUAAAAUGUGGAAUAUUGGCACCAGCUACUUCAAGUUUUUCGCUUAAUAUUGUGGAAAGCAUUUCCUUUUGGAGAUGUUCUAAUCCACCUCCUGUUUCAGAAUUUCUCCUAACAUCUGACAUAAAGCAGCUACCAUCAAACUCACCAGUGAAUUGAUCGAAAAUAGCUUCAGCAAGGGUGGUUUUGCCUAUACCGCCCAUGCCCCAAAUUCCAACAAUUUGGACAGUAUCCGACAAAUCCAUACACAAAAAUGGUUUAAUCUGCUCAAUUCGUGAAUUUAAUCCAACUAGGCCAUUGGAUGAGUCCGUUGCGACUGUUAUUUUUUCCAAAUUCUUCAAAACAUCUUCGACAAUUUUGUUUACAAGUUCCGCAUCGUGCCUAAUAUAAAGGUGCAAAGAUGCAAAAACAUUGAGUCAAAUCGGGCCAAGACAGAAACAGAGAUAAGAUGAAUUAGGAAAGAGAGUUACCUGAAUUUCGUGGAUUCGUGGCCAGCAAGACCGGAUGUUUCUCUCAGUGCAUCCCUCCACCUCUGAACCAUUUCUGGCUUCUCUUCGAAGUGUUGUUUCAGCUGAUCAAAACCGUGCUUAAAAAUUCCAGUUUGAUGCCGCACAUCGGAUGGACUUACUCCAUAGAAAACCGGAAUAAUGAUUUGGCGGUUUGUGUGCUUGCAUUCAAGAAUCUUGACAAGUUCAUUCAGGCACCAUUUUGAAGAACCGUAGUCCUUUGAGAAAAUGACCACCGAAAUUUUUGAACCUUGGAUUGCGUUCAAAAGGGCAUCUGAAAUCUCAUCUCCUCGCCUAAGCUUUUCAUCAUCCAUAAAUGUUUUGAUUUUCUUUUUGUCAUACAAAUCAUCAUAGAGAUGGCAAGUAAAGAUCCUACGAGUGUCCUCCCCUCUAAAAUUGAGGAAGACUUCAUAAAUGCAAGAAGAAGAAGAAGAAGAAGAAGCAGCCAUGAAGGAAAUUUUAGAAAAUUGGUGACAGAAACAGAGAAUUAAUCUUGAGAGUUGAGAGAGGAGAUGUAAGAAUGAACAUGUGUGAAGAUUCUUGCAAGCACACAGAAAAUAAUUGAAUGGCUGGAGCUUUCUUAGUUUCCUGGAAAUUUCCUGGAGCUUUCAUAUACAUGAUUUGUCAAGUCAAGAAACAUAAUCAUGAUAAUGGGGCAGACCAGGAAGAAAAGAAAACUUGAUUCAACCAAUAAAGGAAGGAAAAGCAAAGAAAGAAAAUUUGAAAGUAGAUUCAGAGAAUUAUAAAAAGCUAAAGGAAAUUGGAAUUUUGUACAAUUUCUCCAGCGAAAAUUAAGCAUAGAAUAAUCCUAAAAUUUAAACUCUAAUAUCUUAUAAUGUAUUGAUUAAAAAUAAUCCUAAGAGUUCCCAAUUGAAACUUUCAUAAGUAUUUUAAUUGUUUUGGAUAAACAAAUUGUACUAGGAUAAAAAUUUGGCAAAUUCAGAGGAUAAUGGAAAAUAGUUAUGCUUCAAUAGGCCAAAGAUUAGAGAACAAACAAGAAUUAGUUAUUGAUACACAAAAGAGAAACACUCCAAAAUUUCAAGCAAAAAUAGUUUCAUAUACCAUUUCGAUUUUGGAAGGGGUGAGGUUUUGAACUUCAAUAGUUUCCUCUAAAAUUAAAAGGCAGCAAUUAAACUAGAAAGAGCAAUGAAGACUUAUUGGUACUUUAUUGAAGGUAAACAUUAUGAAACUUUCAAUGUCAUUACCUCAUUGUUCAAUUUUUAUUGAGAUUUGUGUAAGCAUUUAGCUAAAUCUUACCUCCGCCUUUAAAUUCAUUAGUUUUGAUUAAUUAUGAGACCUGGGAGAUAUUAUAAUCGAACUAAAACUUAAAAUUUCAAUAUCAUUAUUCUUUAAAAAGAAAUUGAGAUUUCAGAGUAAUAUCACAUAGAAAAACUUGCCCACGGACGGUAAGCCAAAAGUCUAGUCAACCACACGCAUAAAGCUAACUAGAACAAGAGAACAGAGAAACGCGUGGGUCCCUAAAAGAAAAGGCGUGGGUCCCAAAAGUCUAGUCAACCAUACCGAUGAAAAUCACUGAUUAAGAAUAAUAUAUUAUGUGGUUGAAGAUUUCUUUUUAUCAAUCUUCUUUCUACCCAUUAAUUUUCCCACGACUUUCCGGUUUCAUUUCUUGAAUCUCCAUGGAUUAACUUUCAAUAAACCAUAAAAUAAACUAAGGAAUCAUUUUCUCGAACACAGCUAUGAUUUUAAUAAAUGGGCGGACCAUCUAGAAUAGUAUAUAUAAUUCUGUUUAAUUAAUAAGUUGAAAAAACCAUAAAGAGAAAUUCUAAUAUUAUGAGCUUGACACGAAUUCUUCACUAAUUCCAAAACAAGGAGCUGUUUUAUAAGAACUGUGGUUGGAUUAUUAAGUUUUACAAUUUGAAUAUAAAUAAGAAAAUAAAAUCAGUCGCGUCGAUGUUUUCGAUACAUUUCGAUGCUAACUUAAUUAAUUACUUUACUUCAACUUUAUUUCCUGACGGACACUAUAUGGUGGGUCCAAGAUGGGACCUACAAUAAUCAAUCCUAGAAUUUAGUAUGGUUACCAAAUAGCUAGUGUUAUUUUGUGUUUGGUGGAAGAGAUUGAAUAUUUAGUUUUAACAUAACCAUUCAACUAAUUAGAAAAUAAAUAAAGUUAAAUGAAAUGUUUAGAUAUCAAUUUAAAUAUUAAUAUCCGGGAUAUAAAUUAGUUAUAAUAUAGUUCAUUACAUAAAAUUGAUUAAAUUAAUAAUUACACAUGAACAUAGAUGUAUAUGCUUUCCAAUUUCCAAAGUGCUCAAAGCACUUUUCUCACCAAACUUUCCUCUGAAUUUCCCGUAGCUGACUCCAUUGUUUGCGUUUUGUGAAAUUUCUAGGAACUUUUUCUAUUUAGAAUAUUGUACAUUUUUCUUUUCAGCUGAGAUUAAUUUAACUUAUAGAAAAUCUUAUCCUUUUUUUAAUAUUAUUUAAAUAAAAUUUGUCUAUCUUUCAUUUUAUCAGUCUACUUUUUACCCAUUAAUUAAGACUUUUCGAUUUCUUUUUUUCCUGAGGUUUUCAGUGACUAUCUUUCAAUAAACCAUAAAAAUUAAUGAGUCAUUUAUCGAACAAUUAGAUGACCAUAUUUCAAAAUAUCAACUAGAAGUUGCCCUGAAAUAUUUAAUUAAUAGUUGAAGAAUUGUGAUUAGUGUGGGCAUCUACAUAAAAAUUAUAUUAAAACACCGCUAAAAGAUAAAAAUAAAAUAAAAUAGUACAAACAUACACCCAUAGGUUAAAACAAAGAAAAAACACGAACCAAUACACUAAAAUGUUUUAGCUGUAGUUAGUUUUCAGUUUCAUUACUUAAGUCCCACGUGCAUGUCACGUGACUGAGGUCAAAAAAUGAUUGUCAGAUUAAAGUUCAAAGUACGGAGCAGGGUAAUUAAGGAGUGGAGCUAUUGGCACCCCUCCAUUAUUCUUACAAAACCCCACUUUAAAUCAAAUUAUAAUUAAGAAUAAUUGAAAAUUAAACACUUAUAGAUUUCUUUACAACAUGUUUAGUGAUAAAAAAGCACCAGUCGGGCAUGUCCCCAUUUCUUACCCGGGGCCGAAUCUCCUCGGCCGAAUGGUAUGAGUAGACUCUUGGUGAUGUGUUCUAUGUGGAGCACGUAAAACAGACCAGGAACUAGUACCAACCAGAAACGAGUACUGAUCAGAAACAAGCAUGACCAGAAACGCAUACCGACUAGAGACUUGUGGGUCCCUAAAAGAAAAGGCAAGCACAUAAACGAAAAAGCCAUUACAUUUCUAUUUUACAUGUCAUUCCUAAUUUUUGUAACACGGUGUGGCAGCAUAUGCACAAUCAAAUGAGGCAAAAGGGAUUCGACUAUCGUGGCAGAACAUGGACGAGGAUGCGUGAUGAAUAAUUCCUUCGAUAAAACGAAAAACAAAUGCAGAGAAAAGAAUUUCUUAUAUGACAAGAAAUUAAAGUAAUGUGACGGAACAUGAUGAAGAAAUUGCAGAUCGAUCAAUUAUCCCCAUGGACUCCUAUAAAUUCAACCAAAAUAACAAUUCCAAUAUUACCAAAUUCUUGAGUUAAAUUUAUUCAAUGCUUUUUUUUUUUAGAGAAAUUUUUUCCAAUGCUACUUUCCCUUUUUUGGGGAAAUUAGAACUGCGGCAUGUAUAGAAGACAUUGAGGUAUAAAGCAACAUUAAUUUCAUGGGUUAUGCGUUAUACGCAUAAUAUAUUGUCAGUCCAAAUUCAACUAUACAAAGAGGCUUGAGAACUUAAAAUUAAGCACAAACUAAACAGACGAAGUAAAUACAUGAUUAUGCAACAUAACAUUAAUUCUCUUAAUUUAUAACUGUUUUUGCCACAUGAAUCUUGCACAGUUAAUCCUAAUUGAAGACUAAAAAAGAACAAUUGGAACAAGGUUUUGAAAUAGAAUGAUAUACAAUCGAUAUGAUCCAUUUCCAGUCGUCAACGCUAAUUAACUGCAGUUUCUAGACUCCUAAUUAUACUAGCCAUAAGAAACUGUUUAGAAAACUGGUGAUCAGAUUAGAUUUUGAAAAGAAAUAAUUUUCAUUUUCCCUUCGCUACCUUUUUUUUUUAAUUAUUUUUAUACCAAAGAAUUCUAUCAUGAAAAGAAUCAAUUUAAUCACCUUUUCCAGCAGCACAAUUUUUCUUUUAUAAAAUUUGACCACAGAGACAAAGAAGAAUUAUUCAUACCUUCAUCAGUAAGGAAAUACUUUUCAUUAUGGCUAGGGUGAGAAAAGGCUUUCCACAACACUUGUACUUUGUAUUCCUGUAAAUUUUCUUUAAAGUCAAUAAAAACCAUAAGUUCUUUACAAUAACCAUCUCUUUGAUAAAAAAGUGCCGUAUUCCUUUAGAAUUUAAAACCGGAAAAAUUGAAUCAGUGUCUUUGAAGAGACAUAAUGGUCGUAAUUCUUUAAAUGAGUUGGCUAUGGAAAUCCUUAUCCAAGAUUCUUUUACGCCAUAUUCUUUCGUAAACCAAAAUUCAUUUUGGAAUACUCUGUUGAGAAUGUCAAAUAAAACGGCAUUGAAGGAAGUUUUCAAAGGCAGAAUCCGCACUUGUCAAAGGGAUGAUCUGCACUUGUCAAAGACACGAUCCGCGUCGAAUGAAUCGACACAUUUCCUUUCGUAUUCGCAUAUGUAAUCUUUGAAAAAAUGUAGCUUCUGCAUCUAUAAAUAACGCUUAGUGUAUAAUGUUUUAUUCAAGAAAAGAAAACAAGUUUCUUCAUACUCGUCGUCCGAACAUACAGAGACCGUCUCUUAUAACUUCAGCCGAAUACUUAUGAUGAUGAUCAUUUGUGAUUUCAUCAGGCAAAGGGUUGAUGGUGAAAAAAUUUGUAUGUGUGAAGAAUUGAGCUGUGGAUAUAGGGGACUUAAGUGUAAUCGAAAGAGAGUUAUUAGGCCAUAGUGCAGAUUGCAUUCAGUUUAUGAGUCGAUAUGCAAAUAAUUUGUUGACGUGGCGAAAUUUGUUAUGGUCGUUACUAUUGUUUCUGGAAAUUUUCUAGAAACCUCAGCAUAAAAGGGGCUUUUGCAUAGCCUCUGGUGUGCGUGUGAUUUCUCUUUCGUUUCCUCAUCAAAUUCUGUAAUUCUUGCUUUGAUAAAAAGCUUGUAAUCUCUUCUGUAAUGUGUGAUCAGUGCGUAAUCAUUUUGAGCAAUAAGAGCUUGUGGGUUUUUCCUUCAAACAGUGUCGUUUUGGUCAGUUUGUUAGUUUGAUCUGUUGGUGGAAUUUUCUUUGGUUAUUUGUUCUCAAAUUUCAACCGUAUAUAAAGUUUGAACUCUAAUGGCUUAUAAUGUAUUGAUUAAGAAUAAUCCUAAGAGUUCCCGAUUGAAAUUUUUAAUGACUAUUUUUAUUGUUUUGGAUAUACAAAUUGCAUUAAGAAAAAAUAUUGUCAAAUUCAGAGGAUAACGGGAAAUAAUUAUGCUUCAAAAGGCCAGAGAUUAGAGAACAAAGAAGCAUUCAUUACUGAUAAACAAAAGAGAAACACUCCAAAAUUGCAAGCAAACUAGUUUCAUAUACUAUUUGGAUUUUGGAAGGGGUGAAGUUUUGAACUUCAGUUGUUCCUCUAAAAUCAAAAGCAUCAAUUAAGCGUUCUCAAUUAGAAAUAGCAAAGAAGACUUAUUGGUACCUUACUGAAGUUAACAUUGUGGCACGGUUGUUCAUAUGUAAUGGCUGCUCUGUUAUGCUAGCUUCUCUGUUUUUGCUUACAGUUUUGAACAUAAAUUCUUGCUCAAAUAACCCAUAAUUAAAUAACACUAAUAUGGCUCGUGAAGUCCCAUAAUAGCUAAUUACGCAACUUUCUCCUCCUCCUCAAUUAUGUCUUCCCCUGCUCGGACACUAACUUCAAAAUUCAAUGCCCCGAAAAACAACACAAGAAAUCUUUGAGUUAGUUCGUGACCAGUUUAUAUAUAGUAGCAAUUGAAAAAAGAAAAAGAAGAAAAAAGUUAAUUAUUAUUCAGACCUUCACUUAUUAGGAAGUUUGUUCUGCUAUUGGGUGAGAUCAAGCUCUCAGCAUAUACUUCCACAUGAUACUUUCUAACAUUUUCUUGAAAGCCAUCAAUCAUAAAAUCUUCAUACUUUUUUCCAUCCUUUGGAUCAAUAAGUACAAUUUUUUCAUCUAAAACAGACAAAAUAAAAUCACUGUCCUUCAUGGAACACAAUGGCUGCAAUGCCUGAACUGAAUUGGCUAAUGAAAUUUGAGUCCAGGAUUCUCUCAGCCCAUAUUCUUUCAUAAUCCAAAAUUCUUUUCUUUCUCGACAUGGAACAUAGUCUUCUUUUCUUUCUCGACACAUGUCUCUGUACUUUUCUCUCUCUACUGAUCCACACUUUUUCAUACUUCUAACUAUCAUUUUGUUUUUUUUUUUUUUUGAGUUGUGAUUUAUUCAAUUAUUUUGUAUUUUUAAUGACAAUUGUUUAAUAUUUAGUUAGUUUUGAUAUUGAUUAGUGAUUGAAAGUGUAUUUUAGAAGACUUCCGGUCUCUUGAAAAAAGGAAAAAUGGAGAAGAAGAAGAAGUGUUCUUGAUUUUUUUGUAGGCAUUAAAGUUAAACGGUUUGAAAUGAUAUUUUGUUUUUAUUUCACUCAUUAAUCUCAUUCAGGAUAAAAUUAUAAAUGCAAAUAAAUGGGGUUUCAUAAGUAUUUUUAAUAGUGUUAAAAGGUCUACUCACUAAAUAAACAUGUUUUACCCAAACCAAUCCGAUUAAUAAGUUAUUAGGUUGGGUUGAUCAGGUUAAAAAUCAAAAUUAAAAAUUAAAUAAAUAAAAGGCAUAAAAACUAUCUGUUACUUGAAAAUAAAAAGAAUUUCUAAUAGUUAGUUCUAAUGUCCCAUAUCCAAAACAUGCAUAUUGUGAGGUUUGCUGGUGAAUCAAACUCAUCAGAACCAAAUGAUGACGUUUUGGCAAUUGAAGGAGCACUUAAAAGACACGUGAAACGCACGUCUGUUGUCACUUAAGAUUAAAGCUUGAAACGGCAGUUCAACCAUGUCGUUUAAAGGAAGCUUAGAAGUGAUGCACGUGACAGAUGUGUGAAGCAGCUCAUCUCAGUUCGUUAAGUUUGUUAUGCUACGUGUAAGCAAUCAGUUCGAUCUGGGUUUAGCUGGUUAGUUGCUCUGUUAGUUAUAAGAGCAGGCUGAUGAAACGAUUUGGGUUAAGCUUGUGAAUUCAUAUCAGAGAGAGAGAGAUUUCAGUGAAAGGGUUAAGAGUUCUCUGAAAUCUUGUAAACCAUUCUCUGUAAGAAAGAUCCUCCAUUGUUGAAUAAUAAAAGCUCUGCAGAAAACUUUUCCUGUGGAUGUAGAUUGUACCAAUUUGGUACAACUGAACCACGUAAUUGAUUCUUGUGUUGUCUGUGAUUUGUUUGUUUCUUGAUUCUCUAUUCUUUCUAGUUCUUGGGUACAUUGUUUUCACUUGGCUAGAUUCAUUCCUCAAUCUGUGCAUCUUGUAUAGUUCUUUAUCAAAGGUCCUGGGAAGUGUUUUAUUUGUCUUGCAUGUUAUAUAGCAAAUUAAAACACUACACAUAUUAAAUAAUAUAUUAUAAGUUAGAAAUACAAUAUCUAAAGAAAGAAUUAAUGAAAUAACAUAUUCUUGUUGAGAAUUAAGAGUGUGAUUUUAAUUUUGAUAUUGGAGUCUAAAGCAAUAGAUAGUACAAUGAAAUCAUGAAUGCUACGUUUAAAUAAUCUCUUUUAUAAAAUAAUAAAAAGAGGUUAAAAAUUAGGUUAACAUUUAGGGUUUAGCAGUUAAGGAUGAAUAUAUUAUUAUUGUUGUUGUUGUUAUUAUUAUAAUAAUAAUUAUUAUAAUAAUAAUUAUUAUUUAUAUGUUAAUUAAUUCAAUCCAACUUAAUUAUUAAUGAAUUUGAAAAAAUUGACCCAAUUAAUCCACAAUAAUUCAUUCAACUCGUCUAAAUUAGAUUAAGUUGAACUUAAUUUGCUACCCCACAUUGAGCAACAAACCUCAACGUCAUUCUACGAGCUCUUUGAUUGUUUAUAAAAUUGAUUUAGAGUACAUAAAGUGUAUCGACAAUGAAAGUGCAAAACAAAUUAUUGUACAUAUUAAAAUGUGCAAAAACAAUGAAUUAUAUGUACAAACGAGUGCAAACACAUUUUUCAAUAAGAAGUUGGAAGAUAUUUAUGCAUGAAAAAGCCUACGUUUGUAGUUAUUCUAAAUUUUAAAAACAAAAUUUACAUUUAGAUUCCUAAAAUUUACAUAUAAGUAUAAAAGUUUCAAAUAUUGUCUAUUAUUUUUUUAACAUGCCUAUUCCUUGUGGAUAAUUUUGUCUCAUCACUAAUGUUGUUUCUUGCUUACAAAAACCAAAAGCCACCUCCUUUUUGCAAUUUUUAUAGCGUCUCAAAAUAGACAAUAGGGGGAUUUUGAAUUUUUUAAGUCUCAAUAUAGUCUCUAAUCUUGUGAGAAAUAUUUUCUUUCAAUAAUUUGGAGGUAAACAUAACAUAACUUUUUGGACUAAAGCCUAACUCUGCUAAUAAGUAAUUGGUGGUAUCCUUUUCAAGACUUGAGUCUUUAGAUUCGAGUUUUAUAUAGUGUGCAUGUGUAUUUAAUUAAUAUUUUUUUUCAAAAAAAAUUACAUCAAAUACUAAUAUUCAUGACAUAAUUUAGUUCAUAAUUUUUUUAAAUACAUCGAAAAAUAUAAUUUUUUAACAACUUAAAGGCAUGACAAAUUUCAAGAUAUAAAUAUCAGUCAAAAUAAGUGAAAGAAAUAAUGGUGUCAAUUCUAAUUUCUUAACUAAAUUAAUUACUGCAUGAGCCCCGAAUAUGACACGAGAGUUUGAUGGGCUAACUUGGCACAAGAACGUGAAUAGUUAACUCAUUUAAGAAAUAAUUCAACAAAAAAUAUAAUUGAUAAGAAUGCAAUAUUGAAAUGAAUUUUUUACGAAACAUUGAAUUAAUGAUUAUUAAGCAAGAACAAUAAAAAAAUAAAAUAAAAAUAAAGAUUAACCAUUGAUAAGCUUCAACAAGAACUUAACACAACCCUCAAUCCUAAUUCAAAUUAUAAAUGUCAUUCAUAUAUUCAUUAUAAAUCAAUAACAAAGGUUAUAAAUGUUUAGAAAUUCUAGAGGGAAGGAAGCUAUCGCCGGGGAAUCAACAACUAAAAUUGAUGUAAUUGUGGCACGAGAUGGAAUAUGGAAACUACACCAUAAUUUUAAAUGCCGCCAUAGACAUUGACUUAUCUACAAUAACAAUGAUCUAAUUAAAAUAAAAAUAGAGUUUAUGGGCAUUUAUUAUUUUGACAUUCCUCAUUUGCAAAUAGGGAUACAAUUAUAAUUUAUUUAGUCAAAGCAAACAGUAAUUUUCUUCAUUAUAGGAGUGAAGUAAAAACAUUUAGAUUUUAAUGUAUGUAAGGAAAAAUUUAUCUUUAAAAAUACUUUCUUAAUGUGUGUAUGCAUAUUGAAAUACUCAAACCAAUUUUGGUUAUAUAUAAUUAAACAAAUUUUAAAAUAUGAAAAAUAUAAUGUAGUUAUAGUGGAUAAACAAUAAGUGAGCACAAUAUAAUUAAUCAAAUAUUGUGCUAUCAAAAGUUAAUUUUAGAAAUUCCAAAUCCAAUAGCUAACACAAUUCUUUAAAGAAAAAAAAAAGGUUGACACAAUUAAUAAAAUUAGCGACAUGAAUUUCACGCCAUUGAUAAUCAGCAAUUAGUAUUACUUUCUAAACUUGCUUCAACUGGUCGUUGAUGUCCGGGUCACCAAAAGUAUAAGCGAUAAUAAGGGGCAUUGGGCAAGAGUGAUGAAUGUUUAGUGGGUGCAUUUGAUUGAUAGAUAUAUAAAGGGCCGAAACUUGAGAUUAUAUUACUUUUACAAAUUUUAAUCCAAUCACAUAUUUAAUGAAAACAAAAUGAGUUAGGAUACUUUAUUUAAAAUACACAUUUUAAUAAGGCUUCAUUUAAUUAAAUAAAAUUAUAAAAGUAAAAUAUAUUUUAGAUAUUUUAAUAUUUAAGAAAAAAUUUUCAAUCUUUACUUUCAGAAGCUCAAAUUUUUAAUUUUUAGUUGUAGAGACAAAAUAUCUUAUUUAAUGUUUAAAAGUUCUGCUAAAAACAAUCAAAUAACUACAAAAAUUUUAAUAAGAGCAUAUAAAAUUAAAUAAGCAUUUAUUAAUAAUCACUUUAGUGUACUUAUCUAAUAACAAUAAGUGUUUAUUUAAUCUAAUAAGUUUUUAUUUAAUCUAAUGAGCUCUUUUUAAUUUUUUUUUAGUAGAGCUUUUGAAAAUUAAAUAAACUAUUUUGUCUCUAUUAAGAAAAACUUAAAAUUUAGGUUUUUGUAAGUAAAUGUUUAAAUUUUUUUUAAAAAUAUUAAAAUAUUAAAAUAUCUUUUCUUUAUUUCAUAAUCUUAUUUCAUUCUUCACAACAUAACUUUAAAUAACUUACCUAUUAAAAUAAUUUCACAAUUUCUAAUAAAAACUCCGAUUAACAAUCAAGCAAUAAUUUUUUUUUUUUUUUUGUAAAAAUUCUAUUUGUAAAAACUCUAAUAAUAAAAAUUCUACUUAAAUAAAUUUUAUUUGAAAAGGUAUACUAAACGAACCUAAGAUAAAAACAAAAAUUUUUAGAUCCAGACAAUUAAGCUUAAAACAAUUUCAAAUGAAUUUUAGACUAAUCAAAGUACAAUACGUACCAAGUUUGGUAAUUUAUUGACAUCUUCUUAUAUACCUUCGAUCAAGUCGAUUCUCACUUGACGACUAAUUGGUAGUUUGGUACAUCACCGUUGUUCCCUAUACUCGCAUGCAUCCGAUCACAAAUCUCACUCCAAUUGUUGUCUUUCUUCGGCGUUUUAGCGCAUCCUUCUUGAAUUUCUCGCAUUUCGUUCCCUUACAAGUCUCCGGUCAGGUCAGUUCACUUGACGAUUAAUUCGGCAAAUCUUGAAUCUCUUCUCUAUCCCUCUCGUUUUCUCGUGUCUCCUUUCAGUUAAAGCGAUUGAAUCAAUUUUAUCGCAGUCUAAGAGAAAUUAAGUAAUGCUCUUGGAUUUAAAAUUUUUUUGCUUUCGACUUUAGAUCUCGAAAGUCAAACUCUUCUACGAAUCCAUAGAUUCUCAAUGUUUAUAAUCUUAUUUGUGUUUGACCAGGUAACUGGAUCGUGAAAUUCGUCGUUUUGUAUCAAUUCAAGCUUUCGCGAGCUCAUGGAAUCACCUGGUGAGUUGUGGUGAAACGUUACCGUUUCAAUUUUCGCUUAAUUCUUUAUUGCAUAUUUUUUUCUCUAAUAUUUCAGUUUAAUUAGAAAAGAAAGAGGACCCAAAAAGAGAGAGAGAGAGAGAGACUCUACCAUACUCAAUUCCUUGCUCAUUCUGAUUUGGCCUGAAUGUUGGCAUUGACUAUUAUUUGUUUUCAUUUCGAUUUAAUUCUCAUUUAGACAGUCUUUACUAACGGUCAAUAAUAGUUUAAGGAAAAUGAUAAUAGGGAUUCUGCAAUAAUCUUUCUGCAUUGUUCAAGUUAGUAGACAAUGAAUAGGAUGUUUACGUUUACCUCAUUUUGAACCCCGAGGGCUUAGUUGAGUAGUUGAUUGAUUCAAUCUUGCAAUGUGUUCCCACAAGGUUUUGAGUUUGAUUCCUAAUUAUGUGGACCUUAGUUUCGAAUUUGAGUUUGUUAGGUGGGUUGAUGGGGUUUUUGGGUAUUAAAAAGGGAGAAGAAAAAAGUUGCUUGCUUCAUUUUGUACAAACCUGUUGACUUUUUAUUUUUUUCUUUUUAUUUUUGUACUAUUUUGUUUUACAGUUGGUGGUUCAAGACAGACAUCUGUUAUUGUUGUAACUUUGGAUACUGGUGAAGUAUAUAUUGUAACCAGCUUGUAUUCUAGGACUGACACUCAAGUGAUAUAUAUUGAUCCAACUACUGGUGCACUUCGCUACCAUGGGAAAUGGGGCUAUGAUGUUUUUGGAUCUGAAAAUGAAGCAGUAGAUUACAUAACAAAUGGAUCACGAUGGAUGUGCAAGAGUACAACUUUUGCCAAGGCGAUAUUGGGUUAUACUGCCCUGGGAAGCUUUGGGCUGCUUCUUGUUGCCACAAGGUUAACUGCCAGCAUUCCAAAUCUUCCUGGUGGAGGAACUGUAUGCACGGUUACAGAGAGCCAAUGGAUCAAAAUUCCACUUCAAAAUCCUCAACCCCAGGGUAAAGGAGAAGUAAAGAAUGUUCAAGAGUUGCCUGAUCUUGACAUUGAUGGGAAGCACUACUUUUGUGAGACAAGAGAUAUCACUCGACCUUUCCCCAGCCGCAUGCCUUUGCAAAAUCCUGACGAGGAAUUUGUUUGGAAUGAAUGGCUUUCGAUGCCUUUUAAAAGCAUUGGUUUACCUCAGCAUUGUGUCAUUCUUCUGCAGGUUUUGCUUCAUACUCGGUAUCUUCAAAAUUUAUGCUCAUUAAACUUCUUUCAUUCCCCACCCUCUCACUAUCCCUCCACCUAAUUUUGUUUCCAAAAGUUUGUUUGAUAGUCUAUUGCCACUAUAUGUAAAUGUAUCAUUUCCAUUCUGAGCAUGAUAUUUUAUUCAUCAUCACUUGUUAUUCUAAUCUUUAGAUGAAAGAAUAUUUCGUAUUAACAUUUUUCAUGGGCCAGUACCUAUUUUAUGGUCCAUUGUAGAUACUAAAAUGACCAACUUUAUUUCUUGGUCAUAAAAAGUUGCGACAGAAAUUUUAAACAUGUGAAUAUUUAAAUCUGAUAAUUCAUUAAAGAUUUCAACCUAAUAGAUUGAAAACUUAGAUUCAUUCCAUGAAUGAAAGAUAAUAAAGCAUCAGCCGAUGGAAUAUGGGAAAUAGAAACACUUUCCCUUCUAUUAAGAAGAGCCUGCUUCAGAUGAUCCUCAUUUUCUUCAUCCACAGGCCAACCUAGAACAUACCACACCAAGGUAAGAAAGAAAAGGGGUAGCAGGAUUGCCUAGUUUGACAAUUAGCAAAGCCCCAAAUGUUCCUCUUUUACUUUUCUUUUAGAAAGGUAGACAUGUUUGACAGAUUUGGGACAUUGCAUCAUCCCUUUCUGCUGCACAUGGUUGCAAUGUUUUACUUCUCACGUGAAAGCCUAGAAAUCCCAAUCCAAUAAUAAAAGGCCAUUUUAGAGUCAAUGUACAAAAACUUCCUUCCUUGUCUCUAUAUCCUCUUUUACAAUCCAUUCUUAGUUGAAUUGAGAUUAUGCUACAGCUGCUUCUUCAAGUUAACAUUGUUAUGCAAUUCAAUGGUGAUUUACGUGUGUACUUGUCCUAAGCAUGUGAUUUGAAAAUAAUAUGUUAAUAUUGUUUUCACUGGAUAUUAAUGUAUAGGGAUUUGCAGAAUGUCGAAAUUUUGGAAGAUCAGGUCAGCUAGAAGGGGUUGUUGCUCUUAUAGCUCGUCGUAGUAGGCUGCAUCCUGGUACUCGAUACUUGGCUAGGGGGAUUAAUUCUUGUUUUAGUACAGGUAAGAUAAUCUUUAACAUCUCCAGACCUGGAAAUUACAUUUUUGUUGUUGAGAUUCACUUGGUUCUUCUAUACAAUCAAAAAAAUUAAGGAUUUAGUUUUUUUUUUUUUUAAACGGAAUUUUCUUUUCCUUUCAGUACUCUUUGCAUUCUGUGUAUGCUGUUUAUUCUGAUUGUCAUUGAUCUCAUGCCUUUACAAGGAAACAGGUAAUAGUUUCAGUGGUAAAUUCAAGUGGAAUUGGUUUUGAUUCUGUUGUUUAGAAAGAUGGAUUGUAGAACUACAGAACAUUAAUCGUGCCACCUCAUGGCUCAUGCAUGCUUUUGGAGUAUUCUUUACCUGUAGAAUUUUUGUUUUUGUAGUUGACUUGGAAUAUAACUUUACCAUUUUUUUCAAAUAAUAAGAAUCAAUGAGUCUCAUCAAUAUUAAUCAAUAAUGAGCUAAAGAUAUAUAACUUGUGUCUCAGAACUAUAUAUGAUAUGCUUGUGAAGGUGUAUUAUUUUAAGUAGAGAUACCAAAUGCUACAGGGAGAAGCAAAAAAGAACAUUCUCCAGUGAAAACCUUCUGACAGAUUACAUUUUUGGGAUAAAAAAGAAACAUUGAGAUCAUCAGCCACACUUUUUCUUCUUGUACUGUUUAAUUAGUUUAGAGGCCUUUUAGUUGGUUUUGCUUGCCUGGAGGUGUCAUACAGUUCACUUUUUGAAUACCCUGGUUUUCUACAGAUUAGAACUUGGUUUCCUUUCACUCCACAGCUUUUGCUUUCCUACAUCACGUCCUUUGGGAUAAUUGAAUAAUGAAUGAAUGAAAACAAUCAAAUAAUUUCUGACAAUUAGUUAAUAACUUUUAUUUUGUAUGACCCUUUUGAUAUGUGUGGUCCUUUAAUUUACGGUUGAAAUAUAAAUAUGAAAAAAGUCUGCCAAUUAGUUUUACAAAUGACUUUUGUGCCAUAGAAUAUAUAUAUUUUUUUUUUGCCGAAAAACAAAACAAAUUCAUAAACAACAUUGUAUUUCACCAAUUAACAGUGCAAGUGUCAUUAUAGUUUCCACAUAUUAGUUCUGUUUUCGUUAGUUUCAUUUUCAUUCUGUUAUGUAACUGAUGUUUCAUUGCUAUAAAAUUAAUUGUCUGUUUCUCUUCACAACUGUUAUUUUGAAUGAUUUUUUCUGAAUUUUAUAAAGAAUUUGUAUAUGACAGGAAAUGAAGCAGAGUGCGAGCAACUUGUAUGGAUUCCUAAAAGGUCUGGUCAGAGUGUUCCUUUCAAUGCAUACAUCUGGCGGCGAGGGACUAUUCCAAUAUGGUGGGGUGCAGAAUUAAAGCUUACUGCUGCUGAAGCAGAAAUUUAUGUUGCAGAUCGGGAUCCUUAUAAAGGAAGUCUGAAGUAUUAUCAGAGGUUGAGUAAUCGAUAUGAUGCUCGAAACUUUGACUUAGCUGUUGGGGAAAAUCAGAAGAAAAAGCCUUUUAUUCCAAUUGUAUGCAUUAACUUGCUUAGGAAUGCGGAAGGGAAAUCAGAAUCUAUUUUAGUUCAGCAUUUUGAGGAAUCUUUGAACUAUGUCAGAUCAACUGGAAAACUUCCUUAUACUCGAAUAAUUUUAAUAAAUUAUGACUGGCAUGCCAGUACAAAAUUAAAAGGUGAACAACUUACAAUUGAAGGAUUAUGGAAGCAUCUAAAAGCACCCACUCAGGCCGUAGGCAUUUCUGAAGGGGACUAUUUGCCAUCACGGCAACGACUUAAUGAUUGCCGAGGUGAAGUCAUCUGCAAUGGUGACUUUGUGGGUGCCUUUUGCUUAAGAUCCCAUCAGAAUGGAGUGAUACGCUUUAACUGUGCAGACUCUCUUGAUCGGACCAAUGCUGCUAGUUAUUUUGGUGCUCUGCAAGUAUUUGUGGAGCAAUGUAGGCGGCUUGGGUUCUCCCUUGACAGUGAUUUUGCAUAUGGCUAUCAGUCAGCUAAUAACUAUGGUGGAUAUACUGCUCCUUUGCCACGAGGAUGGGAGAAACGAGCUGAUGCAGUGACAGGAAAAACAUAUUAUAUCGAUCACAACACUAGGACCACAACAUGGAUUCAUCCAUGCCCAGACAAACCUUGGAAGAGAUUUGAUAUGACAUUUGAGGAGUUCAAGCAAUCAACAAUUUUAUCACCAGUGUCUCAGCUAGCAGAUCUUUUUCUGCUUUCUGGUGAUAUCCAUGCAACCCUUUAUACUGGUUCAAAAGCAAUGCAUAGCCAAAUUCUUAAUAUAUUCAAUGAAGAACCAGGAAAGUUCAAACAAUUUUCUGCAGCACAAAAUAUGAAAAUUACCCUGCAGAGAAGAUACAAAAAUGCAGUUGUCGAUAGCUCUCGUCAGAAACAGCUGGAGAUGUUUCUUGGAUUGAGGCUUUUCAAGCAUCUUCCAUCUGUUUCAGUUCAACCUCUACAUGUAUGAUACUGUAGAACUUCAGAUUACCUAUUCAUACAAUCUGAGUUCAAUGAUUAUCAAUUUUCAUGAGGGAUGGAGACAAUAUUACACUAGCUACUUGUUUCUAACCUAAGCAUCCCUAACUUCUGCACAUAAAUAAAUGAUGCGCAAAGCAUACCAUAGCUAUAUCAAUGCCCAUUUCCUGUUUGAUGUUGACCAAUAAUGUUUGGAAGUUAGCUAUUGCAUGGUAAGAUGAUUUGAAGCUUCAUUUAAAGCUUCUAAGCCAGAGCUUCUAAGUCAUCUGGCUUAGAGAAUUUAAAUGUCCUCCAAAAGUCUGGAAUCACUGUUGCAUCUCAGCCUGAUUGAUAUUUGUUAUUGUUAACUUGGAAAUAUUUUGUUAAUCUUUCGGAUUGAACAACGUCGUGCUAUGAUCAUUAUUCAAGAAAUGACCUCAAGAACUUGUUGCAGUUGAGUGAUUUUUUGGUAAUGAUGAAAAUUAUUCAUGUUUAGGAACAGCUCUUUAGGGGAAAAGCAUAUAUGGGCUGGCUGGCCCUUUUUGGUGUAUUUGAUGAACCAUUUCAUAUCAUGCUGGUAACUGCAGGUUCUUUCUCGACCAUCUGGUUUCUUUCUCAAGCCAGUUCCCAACAUGUUCCCAAGUUCUGAUGGUGGAGCUAGUCUUCUAAGCUUCAAAAGAAAAGACAUGAUCUGGGUAUGGGUUGCAGCUAAACUUAGUCCUUUGUAGCAUUCCUAAUUCUCUGAUUGUCUUUUCUUUGUAGCAUUCUUAAUUCUCUGAUUGUCUUUUCUGUCCUUAAUGGAAUUCAUGCAUUUUUGGUUCUUUAGGUAUGUCCACAAGGCACAGAUGUGGUUGAACUUUUCAUCUACCUUGGUGAACCUUGUCAUGUCUGUCAGCUUCUUCUCACCAUAUCCCAUGGUGCAGAUGAUUCAACAUAUCCAGCAACAGUUGAUGUGAGAACAGGACGCCACUUAGAUGGGCUUAAACUGAUUUUGGAGGUUUGUAUUGGUUCUAUUGUACACCUUGCUUACAAAUUUUUUAUUUUUAAUUUUUAAUUUUGUAUGAUAUGCUCUUUGUUGGUAAAUUUCAUUUGACUUAGAAGAGAUAGUUUUAUCCCAACAGUGGGAUACAUCAUUGAGAUGCAUGGCAGAGUGAAUAUAGUAGACAAAAUCAUUGAGACCCAUGGUGGUGUGAACAUAGUAAACUUUGUCAAACACAGCUAAGAUGAGCAAAUUGUUUCAUUAGCCUUUAUCUUAUCUGCUGUGAUGAUUCAAAUUAAUGCUGUUUGGUAGGUUGCAAAAAAACGAAAUGAGCUGACUGUUCGUAUUAUUUAGUCAGAUCUCUAGCAAUAAGUUGAAGUUCAUUGUCACAUGGGUUGGGAGUAUCGUGGGCUGUGAGUAGUAGAAUGGAUUUAUGGAGUUGAUACAAGUGCCCACAAUCUCUCAUGUCAUUCUAGGAUUAAAUGGAUUGCACAUUACUGUAAAAAUGGAGGUUAAAUUUAUAUAAUUCGGAUUGAUUGUAAAAUGGAAGACAGAGAUGAGUUAGAAAAAGAAUGACCCGUGUCCUUUUUGAGCUGUUUCUAAAUGUCCCUGGUGUGCCUCAUGCUUAACACGUGCCUUUCCAAAUAAUUUUGCUUAACCUGUGCUUGUCUACUUCUUGUGCUAUUCUGUGCCUGGUCCUGAGCUGUAUUGGUAGAUUGACAUCCAGCUUGAACUUUUAGGUAUAUCUUUUGUACAUAAAUUCUGAAUACCCAUGGACUUAGCGUGAUAUAAAGUCAAGGAUCCAUUUAGCUGAGUCCUUCAAGUUUUGUUAGUAUGUCUUCGGAUUAUAAAUAUGUAACAAAAUGAGGUGUAGAAUACAUUUAAAAAGAAAAGGAUAAAAAAACAAAAGAAAUGAAAAGAGGUGUUUAGAAGUAAUAGCUAAACUAGAUACACUCUCACUAAUUAGCGAUUCUGAUGAACAGUGCCCAUAGCUUCUUUUAUACCUUGAAGUUGCAGAAAUUGAUUCUUGGUGAAUUAAGUCACUUACAGACAUAACUUUUUCUUCCAUCUAAUUUUUAUUAGGUUAGAUAGGAGAAGACUUGUUUCAGGGUGUCCUGACCCUAGUAUUAGUUUUCUUGUCAGAUUUUUCAUGAAAAUUUACAAUGCACGUGACAUACAACUUCUAGUAAUCCUAGGACUUUGUUCACAG
This 147265-nucleotide long non-coding RNA is filed under the name Citrus maxima (pomelo). RNAcentral's name for it is "long non-coding RNA (CMAX_LNC000734)". The stretch from base 44372 to 44510 matches the Rfam family "Small nucleolar RNA Z247". The record is from RNAcentral. Lineage: Eukaryota; Viridiplantae; Streptophyta; Magnoliopsida; Sapindales; Rutaceae.